GCAGUCCCCUUUGCAGCUCGGUCGUGGCCACCAUGCAGCUUGGUCAGGGCCCCUAUGUUCGUGCAUGUUCACCGUCGUCUCUCGUCGUCAGCCACGGUGCAGCAACCGCCGACCUCGAUCAUCCUCUCAGAUUGCAGCUGGGUCUGGUAACCUCGGCCACGGAUCCAUGGAUACGACUCAGUGCCCACCUCACAGCAUUGCAGUUUGCUUGCUACUGCACCGCCGAUGGUUGCCCCGUGGUCCAUUUUUCUAGUUCGUGCAGCUCAUAGCCUGCCUAUGUGCAUAUUAGGGGUGGGUGACAAAACACACACGACGAGUAGUUCUCGUGGUGCACCCGUGCGGUGCAGAGCGCGUGUGCAUGCAAUUCCGGCGUAUUUUUUUUGUUUUAUUUGUACUCUUUGAAGUGCAAUAUGCUUCUGAGAGAGCUCCCGUGCUGUUUUUUGUUUCGCUCCUGCCUGACAGCGACGCCACUUCCUGGCCGUGCAGUUUGGUGGGUGUAUGGGCCUUGCAGUUUUCCGGCGAUUGGCUUGUGCGUGCAGUCAACUAUUGGGACCCCGAUGCAUUUUUGUUUUGAGUGGCAAAGGAGGGAUACAGUACGACUAUGGCUGCUAUUGAGGUUCAUUUUACUCAUCUUUGCAGGAAAAGAUGAAAUGAUGCAAUUCUAUUAGAUGCCCCAUUACUCAAUUUUGUUGUUGUUGAAAAGUGCACUUCAUUAGUUCAUUGUAAAAACUACAGUUCAUUACCGUGAUUUGGCUGGUGGAGAGUGCAGAUUUUGUAUGCUAUAAAACUCCUCUGUUGUCCAUUUAGUAAACACAAAACAAAAAAGAUCUCAAAAUGAAGCUCACUUCUAUAUUAGAUGUAGUUCACUCGAUCAGUCCCUGUGGUACACUCGCUUGAUCAACGCGCAUAAAAAAAUUAGUAAGUACGAAAAAAGGACAACAAAAACUCAUGAGGUUCACUUUUGGUAGUGUUGCGUCUCACUUUCGGGAGUGUUGCGGUCCACUGUCGUUCAAAAAAAAGUUGAAAAAAGAUAACAAAAACUUGUGCGAGAAAGUUUAUGUCCAACAAAAAGAAAUGAUGCAGUGCACUUGACUGUCUGUUGCAGUGCGGUUUUCAGUUUGAAGCAGUGCGUUCUUCUGUCCCACGACGAUUUUGGUGUCGCGAAAAAACAGAGUGUCCAUUUUUCACUAAUUUUAAAACUGCUCUUAAACCGUAAAGAAUUAGAGAGUGUGUUCUACAUGAAAAAGUUCCGUCUCGUCGAUAUCUUUCCAACGGCGUAUAGUUUGAAUCAUUCCGACCAGCGGUUUGCAAAAAUUUUGCAAAAAAACAGCCGCUACCUCUCGAAGUCAGCCGCACGAUUUUCAAAAUUAACUAAAAAUCGUAAGGAAUCUCAAAACCAUUUCAACAUAUGAAAGUUGUGCCUUGUCCGUAGCUUUCCAACGGCAUAUCACACGCCCUGUUUCGACAAACGGUUCAAAAACUGGAGCAAAAACAGUACCGAAAAAUUUAAAAAAUUUGAAAAACAGAGUUCCGCGAUUUUGUAAAUUUGAAACUGCUCUUAAACAGUAAUGAAUUAGAGAAAGAUUUAUAUAUGAAAAAAAUGCACCUCGACGAUAUCUAUCCAACGGCGUAUCAUUUGCUUCAUUCCGACAAGUGGUUUAGAAAAAAACGCGAAAAAACGCUCGCUGCCACUCGUCAUCCGCCGCACUAUUUUCAAAACUGCUCUUAAACCGUGUGGAAUCUCGAAAAGUGUUCAACAUGUCGAAGUUGCGCCUAAUCCAUAGCUUUUCAAUGGUAUAUUACACGCCUCAUUCCGAUAAACGGUUCAAAAAUUAGAGCGAAAACAGUACCAAAAAAACACCGCGUGCAAUUUUUUUCGACACGAAGUUCACUAGUCUCUAUUGCAGUGCUCGUCGUCAAAAUGAUGCAGUGCGCUUCUGUUAAGCAUGCAGUGCCGAAGUGGUGUGCAGAAUAGUUAUUCUACUAAUAUUAGCAGAAUAAGUAUUCUGCACACCACUUCCGCACUGCACGCUGAACACAAGUGCACUGCAUCUUCUAGACGACGAGCACUACAAUAGAGACUAGUGAACUUCUCGUCAGAAAAAACUGCACGCGUUAUUCUUUUGGUACUGUUUUCGCUCUAAUUUUUUAACCGUUUAUCAGAAUGAGGCGUGUAAUAUACCGUUGAAAAGCUAUGGAUUAGGCGCAACUUCGACAUGUUGAACACUUUUCAAGAUUCCACACGGUUUAAGAGCAGUUUUGAAAAUGGUGCGGCGGAUGACGAGUGGCAGCGAGCGUUUUUUCGCGUUUUUUUCUAAACCGCUUGUCGGAGUGAAGCAAAUGAUACGCCGUUGGAUAGAUAUCAUCGAGGUGCAUCUUUUUCAUAUAUAAAUCUUUCUCUAAUUCAUUACGGUUUAAGAGCAGUUUCGAAUUUACUAAAUCAAGGAACUCUCUUUUUCAAUUUUUUUGAAAAUUUCGGUAUUAUUUUUGCUCCAGUUUUCUAACCGUUUGUCGGAACAAGACGUAUGAUACGCCGUUGGAAAUCUAUGGACAAGGCGCAACUUUGCUAUGUUGAAAUGGUUUUGAGAUUCCUUAUAGUUUUUAGUUAAUUUUGAAAAUCGUGCGGCUGACUUCGAGAGGCAGCGGCUUUUCGUGAAAUUUUUACAAACGGCUGGUCAGAAUGAUUCAAAUCAUACUCCGUUGGAAAGAUAUCAACGAGACGCAACUUUUUCAUGUGGAACAUUCUCUCUAAUUCCUUACUGUUUAAGAGCAGUUUCGAUUUUACCGAAAAACGGACACUCUGUUCUUCGCGAGACCAAAAUCGUCGUAUGUACUGCAUCGGACAGAAGAACGCAUUGUUUCAGACAAAAUACCGCACUGCAUCAGAUGGGCAAGUGCACUUCAUGGUUUCUUUUUGUUUAGACGUAUUUUUUCUCGGACAGGGAAAGAAGAACACACUGCUUCAGUCGAAAUACCGCACUUCAUUAGAUGGGCAAGUGCACUGCAUGAUUUUUUUGUGGGGACGUAAAUUUUCCCAAACAAGGUGGAGUGCACUUCAUGUGGAGGGUUGGUGAACCGCAACCUCGAGACUACCGUAAACGGGUUGCAACACUACUGAAAGUGAGCUUCAAAACAUAUAUAUCCAUUCAUUAUUUUUACACAGCUACACAUCCAUCCCGUACAUAGCAGAAUCAACGACGGAGUACCCAACUGAAUUGCACUAGGCAAAGACUUGCUUGUGCAAAAUUACCAUCCAUUUUCUUACUACAAAAUGAACUUCAAAUGCACUAGGCGGUACCCUUUUUCUCUCCGUGUUUCUCCUAAACAACAAAAUGGAACUUCAAAUAAACAGUGGAGCAACAAACUUGGGUACUAUACAAAGCAACAAAUGUUGUCAGAAAUCUAUAGAAAAAAGAGCAAAAGAAGCUCUUCUGAACUGCGCAUGGGCGGCUAAUGUUCUAGGGCGUCGUCGCCGGCGAACUGCAUGUACACACCGCACGAAAUGCUCGCAUCGUGCGCAUGGCUGCUUCCACCCACACAUUGGACUGCACGGUGCUGAUGGUUGUGCUGCUUACACUCAUGCAGUGGGCUGCAUGACCAAAAUCAACAGCAAAAAAACUAAAAAAUACACAAAGAAGAUUGUGAGCUCCAAGCCCAGGGACUGAACGGUGACGACGGGUGUGCUGCUUACACUCACGCGGUGGACUGUAUGACCAAAAUCAACAACAAAAAUACUGAAAAAUACACACAAAAAUUGUGAGCUCGGGCAGCAAUCUAAAAAAAUCGAUGCAAUGGCUCUUCACAGACUGAACUCCACGCUGAUGUUUUUGCUUGCCACGCGCCUGCCCAAACCGAACUGCAGCUGAUGAGAGGCCGCCUGAAUCAGCAAAGAGGAAUCUUGGGUCGGGAAGGGAAGUCGGACUCUACCUCUGUUCGUCGGGGAAGUUGGUGCUUUCUAUUGGAGGCUAAUUCCCAGAGAACACCAUUAGCAUCGGAUCCAAGGCCAAGGUACAGAGUGUGGCGGCACUGAUGAGGAAGAUGACCGCCGAGGGGAGCAAGCAAGAUCGGGGGCAGAGUGGUCGAGGCAGUCACCGGGACGGCGCUGUGGACCAGCGGUGGCUGGAUCCGUCGGCUGGGCGGCGCGGAGGGGCUGGAUCCGUCGUCUGGGCGGCGCGGAGGCGUGCGGGGUCGUGUUGCGGCUGGGAGGAGCUCCGACGCUGGGAGGAAGUGCGGCACGGGGAAGAAAGGAGCCAUCGGCCCUGCGGCGGUGGGAGGAAGGAGCCCCAGGGGCACUCUGGCGCGGAGAAGUAAGCUAGGCGGCGGCGCGGCACGGCGGCGGGAGGCCGGGGCAGGCGCGGGAGGAGGAAGGUGGAGAAGGAUUUCGCCGGAUCCGGUUGGGGAAAUCGGUUGUGCUCGACCGGCCGGGGAGGAAAGGAGCCAGGGGAGUUCUCAAGGCCGGCACGACGGUGUGGGUGGGUGGCGGUGCCAGGAGGCCCGCGGAUCUCGCCGUGCGGGUGAAUCCAGGGCGCCGAGGGGAAUGNNNNNNNNNNNNNNNNNNNNNNNNNNNNNNNNNNNNNNNNNNNNNNNNNNNNNNNNNNNNNNNNNNNNNNNNNNNNNNNNNNNNNNNNNNNNNNNNNNNNNNNNNNNNNNNNNNNNNNNNNNNNNNNNNNNNNNNNNNNNNNNNNNNNNNNNNNNNNNNNNNNNNNNNNNNNNNNNNNNNNNNNNNNNNNNNNNNNNNNNNNNNNNNNNNNNNNNNNNNNNNNNNNNNNNNNNNNNNNNNNNNNNNNNNNNNNNNNNNNNNNNNNNNNNNNNNNNNNNNNNNNNNNNNNNNNNNNNNNNNNNNNNNNNNNNNNNNNNNNNNNNNNNNNNNNNNNNNNNNNNNNNNNNNNNNNNNNNNNNNNNNNNNNNNNNNNNNNNNNNNNNNNNNNNNNNNNNNNNNNNNNNNNNNNNNNNNNNNNNNNNNNNNNNNNNNNNNNNNNNNNNNNNNNNNNNNNCGUGCGGGGAAGAAGGUGGGAGGAGGGAGGUCGUGCCGUGGGAUGCGCCGACGGGUAGGGGUGUGAGGAAGAAGGUGGGGUGGGUUGCUCCAGGUUCUGUAUGUGGUUCAUUUUAUCCGCGGCACAGUUUGUUUGGUGUUAGCAGAAUAAGGAUUUAGUGUGCAGAAUAAGACUCUAGAGGGUGUUAUAUAUAUGGCUUCUGCACAGCUUCUCCAUCAUCAUUAUCAGUACAUCCUACGCAGGUGAGUUAGGAUGCACUUGAUCCCAUGAAGGUAUCUAUCCUUCAAACAAGAGGAGUGCUUCAAACUAACAACAGUACAUAAUAUCCAACAAAAGAGGGUCGUGCUACAGCUGCAGAAUACAUGGCUCAGUCUAGAUAUCAGUACGAAUCAAGUUGUGCAUAUUUGCUAUUGGCAUGAACCACAUAGCUGCAUGUCGGGUUUGCAAAAGCCAUCCAUCGCAUGGAAGCUUGAUGCCUUUCACACACUGAAGAUUAUAUGGCAACAAGCUGUGUCGAUGAAUCUCUAGAUAUGGUGAUUCAUGAAACCCAUGGUAUGAUGUGUAAACACAGUCCCCCCUGGCGAAUGGAAUUUGCAUAGCAUGGUAAUCAUCGCCGGUGAUAUGAUCGAUGAUUGAUUGGAUGAUCGGAUAAUUGAGCCCGAGGAACAUGGAGUGGUUGCCGAGGCUGUAAACCCGCCUCCAGUUGAAUACGCCUGGCCCAACGGAGCUGGGAUCUUUCUCGAACACGAAGCAGCCAUAGCCAUCAAUGUCACGAACGCCCCAUGCAUUGUACUGCAUGUGGUUUGAUGUAAUGGUUUGGUAAAUUUGGUACAUGCAAAUGAGCAUCAAAUGACCGCCGUCAGCUGAACAAGCGAUAAACCACCACCCAUCGGCUGGUAUGAUUGCAGGUCCUGGAAUCAUGAAGGCCAGCGCAUUUGUGUCUGCCGCAACAAUUCAAAUUAGAGACCAAAAGGACAAAAAUAAACAAUCAUGUUCAGAGUAUGUGUGGAAUUAAGAUUAUUAUAACAGUGACACAUAUCAUAGACAGAGAAUUGCAAUGCCGUGGUCAUAAUCAUACCCCAAGUUAAAAAAGUAAGCCAAUGGCUUUCAUAUUCUAGCAAUAUGUCAUGGUUCAAACAUCAUGUAACAAUGAUAGGAAAACAGCUAUAACAGAGCCUACCCAUACUCUACCAUAGAACUUACUACUACUGUUCUCGUAUCAACUCUAAGCAAUAACAUGUGUUGUUAUAAAAAUCUUGGAAAUGAGGGUAACAUAUAGCAAUUAUGAUGUUAUUCUCAUAAUAUCUAUUCUAACAAUCAUUAGAUGCCAAUUGUUCUCAUAUCAACUCUAACAAUAACAUGUGUGGUCAUAAAAAUCCAGGAAAUGGGAGGAAUAUAUAGCAAUGAUGUGGUUAUAGACAUACUGUCUAUUCUAAAUUUGUAACAAUGAAUAGGCAGUCAUAUUCAUAAGGAAAAGAUGAGUUGAGAUAGAACAAUUACAUGAUGAUAGAUUCCACCAGUAUAGGCAGCCAAUCUGUGAAUCGACCGCGUAAACGAUGCCAUCAUGCACUAUAGCAUCAUACAGAAAUGUUGCCUCAACAGGAUUGACGAUGAGCCAUAACCAUGUAUGGCGACCAGAUUCCAGAUAGACUAAUCCCAUGUUGAACAAGGCAAUGAGCUUGUAAUGCAUGUAGUCUUCUGAUGGUGUGGGCACUUCGUAGAUUACAACUUUCAACAAACAGAGGUCGAGCCAAAAGCUUGACGCGUCUCGUGCGUAGUAGGCAGGAGUGUCCGGCGGGCCGCGAGGCUCAUUGGCGGAGGUAUCCAACAAUGGAAGGGUGAUCUCUCGCUGGGUGUAGAUAUCCACGAGAUGCCACGGACUUCCGAAUUGGUGGAUGAGGAUGAUCCAGUUGGCCUUCAUGCCCACCCAGUAGUGGCCGCGCAUGAAGGACAGGUGGACAGGUAGUGGUAGCAUGUCGAGGGGCACCAUGGCAACCUCCGUAGGAUCGUCAACUCGGUGUCUAGGCCACCUGCGAGGAUCGGGCAUCAGCAAGCAGGGUUUCUUGAAAAGAGCCGGCCGGUUGUAGACGAGUAGACGGUGCAAAGACACCGAGCAUGCAGCCAGGCGGACGGUGCUGAGUAGGUCCAUACGAUUACAGAUCUGCUCCAAGAGAACAUUGGGGAGGGAAUUCCAUUCGCGGCUCUGCGUGUCAGUCGGUUCUGCCAUUGGGGUUUUUGGUGCCUGCGAGCCAGCGGGGAAGUGGAUUCGGGCGGGCAAGCGAAGAAGCUUCUCCUUGUGUGGCUGAGCAGUGAGUGGGGGGAUAUGGUACGCGCGAGCUACCAAGGAAGAUGGCGCGGGCGGGCGAGCAGUGAGCGGGGGUAAAUGGUGUGUGGCCGACGAUGGGGAAGAUAGGAGGAAUAAGAAGAGAAGAGGAAGAAGAGUGGAAGACGGGGAAGAAAGUGCAUUAAAUCUCAAUUCUACUAGUACCACUACCAGGAUAUACCGUCCUUCGGAGUGUAAAUAGUUACACUGAUGACAUGUGGGUCUACCACAAGAGGGCCCAUAUGUCAGUUAAUGGAGGACAGAGGUGCGUAGGCGUAUUUGUGGAAGCAUGCUCUACUCGCAAGCAUGAUGGAAGUACUGGGUAAGGGUGAUUUAGUAACACCAAAACGCUGGUUCAACUUAUUAAUUAAGUGUCCCAUCUACUGCAACAUGUAUUGUCACUUCACUGCGAAGACUAGUUGAAUAGUUCUCUCUGACCGAGAUGGGGAAUAAUGGAUCUCGAAGACUUCCUUUCUACAGUAUCCCUAUGCCUCUACGCUCAGUUCACUUAUUUUGCUCAGUACGUAGUCACUUGUUGAAAUCUCUAGAAAGAAAAAUACUCCUUAUUUGGAACAAAGGAGGCUUUUACUCCGUAUUUGGGAACAGAGGGAGGCUUUUACUUCGUAUUUGGGAACAGAGGGAGUAUCACCAUAUGGAGGGAACAUAAGAAGCUUGAAAUAUGAACAUGUCAAUGGGAGGGAGUAAGCCCCAUGCAUGCAUGCAUGCAUGCAUGCAACAUGCAACACUCACACAUACACAUGGACGCACGCAACACUCAUGCACCCAUGCGGCACACAACACACGACGCAACACACACGCUCAUGCUCAAGUGCUCAACCUACUCCCUACGUCCAUGAAAGACUGUACAUUUAGAGAUUUACACAUUGACCAGGGCAUAAUUAACGCCCAAAAGUAGUAGACUUAUGUGUGCAUGCAACCAUUGAGAGAAGAAGAUUAAAUGAAGGCCGUUGGAUGCUGUAAUUAAGGAUAGACAUGUAGCCUAUACCUAGAGCACAAGUUGGUGCAUUACUCAAUCAAUAUCGAUUUAGAUUAUAGGCUAAAUGCAUUGGAAGUGUAGAUGUACUACACUCUUUGUUUUUUUAGCCGAUGUACACUCUUUGUUGGAAGACCGAGGGAGUACACGUGCAUGCACUCACAUACACAACCAGGGUGGUUCGGGCGCAAGGGUUGGACUCCUGUAGUGCCUGCGUAAAGUUUUGUUGAACUGAUUUCUUUGCUCUACCAAUUGACAGGUGGGACCCAGAAACUAGGUGACAAUUUAACCAGUCAACAAAGUGCCACGUCGACUAUGUGGCCGGUCAGUAGGGUGCAAUAGAAUGCUCUAUGAUGAGCUAGUGAUCGUAUAAUCACCGCAAAACUAUAUAUAGUGAUCGUAAAGGGCGUAUUGUUACAUACGUUGACCGCCAGUGUAUUUUUCUCAUUUCAAAUUAAGCCAUAUUAAUCGGAAAGGACGCAGUAUGGACUAGUACUAGUACUGCUUUGAUGUGUCCCAUCAACUCGCCGAACGAGGAGAAGCUUGCUUACUACGCCUCUCCCUCUUCCACGCGCGCGGUGGUUCGUAGGACGAGGAGAGGGUUUUGACUACAGCGCCCUCUCCCUCUCCCUCUCCCUUGCCCUCACCCUCGCGGUGGACGUGCAAUAGUUCAAUCGGUGUCAGAUUGCCUGAAGCAUAUUGUACUGUAGUAUCAUCAUUGUUGGACCUUCCCAAGAGGCAAAGAGCCAAGUCAACAAAGUGCCACGUCGACUAUGUGGCCGGUCUGUAGGGUGCAAUACGGUGCUCUACGAUGAGCUAGGGAUCGUGCUGCAAAACUAUAUAUAGUGACUGUAAAGAGCGUAUUGUUACAUACGUUGACCGCCAGUGUAUUUUUCUCGUUUCAAAUUAAGCCAUGUUAACCGGAAAGGACGCAAUAUGGACUCGUACUAGUACUGCUUUGAUGUGUCCCGUCAACUCGCCGAACGAGGAGAAGCUUGCUUACUACGCCUCUCCCUCGCCCACGCGCGCGGUGGUUCCCAGGACGAGGAGAGGGUUUUGACUACAGUGCCCUCUCCCUCUCCCUCGCCCUCGCCCUCAUGGUGGACGUGCAGUAGUUCAAUCGGUGUCAGAUCGCCAGAAGCAUAUUGUACUCUAGUAUCAUCAUUAUUGGACCUUCCGAAGAGGCGAAGAGCCAAGUGCAAGGUUCACACGAGUACGAACUGUUGAACCUCCCGAAGAGGCAAAGAGCCAAGUGCAAGGUUUUAUAGGAGUUGUCGUCCUAGUAGGAGUGUACUACAACUAUAGCAAACAAUGCUACUGUAUGAUGCCGCCACGUCACGUAUAUCCAAAGCCGUGCCGCCUUUUUUUUCUCAAAGAGUGUGUUGGAGCCCGUGCAACAACCACACAAGUUGCAUGUACACAUAACACAUUUAUUCGUAAUAAAUUCUAAAGGACAAAUGCCAGUAUGCCACACAAGUUCAUCUCCAAUUCAUGUGAUAAAUUUGUGCACGACUAGUCUACAUAUAUUCACAGCGCUACUGUUCACAAUUUACCAUACACCACCUACACGUUAUAGAUGGGCUACAUGUCCUCCUCCAGGUUCCAGUCCCAGGUGUUCUUCAUGGAUGGCACGAUCCAUAGCGGUGGGCAACAGGAAUCAUUGUCACAGCUUUCUAGUCCGGUUCCACAUGAUGGAGACUCAUCCAAGCUGAAGCGGCAUAAAUCAGGGAUAGCGUGUCCCCGCAUGUCGUUCAUCCGGCAGUGGGCACUGAAGACACAACCAUGCUUCAUGAACGGCAGGUCUUCCGUGUCGUGCACGAAAGGUGGCAUCCGCUUCAAAAUGGGGUAGCUGUCCCCAAUGAAAAGCGAGUACUCUCCAAGAGUGUUCCUCGGCACCCAUGUAGCAUCAUGGGGGUCAAACUCGGCGCCAUUCAUCUGGUACACGCGGCAUCUCAGAUCUGGACAAAUGGUGACGUACAUAGUCAAGGUCCAUGCAUAAUAAUGUUGUGCUCAAAUAUGGCGUCAUUAAUACUGUGCAGCAAAUAGUACUACUCUGGUAUAGAGGAAGUAAAAUAACCGGCUUAUUAUAUAUAGCCACUCUUGGCUACAUGGAUGAGAUAGUAAGACAUGGAAAAACAAAAAUGGUGGCAGCUAGUGGGUUCAAGUCUUCAAGGGCCUAGCUAGCUAUACGCGUCCUCCAAGGUAAAAAGUACUCCUACUAGUACUAGUAAGUACUAGUACAACAAUGAAAGAGAAGGCGAGAGGGUAAAAAUGGAAUACCUGGGUAGAUGGUGACGGUCCGAUCGUGGUAGAUUGUGUGACCAUGUUGCACAUCAGUGAUACCACGGGUAACGACUACUAAGAUAGUUGAUCCCAAUAUGCCAAAGUUAGCUACAAGGUUCCAGGUUAGACCAAAUCGCGGAUGCAAAUGCACAUCCAGGAUCGGCGAUCUUAUUUUGAUUAGGGGAUGACUGGUUCCUGAGUACCGUUAGGGAUACAAAUGAUGGUUUGUGCAUUCCGUUUCUAAUCUCCCAUACCGUAGGAUGGCAACCAGAUGAAACAAGUCCCCUGGCUUGUCACCGCGAAGAUGCGGCCUAGAUGGCGCACGACGUCUUCGAACGUGUAGGGGUACAAAUCUGCCGCCGCCAACAUGCGCCACCCUCUGCUGUUACUGCCUCUUGCAUUGAUGGCAAUCCUUAUGUCGAACACCGCGAUGAGAUAGUAAUCAUUGUAGCCGCGUAGCUUUGUCGGCGGGUCCGCAAUUGCUAUCUUAUUCAAUCUCAUGUAGGCAUCAUCAUACGUAUUCAAGCCCAGCUAGUCUGGAAGGCCAAUCCCAAUGGUGGAGAAGGGGUCUACCGAAACGGCCGCACUGCUUUGGAUGUUGUGCAAAAUGAUGGUGGUAUCCGGCCGGAGGUAUGCAAGCCAAUCUUCAUUGGCACCAACCCAGACCUAUAUAUAAGACGGUGGGUAGCGGAGAAAUUAUGGGAUGGAAAUGAAAUAACUAAGCACUACAUGAUCAAACUCCAUUACUGACCUGCUCAUCGGACAAAAUCCGACUACCUCUCAACAUCGGCAACUCUAGCGGAGUCAACGUGCAACCAUGGCCAGGGAGCAGUGUGCUGUUCGAAGGAUUAUCCCAUAGAAGAACCUUCUCCUCGAGGACGCAUGGAAUACCAACAAGCAUGGCCUUUUCCCAAGCCUGUUUAAGCACCAUCUUGAAAAAGUUGGUGCAGGAAGCACCGAGUCUUGCAGCGAUGAGGAGGUCGGAGCAGCGUGCGAUUUCUCCCAGAGGAUCAUCGUCCAAGGUCUCCUAGACCUGACGAGGAGGAGAACUGCCUGGCGAAUCCAUGGGAGCAGCGACGAACUGCCUUCUCUUCGGGGGGAGGGGAACUGGCGAGGAGGAGAUAAGAGCGUAGUAACCACAGGGCCUCGUCCCUUCCAACUGUAGAUCGUUCCUUAGAGAAGGGGUGAGGCUAUUAUUUACUGCUAGUACUAGCAUUAUGGGACGUUAUUGGAUUGCAUUAUACUAUAAAUAAUAGCACUAGUAAGAAAUUUUUGGCACUAGCUAGGUAGUAGUUUUUGCCGUGGAUUAAGAAACUUUGGGUAUGUUUUUGCUAUUUUUUGUACACGCCAACUAGUGUCAAAAAACGUCUUACAUUAUGUGACGGAGGAGUACGUACUCGUACUGUAGCAAUACUAGUACUACUUUGUCUCAACUAGUAGUGCGAUGUACUAUACUUCUAGUCUAGUCUAGUAUAGUGCACCAGUUUUGAACUCUUGAAUCUCAGGGCUAAGGAGCUACAGUUGGAAGUGGAGGGUACUACUGUUCUCUAGAACCAUUGUUGUACUAUCAAUUCAGGGAAAGUACACCUGCGUAGUGGCCUAGUGGGUACUCUCAGUGCUCUAUUCAGCCGCUCCUCUAACAUAGCUGGCCUACUCAGCCGCUCCUCUCACGCACACACUAGCAGCCUAUUUAUCACCGAUGGUUACUGCGGGGGCAGAACAUUUGAGUUAUUUGAUACAGUGGGACAAGGCUUUUUGCUUCCAUAUGUGGAGGUGUGAUGGAUCUCAUCGAACUUUGUUAGUAGUUCCUUCUUUAUGAAUGAGAUGAAGCAAAGCUCUUGCCUCCGUUUCAAAAAAAACACAUCAAGAGGAAUUUCUUUUAUAGUAGAGACGAUAAUGGAGUGAAGUCCAUGCGUGCAAUGCCACAAGCUACAGAAUAGUAAUAGAGCACUUUACGUACAGAGCCAUAUUGCAUAGUUCCCAAUGCCCCGCCUGGCUUUUCCGGCUCCUUGGGUUUAAUUGGGAGGCACUAGUUUAAAUAUGCUACUAGCUGAUAAGGAAGCUGCAAGCGAGGUGCAGCUAGGGCGAGCACGCGAGCUACGGGAUGCUGGGAAGGAAAACCUGUUCACAUGGCUAGGCUAUCAAGUGCACCCAGAUUGUGGUGCCGCCUGUCCGUUUGACUUCAAAACUCAAACUACCCGUGUAAAAUAUUGGCUCGCAGCAAAGUUACUAUUUAUAAAAAAGGCCGCCAUGCGUUCAGCCGGGAUCGAACCCACAAAACGAGGUAUACACUCCCGCGACCACUAGUAGUACUCGUUGGAGUACAAUGCAACCUUGAAUCGCCUUUUGUCACUAGUAGUACAUUGUUCCUUACAAGAAACCCCUAAUAAUGCAAGAAACCACUAAUAAUGCCAAGAAACUACUACCACUUGCAUACGUGGCAGACUUAAGAUAAGACUACCUUAUCAACCAUUGUACAUGCUCUUACCAGCCAGCCUUACCAAGAAACGACUACUCUACAAACUGCCGUUAUAGGCACGUUUCAACCCAUGGCCCUGUUUGGAUACAUUUGUUGUCAAUCUAACCCUUCCAUCCAAACACCACUUUGGUUAGAGUUACUUCAGGGUUAGAAUCUAACUCUAACAUCUGACAGGGCCCAUGUCGCCCAUUAAGUCAAUGCCUUCUAUUCGACCGGGCGUUAUGACUUGUGGGACCUACAUGUCAGUCUGCACAAAAAUCCCCGAGUGACCUCCUACCUCCGGCCCGUCCACCUAGUCAUCCUCGGCCAUGGGACAUGGCUACCACCGCCGGCAGAAGGCAAGGUGAAAACCACUGGCGGUGCGGAGCCCAUCUUGCAGCAGCCUGGAUCCCAGCUCCGUCCGGCGCUCGCGGUCGCUAGCUAGCCAAGAUAGCUCCGUCCAGCUGCUUGUCUGCAAGGUUUGCUAGCAAGAUUGGCACGGCGGCGUGGUGGCUUGCUCUCUCACGCCGCAUUAAGGCCAGCCAUCUAGCUCGAACAAAGGCCAACGUGGCGGCUUGCUCGCUCGUAAGUCACGCUCGGGCCAGCCUGCCAACCCUUGCGGAGGCCAGCGUGGCAUCCGGCCCGUUCGGCGGAGCGGCGGCCAACUCGCUCAUCACCGGCGCCACCAACGAACACGCAUCAGUACUGUUUGAAGUAAUUUUCAGGAAAAGUAAUGAUUUGAGGGGGAAUAAUAGGAUAGAAGGUCAGGUGUGGGUCCCUCGUGUCAACGGUCAAACAAAAUGUGUUGGUUUAAGCUGCCUCGUCAGCACGGACGUGUGGGCCAUCCCUGUCAUAAAUGGGUUUAAACGAACCUAAUCGGUAGGAGUACUAGGUAGUAGUUUUUGGCGUGGAUUAAGAAAUUUUGGGUAUAUUUUUGCUAUUUUGUACAAUAGAUUCUUCCUAGGCCUGGUUGAAAGUGGUAGUUUUUUGUUAAAUACUCUACAUAUUGUAAGUAGGAGUGAAAGUUAAGCUUUGGAAGCCAAUAAGCAAGGCUAGUUACAUAGUGCAUAUGUGUACACGAUUGAAAGUAAAUAUCAACCAUGAGUGACUAAUAUCUUGAUGGAAAAGUCGAAACUAUGGAAUACUUGGAAAAAAAUUGCAUGGUUGGAAAUACUAGCAAUGUUCAUGUGCGUUGCAAUGGAUCAUAAUUAGAAUAAUACUUAUUCACAAACUUGAUACAAAACACUCUAAUUUUGAUAUACAUAUAUCACUAGAUAUAUAUUAUGUUUCAAUUAGAAUAUAUUCCUUGGGCUGUUUUGGUGAGGUCACGGAGGGAUGUGGUUGGUUUUAAGAUACUAAUUAUGGGUUUUUCUACAAAUUGGUAGACAAGUGGGAUGUUGGUGAGAAAAGGCAACAACUUACCUCACAGUCGUUAGAUGUAGAUCUAAUGGUCAGAAAUGACGGAUUGCAGACACACCAUCAUCACCAACUUAGUCUUCUGUAGGAGUACUAGCAAGAUCCAUGCAUUGCAUGGAACAUCAAGAUGCAUUUUUUAUAAAACACUUGUUGUGAUUGACCCAUGCGGGAAUAAUCCCAUGUGUAAAAACUAAUGAUAUCUUGAGAAAUAUGAGAUAAGGUGAAGAGGAGUGGGGCGUGGUGGUGAUUGGUGGUCGGAAUGAGCGGAGGCAUGGGGAUUGACGACGCCGGCAGCGGCCACCAGGCCAGUUUGUUCCAGAGGCUUCCUUUCUUAAUUGCUCAACAAUGAGGUUGUUGGAGAUAAGGAUGAACGAGGGAAGGCAUUGUCUGUAAAUGUGGAGAGGGGUGCGGGUACCUUUUAGUUUAAUUUCCAUCCGUCAGAUAUAGAUCGGACGGUCUAUAUUGCAAGAUGGCACGCAUACCAUCAUCACCAACUCAUUUUUUUAUAAGAGAAGAAAUAUAAGUAUGGAGAUACAAACGUAUUAUCGAUACUUGUUUCCGUAAACUAGCAUCUACAUUCUAUUCAACGCCUCAGCAUGUGGGUCCUUAGCACAAUGACUUCUCGACUGUGUAAAACAAAGGUUUUCCCGUCGCCGAUAAGGAGGGGGUGACGGUGGAGCGCUUUUUGGCUUGCUCUAGUCCUAGUAGUCAUACUAGGUGGUCUAAGCACGUGUAAAUUUAUUCUUUUUCACGUCUCGUGUUCGCCGUACUGCCACGAUUGUUGAUGAAUAGCCGGUAAGUUAUUCACGGGGAAACCCUUGUUGAGCGUGUUUGCCAGAGAGAGAGAGAGAGUGUGUGUGUGUGCAUGUGUGAUAUGUCUAGAGACUGAGGCAAUGAUAACAGAUUCUUUGUGUCUAUGUGUGUGGAGGAUAGAGAGAGACAUGUACAUGGGGCUUUGUGUUGUGUAACAUGGAGACACAUAUACAUAAUUAGAGAGUGAGUGUGUGAGAUACACAUGCGGACACGGGGAGAGAUGAGGAUCCAGAUAAAUGGGUGUUUGUGUGUGUCUGUGUGUGUUUGUGCAUGCAUUUGUGUGUGAGAGGGAGUGUGUGUAUGUGGAGUAGAGGGACCACUAUUGAUGUAAACCUAGUAUAAGGGAAGGGGGAAUGGUGUGACUGUGUAGUAGCGGGAUAGCAUGGGUGCGGGCGAGGGGAGCAGACUGUUUGGAAGAGACAUCGAGUGUGUGUGUGGGAGAGGGGUGUGAGAGCGAGAGAGAGAGAGAGAGAGAGUUAGCGACAGAGAGAGAAAGAGAGAGAGAGAGAGAGAGAGAGAGAGAGAGAGAGAGAGAGGCGAGAGGGGUCGUUUGUGUCCAUAAAUGGUGUAUAGGUAGGGAGACAAUGUUGAUGUUGUUCGAAAUUGGCCUAUGUAUGGAGACGCAAGGGAAGCGAGUCAUCAUGUGUGUGAUAGGGACUUCAUGAGAGAUCUAGAAUAGAUGGUGUAGAGAACAAUGUGCGAGAUCGAGAAUGAUGAUAUAUUAGGGAGCUAUGGAAAGAGUCACGACAUAUAUGUAUACCGGGAAGGAGCUGGGGCGGGUCUGCAUGUGGGAGAGAUAGAAAGAGGAGAGUGGUGCACAAGGAGACAAAGUGUGCUUGUUUGUAGUGGGGGUGGUGUGUGAGGUGAGUGUGCGAGAACCACAUAACUAGGGAGAUAGACGUUUGGGGGCGACGUUUUGUGUGUAUGGGAAAGAUACACUCUACAUAGUGCGUGUGCUUGGGAAAGAGAGAUGCUAGGAGACCUAGAUAGUGGGAGAAGAGAUGUGUGCAUGCCCGAGAGACAAACUGACAGGGACCUAUAUUGGGGUCAGGACUUUAGAAGAGAGCAGGGUGUUAAUGUGCUCCUGUGUUGGUNNNNNNNNNNNNNNNNNNNNNNNNNNNNNNNNNNNNNNNNNNNNNNNNNNNNNNNNNNNNNNNNNNNNNNNNNNNNNNNNNNNNNNNNNNNNNNNNNNNNNNNNNNNNNNNNNNNNNNNNNNNNNNNNNNNNNNNNNNNNNNNNNNNNNNNNNNNNNNNNNNNNNNNNNNNNNNNNNNNNNNNNNNNNNNNNNNNNNNNNNNNNNNNNNNNNNNNNNNNNNNNNNNNNNGAUAUAGAGUGAGGUGUCUAUAUUUGAGGGACUUUAGCGUAAUUGAGAUAUGCAUGGUCAAUAGUUUGUGCACUCAUGGUUGAUCAAUUUGUUUCAUAGUUUGGACUAUGAGAUAACGAUACUUUUGAACAUGCGUGAUAUACCUUGAUGUACCAGAAUUACAAAGCUAAGAUUGGAAUUUUGGAAUUCGAAUCCAUCAUUAGCUUUUGUAAUUCAUUUAAAUGGAGGUACAUUUUUUAAGCCGGGAUUUCGUGAUUUUAAAUUCAUAUAUCAAACCUAGAGAUAUACACAUACGAGCAUGUUCAAACUUUAUAAUCAUCCACUUUGUUCAUACACAUACACAUUUUUGAUUUUGUCAUCAUAUUCAAGAUAAACACAUUUGGAAUUUCAUUUGAAUUGGACCGUAUGAUGGUAUUUGCUUGUAGUAGCUCAAUGAUCCAUAUUUGAAUUGAAUGUACAAUCUAAGUUUUGAGUUGGAGACAUUGAUUUUCAAAACUUGCACUUUUUUUUGCGUGCAAAACAAACAAAUUCUCGGCCAUGAUAUCAUAGUUGGCUGUACAAGAGCAGAAUAUAAUUUCAGGCGCCAAAAGCUUUCAAACUUCCCACUCACAUCGAAAUAUCUCGCGCCCGAAAGUUUAGUCCUGCUAUAUUCUUGUUUUACCCCUGCAACAUGAAUGGAAAAGGGCUGCUUUGGUAACUCCAUUGUUUUCCCAUCUUUGCCCCCAAGAUUAUUCCCCAGAGCCCCUCCCCUUCCCCUCCCUGACCCCCCACCCAACCACGGCAAGGCACCGAAUCUAGUCCUCUGCCGCAGCGGUGGACCUCACACCCCGCCGGAUCUACCUUCCGCACCUUGGAACCCCCAACUACCAACUCACCACUUCACCGGAGCCGCUUCAGCGACUGGCUUGUCCACCGCUCCAGAUCUCCUUGACCUCCAUCAUGGUCCAUCGCACCGGAUCUUCUUAACCGACACCCUCGUCCACCACAAUGUAGGCCCUUCACUGACUCCCUCGUCCGCCCCUUCGCUGGCCCUUCAUACAAGCCCUCGUCCGCCGCAACAGAUCCGCCUCACCGAAACCACUGUACAAUGCGCCGUCGAAGCCUUCGUCCACUGCACCGGACCCGCUCCACGGAUGCCAUAUUCAACUCCACUGGCCCCGCUUUACCGACGCUGCAGCCUCAUCAGGUUAUUUUGAUUUGUACUCCUUCAGUUUUUUUCUUUAUCGUGUAACUGUUCACUUACCACAGAUGAGCUUUCUUGUAUCUCGACAGGCGCUGCAACCGUAGCACUAGAGCCGCUUCAGCAAUGGCGAUAGCUGGCCCAAACUCAACCGCAACACAAGCACCAUCGACAAUCCUUAGCUAUCAAGUAUGAUAAUGAUACCCAUAUGCCGUGAAGAAUCAGGUACUAUUAUCCAACGGCCGGCACCUAUGUUCACUUUCUUAGCAUAAGCACCGCACCUUUUAUUUUUUUCAGGGCAUCAUUCAGUUUUCAUGAGACGCAUUAUUCUGCUUGCACCUGUAGGGCCAUACUUCUGACAGUGAACAUGCUACAUGUGCUAAAUUACAUACCAGUGCACAUAUAGUUAAUAUGAUUUAGUUUUGUCCUAAGUAUUACUGUACUUCCUAGAUAUCACUGCCUACUAUUUUACUUCUUGAAUGCUAUAUUUAUGAUAAUGGUGUGGUUCUGAUGCCACCUGUUGGUUCCAUCGGACUGCUUAAUGUUCUCUAUGCUUAAUUACACAUCAGCAAACUAGCAUGUGGUUCCGCUGCUUUUUGUUUGUUUUACCCUACAUUUUCCAAUGCUAGCUAUUACAUCACUGCUCCGAGCCUCUAUUCAUUACUUGAUUGUGUGUUCUUGAUCUUCCCAAGUUGCAUGACUAAUUUGAUGCUUCUAUUAAUUAUGGAGCUGCCAACCACAUCAAGCAAAAUAUUUGUUCUUUUGGGGCUGGCACCUCGAACAAGCAUAAAAAUAGAGGGAAGCAGAUAUAUUGUUGUGUAUCCACACACCCUUCUUUCAUUAGUUUAGAUGAACCAUUGAUGAUCAAUUCAGACCAGUGCAUGCGAUUAAAAUUAAUUUUAUCUAAAUAGAGGGUGCAGAAUAAACUACAACAACUAGAUUUGCAACCACGGGAUGCUGACGAUAUCUUCAAAGAACAUUGCAAUAGCAGCGAGGCUUCACAGCAACAUAUGGUAAGCCAGUGUGUUUUAGUACAUGUGAAAUGUAAUGCGAGUGGGCUGCUUUCUUGGCUUGUGCCCUCAACCUGUAAUCCUACAUAAUUACAAAUAGUUCAGUUGUCUGCUUUGCUGUAUUGCUUGAUUUGAAUGCUUGUUUGUUGGUACGCUAUACCUGAGUUGGCCAAUAUGUCAGCAGUGCCCACUGUACUAUCGUAAAGAAAUGCAUGCCUAGUUCAUUUGAGUCCUUAACUUUUCCUCUCAACUUCAUCACAAGACUGUAUUUGUAGUUUAUAUGAGGCCACACUGUUAAGUGCUUUCUCAGAUUAUUUCAACUGCUUAGAUGCCUUGGCAACUUAAAUAUAGCGGUGGUACACUCCCUUUCAACUAGGGAUGUCAACUGGGUCCCGCUUAAUCCCGAUUAAAGUCCACUAGUGGUAUGAUAGUUGAAAAGAGUUUUUGUUUUUUGAGGAAAAUGAACUAGGGAGCUAGCAAAAACUAACUAGAUGGGACUAGCGGAUGUCAUUUAUUUGCCACUUACAUCCCUAGUUUCAUCUUACCAUUUUAAUUUCUUUUCGGCUGAUGCUACUUCGAACCAUUUAAAUAUAGCUUGCCAUGCUCGGCAAUAAUUCGUAUGUCGUUUACCAUCUAAGCGUACUGCCUGGUUCAUAUGAUAACUAUCUCUUAGUUAUGUCCAGCAGAAACCUUUCAGGAUGCCGUUCACACUAGGACACAAUGUACAAGCCCAGAAUCUAUUUGUGGAAGCAGUGCACCAUCCAUGUUACCAGAUGGUAGCAGUUCAGAGGCAGCACCGCUGUAGAGCAGUCUGUGCACAUAUAUUAUAGUGCUUGAGGCUCUACUAGAGGCAGAAAGAGAUGGCAUGGAUGCCAUUAAUGAGGUAAUAUUUAUCUUGAGGCUGGAAAUAAUGGAAUUAGCGGCACGCAUUAUGCAAGCAACCCAAGAAUUGGAGGAAGUAAGAAUGUUGCAUUCGAAGACGGAGGAGGUCCUGCUGUUUCUGCUAUCUGAAGCCCAGGGUAAUCCUGGUUCUUCUUUAGAUACAAGUUGAAAUUGUCAUUAGAUUAUUGUACUUGCAUGUUGUGUCAUGUCUCUGAAUGAAUUAUGUUGCAAGACCCCCUAUGUUGUCCAUGUGUUGUAAUGAUCUGAAUUUUUUAGGCGAGGUAAUCCUCAGUACUUGUAUGAUUGACAUAAGGUGAACUAUUUUUCGUGUGAGCAUAUUGUAUUGGAUGAAAUAACUGUUUGACUCAAAGUGUAUCCAACCUACUGAAUUCAAAGAUCACGGCAUUUAUAAAUCAUAAUCAUAUAUAAAGGUGGAAGAAAUCUUUGUUGUGGUUUUGAAGAAAUAAAUAACAAAACGUAGAAUUAUCUGUGGAUAUUCAUAAUCGAAUACAAAUUGGAUUUGAAUUUAGUUUGCCAGGGCCCAGGGCAAAUGUGAAUGCUAAUUGUCCCAAGUUUUGAACGAAGCGGCUAAACACCCACUAUAAUUUGUGGGCUGCCCGAAGCAAGUGUUUGCGAGAUGGAAAUUACUGUCUACCCCUGACACUUGACGUCCUUGUCGGCCGGAUUUACACUGCUGUCGAUAGGGGUAGACUAGUAACUUCAAUCAGACGUGACACGACGGCCUCUGAGCCCAUUCAGACAUGGUGGGAGCCAAACAUGGGCGGUAAAACACAUUUGAUUCAAGCUCGUCCAAAAGACAUGUGUCUCUUCCUCCAUUUCCCCAUUCAUACACGGUUGGCGGCAAAACAAACUCUCCUCGUCCGAAAUUGAUGUAGGCUAAUAUUUUAAAUAGGGGCAGAUGUGUAACUUCCCUCAGACGUGACACAACCGCCCUACCUGUCAGCCCAGUUCAUACACCAUGGGGGCCAACCGUGGGCGUAAAAACACCCUCUCCUCACCGGAAAUAGUUAUCGGCAUAUAUUUGGGAGAUGCGAGAUUACCGUCCUAUCCCCAACCGAUGCAAUGUCCGAAAUUUUAAACGGGGGAUAAGUUCAUAACUUUCCCAUAUUUCAGAGAAGCGCGCCCCAAAGUUUGAGAUCCCCCUCCCCUCCAUUUCCCCAUUCAUACACCAUCGGCGCCACGACAACCUCCCCACUGCGGCCAGCCUCCUCUGUCCGCCACCCCAUCCUCCACCUUGCCGGAGCCCUACCCCUACCCCGUCGUUCACUGCAAGAGAUGGACGUCUCUCAUCCAUGGCGCUGGACUAGGAUCCUUUCAUCGCGUCCUCUCGCUUCAUCAGCGCCGUCGUCCACCUUGCCGUUACUGCUCCUACGACCGCCUCGUCCACGACAAUAGGAUUUAUCCCCCGACCAGGCCGUCUGCCGUCUAAAGUCUUCUUCCCCACCGCGGACAGCCAUCGCACCCGCAACACCCUCAACAUAUCAGCAGAGGCCUACACGGUGUCGCAAGAGAGGUGGUACUCUUCCAUAUGUGGUUAAGUUAUUGAUCUCACCCAGAAAAUAGAUCGUAAUUUGUUUACUGUACUUUUCUUGUCCGUACCAAAUCGUAGUGGCUAGUUGAAAGCAAACAUUGGUUGCGAAGUAGCUUUGUCCGGUUUGCACCUUACGCCAUGGCACGAGCACUAUACUCCUAAAGCUUAUGGUUUCCCCCCUUUAUAUUCACUACCAUCAUCAGAGGUGCUUCGUGUCGUGCUAGCACUGCUCCUGAAGACCUCAACCCAAAGCUUACGUGUUGAAAUACGAAUCUGAUAUGAUGCUCAUAUCAUUAAAACAGAGGACAUUUAAUUGGUCACCUAAUGUUCCUAUAUUCGUUUCGAACAACAUGUGCACCACCCACUGGUCCAGCUAGUUCCACUUUCCUGAUUUUUCACUUGAUGCUUAGGGUUUCCCCUUUUAUCUACUCUACUAUGAUCUGCAUAGGUGCUUUCUGUCAUACUAGCGUUACUCCACCCUUCAAGCUAAACAACACAACACUCAAAAUUUGAGAGCUUAGUUGUUCAAAUAUGAUUGUGAUAUGAUACUGAUAUUAGUUAACAGACACAUUUAAUUGGUUAGCUAAAGGUCCCACUUGAGUUUGCAAAUGCAUGUCGCGACAUAUAGAGAGACAGCAGAAUUGCAUUUCUUUAUCACUUGUUGACUGUACUUUCUUGUCCAUACCAAAUCUUAGUUGUUAUUUCAAAGCAAACAUCUAUUGCUAACUACCCUUUGCACGGUUUGCAGCUUCAGAUCUGCCAUCCCACUGCCACGGUCAACACUGUACUCAUCAUGCUUAUGGUUUCCACAUUUUAUGAUGACCACGAUCAGCCUACGUGGCUCGUGUCGUAAUAGCACUGCUCCACCCAUUGAGCUAAACAAAGUUAGCUGUACAAAUUCAUAUCUGAUAUUAUGCUGAUAUUAGUAAAACUAAGAGAUGUUUAAUUGGUCAACUAAAUGUUCCUACUUUAGUUUCGAAAUGCAUGUGAGCCACAUAUGGAGAGACUGGAAAGAAUAGUAUUUCUUUGUGCACUCUUGUUCAUCAUGGGUGACCAACCGACAUUGUAUUGAAAGACUUGUAAUAUCUUCAAUUUGCUUGCUCUUCUGCUCUUCUUUAAGAUGAUCCUCUUCUCUUGUUGUCGACUGGUCACGUCGAGUUGUUCUCCCUUAGUAUAUUUUGAAUCUGUCAGGUCAGGUCAACUUGUUCUUCUUUACUAUAUGUUGAAGCUGUCAUCUGCGAAGUGUCAUCACUUCUGGAGCUCUCAUAUUUUGAGUAGUAGGCCACAUUAUAUUAAUGCACACACCAAAUUACAGCAUGCAUGGCAUCUCUUAAAAGAAUUGCAGAGAUAACACACUUCUGCAUUACAAAGAUAAUCUCACUUGUUUUUAUGUUUUCAUGCAUGUCAGAUAUUGAACAUUAUCAAAAUGAAUAUGAGAAUGGACGCACGAGAGGAAUAUUGCUGAACAAUCCAUUGGCUAACAAACUGGGCAUGGUAGAGGAUGGCCUAUCUUAUUCACCCAUCAAGGUGCUUGCUCUAACUUGGCAAGGUUGUAUUGGUCGCACAUAUUUUGCAUCUGACCUCUUGCAUUACUUCUACUUUGUUACACCAUCUGCUUAGUUUAAGCAUCAUAUAUGAGUAUAUGCCAUACCUAUCCAUUUUCUGUACCUAUUCCAUGUGUCGUCACACUAUGUUUUUCCAGUCAAAUGUUGUUCUUUCGUAAUAGAUGUCCAAAAGGAAGAGGGUGAGUGCAGAUCCUCAAGGAGUACAAACUAGGUAUUUGGAAAAGGUUGUGAUACCUGUUAAAUUAGAUAGAUCAGCAGCCACAAAAAACACAUGCCCAACUAUACCACACUUUACCCCUACUCCAGUGGCCAAACCCCUAUUAGAACUGCUAAGAGCCCAGCGUCGGGUAAUGUCUAUGAUAUCAAUUCAAAAUUUGAACUCCUAAAUUUCUGCAUCUGCCUUACCUUCUCUCUUGUAUGAAAACUAAUUUCAGAUGAAUCUCCUUGCUCGAAGGACCACACAGUCUCACAACAAUACUGGGCUCUGCAUUGGUCUUGUCAGUACCUCUAUCCCUUUUGCCUUGUAACACUGUACUUAAUUAAUUGCUAUUUGAUUAUGUAUCAUCAGUCUGCACCUGAGCUUCAUUAUCCUCUGUUUCUUCCAAUAUUAUUUGAUCUAUAUUUACUCUUUGCAAAAUGUAGAAUAAUGGCAACGCUAAUAAAUAAUUUUCUUUGGGGAACUUAUUGAAUUAUCCUUCCAUCAACAUGGAGAAGGGCUUCUUCCAGCCCGUGUUAACAUGUAAUGUAAGUUCGUCCUUCUCAAGCCUUCAAACUUUUUUCUAGUAUAGAUUUGGAUAGGCAUCAUUUCCUCCACUACUGCUUGCAUUAUUGUUUACAUCUGAUUGGAUGUUUGCAACAACUACCAGUUUCAAAUUGUAGUUGUAAAAACAUGUUCCUUAUGCAGAACAGAUCCAUUUAUUUGCUUAUAUAAUUGUGAAACCUGUUACGUGUCUCCUUGUUUCUCUUUUAGAGUCGUAUCUCUUAUGCCAGGCAGAACUUUAGGGAAGAUAGUGAGCCAAACCAUCUUGGGGACAGUGAGAUGACCCCAAGGUCUUGUCUUGAUGAAGACAAUGAGUUGAAGCUACUCAACAGCAGGUGUGAGACAAUCUCUGUGCAGUCGCUGCCUCAAUCAGUUCGACUUCUUCAAUCGCAAAUUAAAGCAGAAAGGCGUGCUUCAGCUCAGCUCCAACUUGAAGUCAAAGAUGUAAUGAAGAUGUCAGAGGACUGCCUUGCGCACCAUCAUGCCAUACAGCUACGGGUGAUGCAGCUAUCGUUGACACAAUUGAGGUCUAAUCAGCUUGUUCGGCUGUUUGGGGGGCCGACCUGGCCAAGCCUAGUGCCUUCUGAAGUGCUCUGAGUUUUGUAUAUUCUUUUGUCGACGCGUUUAUUUGCGCUGGUGGUGAACUUUGAUGCCCAGUGGAUGUAAUAUGUGUAAUAGUUGUGAUAGCCUAGCGUAAGUUUGCUGCUUAUUUAUUUCCUUGUUGUCUUGUUUAUUUGUUUGUUUGUAGUCAGUGCAGUUAUUUUUCCGCAGUUUGCUAGUAGCCGCAGUAACCUAUUUUUUAAAACUAGGCCACAAUAACCAUGGGCUUCAUAUUUACUAUAGUGACACUGGGCCUCCUUUGUGCCGUAGAAACAAUGGGCCUUCUACGGGCCAUAGAAGCAAUGGGCCUUCUAUGGGCCCUAGAAACAAUGGGCCUUCUACGGGCCAUAUCAUCAAUGGGCCUUAUAUGGGUCGUAUAAUCGAUUGGCCAAACAUGGGCCAAUAACAGACCGCAUUAUGGCCGUAAACGGGCUAGAGUUGGAAUCCUCCGUUCAUGGGCCGACCAUAACGGGCCGUCGUUAAUAGGCCAUAUCUGAUGACGCUAUGAAAACGGCCCAACGUAUUAACGGGCCACAAACGGGCCGAAUGUAACCAUGGGCUGAAUUUGGCCCACAAGCAGAAAAUGGCAGUAAUGGGCCGUAAGUAACCGAAUGCUGGAAAUGAGCCCAUGAAUAAAUGGGCCCUGAGAAGGCCAAAAGAUAACAUGGGCUGCAAACAGUCCAAUGGAUUAACGGGCCGUUAAUGGGUAUAAAGCGAUACACUGUUCAUUACGAGUCAGUUUCACCAUGGGCCGUUAAUGGGCCAAGAGUUACAAACGGCCUCAUAUGGGCCAAAAGACGUCAUGGGCCAUACAUGGGCCGGAACUUAAAAUGGGCUGGAAUCAUAUUGGACGGCCCAUAUGACGAUACUGGGCCUAAUUCGGAUAGGUCGUAACGGGCCCUGGGUUAGUGGGCUGUAAAUGGAUUAUAUGCGAACAGGCCGUUAACAGGCUUUCCUUGGGCUGGCCCGCCACCUUUUGACCAAGUCAAACGGGCCGGCCUUUUCACAGGAAUGGGCCUCUGUUGGGCCGUGCCACGUGUCGACGUAUCAUAGGCACCUUCGGUCCAAUGAGUGGAUGACAUCUGUCCCAAUGGUGAGCCAACAUGUGUUUCCUCCAGCCAAUGCUGAUUUUACACGUGGAAAAUCCUCAUUGGUCGGGGCUGUUAGCGGGUUAUCGGAUCCAAAACUGGACCCGAUAGCUUAACGGCGUUCCGUCACAGUGGAUGCCACGUGUCGCUAACCCUUGACGCAAGCACUUCUGUGACGCGAGAUUUAUCGUCAUAGAAGUGGACACUUCCGUGAUGAUAAUUUUGGUAAUGUCAUGGAACACUUCUACGACAGGACAUGUAUGACUAUCUUGAUUCUGUCAUAAAAUCGUCAUGGAUGUACAUGCAUGAAAAAAACGCGACCUACUAUGACAAACACGUAUCAUCACGGAAGUGAAUUUUUUGUAGUGUUAUCAAUAGGAGCAACAAGUACUGGCGGCUCAGUGAGCUGUCUCUUCAAAGCCUCAAACGUGUCAUUAGCAGCAUCACUCCAGACAAAGUCAUCUGUUUUCUUCAUCAUCUGGUACAGCGGUAUGGCCUUCUCACCCAACCGGCUUAUGAACCGGCUUAAGGCAGCAAUACGACCCGCCAGACGCUGAACAUCAUUAAUACACGCCGGCUUUGCCAGGGAGGUAAUGGCCUUGAUCUUCUCCGGGUUAGCCUCAUGCCUCUGUUAGAAACCAGAAAACCCAAAAGCUUGCCUACUGGCACACCAAAAACGCACUUGGUCGAGUUAAGCAUCAUCUUGUAGACCCGGAGAUUGUUGAAGAUCUCUUUCAAAUCAUCUAUCAAAGUUUCCUUAUUUCUGGAUUUCACCACAAUAUCAUCUACAAAAGCAUGAUCAUUGCGCCCAAUCUGAGUGUGGAGACAGUUCUGCACACACCGCUGAUAAGUCGCCUAGGCACUCUUAAGCCCAAAGGGCAUAGACACAUAGCAGAAGGCUCAAAAGGGAGUGAUGAAAGUUGUCUUCUUCUCGUCCUUAACUGCCAUCUUGAUCUGAUAAUAACCAGAAUAAGCAUCCAAAAAACUCAAGCACUCACAAACCACCAUAGCAUCAAUGAUUUUAUCAAUACGAGGGAGAGAAAAAGGAUCAGCCUGACAAGCCUUAUUUAAGUCCGUGUAGUCCACACACAUACGCCAAGUGCCGUUCUUCUUAAGCACCAGCACUGGGUUAGCGAACCACUCAAGAUGAAAGACUACAACAAUGAACCCAACCGCCAAGAGGCGAGCCACUUCUUCACCGAUGGCCUUACGCCUCUCCUCAUUGAAGCAAUGAAGGAAUUGCUUAACCGGCUUAAACUUCGGAUCAAUGUUAAGAGUGUGCUCAGCGAGUUUCCUCGGUACACCUGGCAUGUUAGAAGGUUUCCAUGCAAAGAUGUACCGGUUUUAAUGGAUGAACUCGAUGAGCGUGCUUUCCUAUUUUGGAUCCAGUUUAGCACUGAUACUGAACUACUUGGAUGAUUCACCAGGAACAAAGUCAACCAGCUUAGUGUCAUCGGUAGACUUAAACUUCAGCACCAGAUCAUGCUCUGUAGUAGGCUUUUUCGGAGAUGUCAUAUCAGCUGGAUCAACAUUAUCUUUAUAGAACUUCAACUCCUUUGUUGCACAGACAGACUCAGCGUAAGCAACAUCACCCUCUUCACACUCCAAAGCUAUUUUCCGGCUCCCAUGCACUGUAAUGGUCCCUUUGUAACCCGACAUUUUGAGCUGCAAAUAAACAUAACAAGGUCGUGCCAUGAAUUUAGCAUAAGCCGGCCGUCCAAACAGAGCGUGGUACGGGCUUCUGAUCUUGACCACUUCAAAGGUUAACUUCUUGGCCCUGGAAUCAUACUCAUCUCCAAAAGCCACUUCCAGCUCAUUGCCUAUAGGGUACGCCGACUUACCAGGCACCACUCCAUGGAAAACAGUAUUGGACAUCUUAAGAUUUUUACCAGUUAAUCCCAUACGACGGAAAGUAUCAUAGUAAAGGAUAUUAAUGCUGCUGCCUCCAUCCAUGAGUACCUUAGUGAAUUUGUACCCACCAACUUGAGGCGCCACCACCAAAGCCAAGUGACCCGGAUUAUCAACCCGGGGCGGGUGAUCCUCUCGGCUCCACAUAAUGGGCUGCUCAGACCAUCACAAGUAUGGGGAACUGCCGGCUCAAUGGCAUUUACAACCCUCUUGUGAAGCUUCUAGUCCCAAUUGCAUAGACUCGUGGUGAAAACGUGGUACUGCCCGCUAUUCAACUGCUUCGGUUCACUUUGAUAUCCAUACUGUUGCUGUGGCUGACUCCCUUGGCCAGAUUGUUGAUUGUAACCACCCUGAUUACCUUGAUUAUAACCACCCUUAUUACCUUGAUUAUAACCACCCUGAUUACUUUGAUGGUGUUGGUUGCCCUGGAAGCCGGAAUUAGAACCGCCACCUCCGUAGCCCGGGCCAUGAGAACCGUCGCCACCGGAACCCGAGCCGCCGCCCGACCCAUGGUUGUUGUGAAACGAGUUAGAAUUUUUGAAAGCCCUCAUAAUUGAACAAUCUUUCCAAAGGUGAGUAGUUGGCUUCUCCUGCGUGCCAUGCUUUGGGCAGGGCUCAUUCAGCAACUGCUCAAGAUUAGGACCUGAUCCACUGGUCCGAGGAGGCAGCCUCCCCUUAUGAUGCUGAUUAUUGCUCCGUGCAUUGGUGUUAGCCACAAACUCCGAGUUACCAUCAGCCUUGCGCUUACAGUUGCCCCCCUGAUUCGCCGGGUUAUGUUGCAGACCCUUGGUGUUGCCAUUCUUCUUUCCCUUUCUCGGUUUGUCAUCAUCAGACUCGGGGUCCUUGGUACUAUCAGAGUCAGCAUAUUUGAUUAGAGCCACCAUCAGCUGCCCCAUAUCAUUGCAAUCACGCUUGAGUCACCCCAGCUUCUGCUGAAGAGGCAAGAAAUGACAAUUUUUCUCAAACAUUAAGACUACAGAAUCGGCAUUCAUGUUAUCGGAUGAGUGUAUAAUAGCUUUGACCCGGCGCACCCAAUGGGUCGUUGAUUCAACCUCCUCUUGGGCACAAGCACCUAAGUCCAUAAUGGACAUAGGCUGUUUGCAUGUGUCUUUAAAGUCCUAAAUAAACUGGGCCUUUAGCUCAGCCCAUGACCCGAUGGAAUUAGCUAGCAGCCCUUUUAACCAAGUACGGGCCGUUUCAUCCAGCAUCAUAGUGAAGUACUUAGCACAUGCGGUGUCACUGACCUCCAAUAGUUCCAUGGCCAUCUCAUAAGUUUCAAUCCACGCCUCAGGGGGUAAGUCGGCUAUGUAAUUAGGCACCUUGCGAGGUCCUUUGAAACCCUUGGGCAAACACUCAUUACGUAGAGCCGGCACCAAACAGGGUGCACCUGUAGUUCUAGAGGUCACGCCCGCCUCUACCGAAGUCGUUGGAUAAACCGGAAGGGGCUGGUCAGCCGCCCGCUGAGCCGCCUACUCAGCCUCUUGAUGCACUCUGUCUUGAUCGACAAAGUUAUGAGCUCCAUAACAUGCUGGGUCAUGCCCACGCGGCUGGUUACGGCUUUGAGCAUUGCUUGAAACAGCUGGUGAGUCCAUGUGCCUACUAUAACUCCGGCUCCGGCGAGGUGUUGAGUGAAUCCUAUCUCGACUAUAAGAAUAUGUCUCCUUCUGCACCAAUGUUGUCUGAAGAAGUUCUCUAGCCCUUCGUGUUUCAACCGCCGCUGGAGAGUUGCCAUCCACCGGUACAUCCACCAAUCGUGCCGCCGCAACAAUCAUGUUCUCCAAAGUAUUGGAAUAAUGACCCCAACCGCUUCGCCUAGCAGCACAACGCUUGUAUUGCUCUCCCAUAACCCUGUUUUCAUGUUGGCGUUGGUACAUGUUGAGGCGGAGCGCUAUUCAGACAAGGGGGUUCUGUCAUGUGCAGUUGAAUCGGCAUUCCAACCCCAGGUGAUGCAGCCUGGUUUAUCUCCAGCGGGUUACUGGUCCCCGCUCCAGGCGUGCAAAAUAAGUUUCUCGCCUCAUAAACCGGAGGUAGACAAGACUUGUGCCUCCUCCUCAUGAUUUCAUUUGAAGCUUUUGAUCCAUCGUAAGCCAGAAAGCCUCUGACUGAAUCCGCUGGGCUUGAGCAUCCAGGGCAGCCCGUUCCGCGACCAUCCUAAUGUCCUCUGCCGCAAGGUUCUUCUUGGCUUGCGCUACCUCAUCACGCAGCUUUGCAAUUUCUGCGCUAUGCUGAGCAUGAUUUGUCGGGUUAACUUCUGCUGUUAACAAGGCUGUGAGUCUAUCUAGCAACUCCGUCAACACUUGUGCCAACGGGCGCACAUGACCUCCUGCCCCGGCUGCCAUCACCGCUGCUGACCAGGAAGUCAUUACUGCUGUGGUUGAAGAAUUUUGCCCAGGCUGCGUACCAGCCAUAAAGAUUGCAACCCGGUUCUGUGGCUCAUAGGGGUCCGGAAUACUGUCGCCAUCGGAACAACCCCCAAGCCCGCCAUCUUGCAAUUGGUACAAGGAAUUAGUCUCGCUUGUGGACGACUCACCAUCAGAAUAGAUGGCCGUCUCACUGCCAGACAUUGACCCUUCAUCAAAUUCUGCUCCAUGGAUGAAUCCCACGUAAGGCACGCUUCACGGCGGGCUAAGCCCGGGCAGGUCUCGCACGCCGAGCCGUCUCGAUGAUGUCGGUGCAGAUGUCCGGCUCAGGGCCCGGCUCGCCGAUCUUGCCAAUGAAGACAUGAAUUCCGCUGAAGGGGACCCGGUACCCAUACUCAAUUGAGCCGACCUCGGGGCCCCAGCCUGCAUCGCUGAUGUAGAGCUUGCCACGACGACUCUUGGUCAUCCGGCCUAUAGUGUAUACCUUGAGCCCUUCGAAGCUGCCCUUUAAGAACUCGAAACCACCAUGCGUUGGCCCCAUGGUGGGCGCCAACUAUCAUGGAAUAGUCACGGCAGAUGUCCUAGCGAAAGGACUUGGUCAUGGAGCCAUCGCAACUAGGUUAGCUUAAAGGGGUCAAACGGGACAAAGGACACAUGAGUUUAUACUGGUUCGGCCCCUUGCGGUGAAGGUAAAGGCUACUCCAGUUUUGAGGUGGUAUUUCUUAUGUCUCGAUUACAAGGGAGCGAAUCUGCUUCACCUAGCUUUCGAUCUAUUGUUUCUUGCCCUGAAUCGCCACCGGUCCGUGACUUUAUAUACACAGGUUGAUGCCCAGCGGCUCACAGAGUCCUAGCUGGCUCAUAGACAACGUGUCCAGCUCGGUGACUAUCUAUACAUGCCUUACAACACAUGUCUUAAACAUAUGGUGGUUUACUUCUACGGGCCUUAAGUCGCCCUUGGGCCUUGGGACCUUGCUUGUGAACCGCCAUCUUCAAUAUCCUCGUGGGCUUCAUAUCAUGAAUCACCACAGGUAUAACUCGGCCCCACCUGGGCGGGUCAUACCUAAUAGUUAUAUCCCCAAUAGUAUUGAUUUCCCACGAUGUAAAAAACAAGCAGAAGACAACAAUUGACACUGGGCACUAUGUCAAUAGGUUAGUACCAAAAAAUGAUAUAAAAUGACUAUAAAACGAUUGUAAAACAUCCAAUAAUGAUAAUAUAAUAGCAUGGAACAAUCAAAAAUUAUAGAUACGUUGGUGACGUAUCACCUUUCUUGAUGAUAAUGUGCCAGGUGAAUUUCUUGAUGAACAAAUUGCUAGAGUCAAAGAUAUUGAGAAUGCUGAAACUAAUGAAAUUAUUGAAACUAAUGAAGUACUUGAAAAUUAAAAUCUUGAAACACCUAUUAGACCUAGCUCUCCUAGAGUUGAAUUGCCUUAGAUACCAGAAGGUUAUAUUAUGGACGAGGAGAUAGCUACAGACUUUUUGCAUGCAACGAUAGAGAUGAUCUUAAGAAAUUACUAUGCAAACUGAAGGAAGAAUCUUCGAAUGCUAGAAUGAAAUGUGAUCCUAAGUUUGCUACUUCACCUAUCUUUGUUACCGAUAAGGAUUAUGAAUUCUCUGUCGACCCGGAGUUAAUUACUUUUGUUGAAUCUGAUCCUUUUCAUGGCUAUGAAACUGAAACUGUAGUGGCACAUCUUACUAAAUUAAAUGAUACAGCCACCCUAUUUGCUCAUGAUGAGAAAAUUCGCUACUACUAUAUCCUAAAACUAUUUUUGUUCUCAUUAAAGGGUGAUGCUAAGAUAUGGUACAAUACCCUUGCUCCUGGUUGUGUGCGUAGUCCCCAGGAUAUGAUUUACUACUUCUCUGAAAAAUAUUUUCCUGCUCAUAAGAAACAAGCUGCCUUACAAGAAAUAUUUAACUUUGCACAAACUGAACAAGAGAGUCUCCGACAAGCUUGGGGGAGGCUUCUCCAAUUACUUAAUGCUUUGCCUAAUCAUCCUAUUAAGAAAAAUGAGAUAGUUGAUAUCUUCUAUAAUAGACUAACCGAUGCUUCUAGGGACUUCCUAGAUAGUUCCGUUGGCUGUGUUUUCAGGGAACGAACUGUUGAACAAGCUGAGGAAUUAUUGAACAACAUAUUGAAAAAUAAUGAUGAUUGGACUCUUCCUGAACCACCGCCUGAACCAACUCCAAAGAAGAGGGGUAUCUUAUUUCUCAGUCUCGAAGAUAUGCAAGAGGCAAAGAAAUGUAUGAAGGGAAAUGUGUUAAAGCUAAAGAUGUUAAGAAUUUACCACCUAUUGAAGAAAUACAUGGACUUGAUACACCACCACCACCACCGGUGGUAGAGGUAAAUUCUUUAUUAAAGUUUGAUGAAGGUGACAUCCCUUAUAAGGAACAUCCUAGUCACUGCCUUUAUGAGUUCGACAAUUACAUUAGGAAACAAGAUCACUUCAAUGCAAAUGUAAUGAAACAAUUGAAAUAUAAUUCUGAUAUGAUUGCUCGCUUGAGUGACUUGUUAUUUAGAAUUACUAAUGAUGUAAGAGGUGUAGGAAAACAUGAUUCUAUGGUUCAAACUCAGCUAGAACAAGUUGCUAAAUGUUAAAGAGAUUUGCUUAAUGAAAUGAAUAAUAAUAUGAAUGAUUUUGUUGUUAGAGUAGCAACUAGAGGAGGCAAAAUGACUCAGGAACCACUUUAUCCUGAGGGACUCCCUAAAAGAAUUGAACAAGGCUAUCAAAGAAUUAAUGAUGAUGCAUGAUGUCGCUUGGACUACGUCGAUAUUUCCCCAAAGAGGAAGGGAUGAUGCAGCACACCUACGGUAGGUAUUUCCCUCGGUUAUGAAACCAAGGUAUCAAUCCAGUAGGAGAACCAAGCAACACUGUGUAAAUGGCACCAAAACACAAAGAACAAAUACUUGCAACCUGACGCUUAUGAGGGGUUGUCAAUCCCUCUAUGGGUAAUUGCGCCAGAAAUUGUCAAGUUGACGGGAUAAAAUUUGUGACAGAUUGGAUAAAUAGAUCCCGAUAAAAUACGAAAUAAAAUAAGUAAUGAAAAAGUGCAGCAACGUAUUUUUGGGAUUUUGGAAUAAUAGAUACUAAAACAAAAGCUAAUAAAAAUAGAUCCCAAAGCAAAUAUGAUACAUAAUAGACCCGGGGCCCGUAGAUUUCACUAGUGGCUUCUCUCAAGAAAUAGCAUACGAUGGGUAAACAAAUUACUGUUGGGCAAUUGAUAGAAGAUCGAAUAAAAAUGACGAUAUCCAAGGUAAUGAUCAAUAUUUAGGCAUCACCCAAGAUUAGUAGACCGACUCCUGCCUGCAUCUACUACUAUUACUCCACACAUCGACCGCUAUGCAGCAUGCAUCUAGUGUAUUAAUUUCAUCGAGAAAUGGAGUAAUGCAAUAAGAACGAUGACAUGAUGUAAACGAGAUAUAUUCAUGUAGGAAUAGCCCCCAUCUUGUUAUCCUUAAUAGCAACGAUACAUGUGUGUCUUGCUGCCCCUUCUGUCACUGGGAAAGAACACCGCAAGAUCGAACCCAUCACAAAGCACCUCUACCCAUGGCAAGAAAAAUUGAUCUAGUUGGCCUAACUAAAUGAAAGAUUUGAAGAAGAAAUACAAGGCUAUAAAUAAUCAUGCAUAUAAGAGAUCAAAGAAGACUCAAAUAAUAUUGAUGGAUAUAGAUCUGAUCGUAAACUCAAAGUUCAUCGGAUCCGAACAAACACAUCACAGAAAGGGUUACAUAAAAUAGAUCUCCAGGAGACCAUUGUACUGAGAAUCAAAAGAGAGAAGAAGCCAUCUAGCUACUUCCUUCGGACCCGUAGGUCUAUGAUGAACUACUCACACAUCAUCGGAGAGGCACCAAUGAGGAUGGUGAACCCCUCCAUGAUGGUGUCUAGAUUGGAUCCCGUGAUUCUGGAACUUGCGGUGGCUGGAAUUGUGUUUCGUCGACUCCCUUAGGGUUUCUAGAAUAUUUGGUAAUUUAUAGGGCGAAGAGGCGGUGCGGGAGGUUAUCGAGGGGGGCACAACCCGCCUGGGCCUCCUGGCAUGCAUUGGUGGGUUGUGCCCACCUCGGGCCUCCCCUUUGGUAUUUGUUUGGCCCACUGGGUGUCUUCUGGUCCAAAACAAAUCUCCAAAAAGUUUCGCUACAUUUGGACUCCAUUUGGUACCAAUAUCCUACAAAGUAAAAUAAAAGGCAAAAAAUAGGAACUAGCACUCGGCACUAUGUCAAUAGGUUAGUCCAAAUAAAUGAUAUAAACUUGCUAUCAAAUGAUUGUAACACAUCCAAGAAUGGUAAUAUAACAACAUGGAAAAAGCAAAAAAAUUAGAUACGUUGGAGACGUAUCAGCAUCCCCAAGCUUAAUUCCUACUCGUCCUCGAGUAGGUAAAUGAUAAAAACAGAUAUUUUUUUUUGAUGUGGAAUGCUGCCUAACAUGUUGAUCACAUAUUCUUUUCUUUUGUAGCAUGGACAUUUGGAAUUUUAUAUGGUUCAAAGAAAUAGUCUAGUUUUGACAUGAAGAUUUCAAUACUCAAACAUAUCAACAAACAACCAUGUCUUUCAAAAUAUCAACACUAAAGAAAGUUAUCCCUAUCCCAUCAUGCUCAAUCAUUGAUCCAUUCAUGAAACACACUCGCAUGUUAGCUACAUCCAAUGCUCAAGUAUGAUCAUGGUGCCCCUAGUUGGUGCUUUAUUGGAGAAGAUGGAGACUCAAAUAAAAAUAAAAAUUGCAUAAAGUAAAUAGAUAGGCCCUUCACAGAGGGAAGUAGGGAUUCGUAGAGGUGCCAGAGCUCAAAGCUAAACUGAGAGAUAUUUUUUUAGAAGCAUACUUUUCAUGUCAAUGAAAAUGAUCGAGUAAUUCCUGACACUUUCCAAGCUAGAUAUAUCAUAGGCGGUUCCCAAACAGAAAAUAAAGUUUAUUCCUUUUUCCACCAUCCGUUCACAACCCAUGGCUAGCCGUAUCCACGGGUGCCUUCCAUACCAACACUUUCCAAGGAGUUUAUUAUUUGACAACAUAAAGUAAAUUUCUUUUUCAUUUCAGGACUGGGCAUCCCUAUUACCGCCCAACUCUCGUGCAAUGACAAGUGAACAAACACUCAUCUUCAGAAUAACACAUCUAGCAUAGAAAAUAUUGGCCACCCCCUGCCACUGCAUGAGCGGUACAGGCACACAAAAAAGGAAAUUCAUUUUGAAAAUUAGAGAUGGCACAUACAAAGUUGCUUAGAAUGGCACGGAAAUACCGCAUAUAGGCAGGUAUGGUGGACUCAUAUGGCAAAACUGGGUUUAAAGAUUUUGGAUGCACAAGUAGUAUUUCUACUUAGUACAAGUGGAGGCUAGCAAAUAGAUUGAGAAGCAACCAACCAAGAAACGAAAAAUCACAUAAGAGAGCAUUAAGCAUAAAUAACACCGAAUAAUGCACCACAAGUAGGAUAUAAUUUCAUUGCAUAACUAUUGACUUUCGUGCUUGCAUAGGGAAUCAUAAGCCUUAACACCAAUAUUCUUACUAAAUCAUAACUACUCACCAACAUGACUCACAUAUCACUAUCAUCAUAUCUCAAAACUAUUACAAAUAAUCAAGUUUAUUUUGUCCAAUGAUCUUCAUGAAAGUUUUUAUUAUAUCCCUCUUGAAUAUCUAUCACUUUGGACUAGUUUCAUAUAUUGCAAUUGCUUUUGACAAGCUCAAACAAAUUUAAGUGAAGAACAUGAGCAUAAAAAUUUUCUUCUCUAAAAAUAAUAUAAGUGAAGCAUGAGAGAAUUUCUUCAAAAAAUUACUAACUCUCAAAUAGACCUAAGUGAAGCAUGAGAGUAUUUCUUCAAAAAUAUUAAAGCACACCAUGCUCAAAACGAUAUAAGUGAAGCACUAGAGAAAUUCCAUAGCUCAAAAAUUUUAAGUGAAGCAUAAAGAGCAGUUCUAUCAAAUCAUAGAAUAAUUUUGGCUCUCUCAAAUAGGAGUGUCCAGCAAGGAUACUUGUGACAAACUAAAAAGCAAAACAAGCAAAGACUCAUAUAAUACAAGACGCUUUAAGGAAAACUCAUGAUAUGUGACGAAUAAAAAUAUAGCUCCAAGUAAAAUAACGAUGGUUGUUAGAAGAAAGAGGGGAUGCCUUCCGGGGCAUCCCCAAUCUUAGUUGCUUGGCUCUCCUUGAACAUUAACUUGGGGUACCAUGGGGCAUCCCCAAGCUUGGGCUCUUUUCACUCCUUAUUCCUUCAUCCAUCGUGAUCUCACCCAAAACUUGAAAACUUCAACCGCACAAAACUUAACAAAACCUUCAUGAGAUCCGUUAGUAUAAUAAAGCAAAUCACCACUCUAAGUACUGUUGCAAACCCAUUCAUAUUUUAUUUUUGCAUUAUGCCUACUAUAUCCAACUUUACUAUGCCUUAUACCCCCGAUACAAUCCAUAGAUUCAUCAAAAUAGGCACACAAUGCAAACAAAACAGAAUCUAUCAAAAACAGAACAGUCUGUAGUAAUCUGGAAACUUCGUAUACUUAUGUAACUCCCAAAAUUCUGAAAAAUUAGGACAAGGUAGGCAAUUUGUAUAUAAAUCUUGUCUAAAAAUUGAGAAAUUUAUCGCACUUCUGUGCUUGUACAUAAUUCUGCUACUGGACACAAAAGUUUCUGUUUUUCAACAAGAUCAAAUAAACUAUCACCCAACAUAAUCCCAAAGGCUUUACUUGGCACAGACACUAACUAAAACAUAAAAAACACAAUCAUAACAGUAUCAUAAUUUUGUAAACACUCAAGAACAUAAAGAAAAGGCAAAAAUAAAAUUGUUUCAUUGGGUUGCCUCCCAACAAGCGCUAUCGUUUUAUGCCCCUAACUGGGCAUAAUGCAUAGGUUCAACUAUUGUCAUCUUUAGUUUCCAAUUCCUAAACCAAUAUUCUUCAAAUAUUUAGCAUAUAAAUUUUCAAUAACAAUACUCCUAGGAACGAGAUUGAAAAAUUCAUUCUUGCAAGUAGGAUCUUUUAUCACUUCAACAAAAUUGGGGUGAAUACUAAUCAUUUUAAGAUCUUCCUUGUUGUUAUUAGAAGUGGCAUCCUUUUCUUAGUGGCUUGAGUAAACUUGCAAAUUUUUACGAGAGUUUUUUCAUUAGUUUUAAUGUAAGAAAAGGUUGAGCUUAAGUUACUAAAAAUUUCUUCAAACUUAUCAAUCCGAGAGGGGCUUUCCUCUAUUCUUUCGUUAACUACGAUUUCCUUUUCCCUUAGUAAAUUUAAAACAUCACCCACUUUUGACCCAAAUUUAUUAGUAAGAUUCUGCAUCUUUUUAUCCAAAUUUUCAAUUUGCUCUAAGGUGACCAUCUUCUUUUCAAUAGCAUCUAAUCUUCGCAUAACAUUCUCAAGAGUUAAGGUUGUUUCAUUAAUGAUGAUAGGUGGUGCACCCACAAGAUCUCCCAUGGCAUUAAAAGGAUCCAAACAUGGACACAUCAAGAAAUUGCCACCAGUUAUCGUAUCAAGCACAAAUCUAUACAACUAGUUAUGCCCACAUAAAAACUGCGAAGAACAAUGAUAGAUUGCUUAUGAAUAGAUCUAUUGUGGCACCCCGGCUCAGAGUACUCCGGCCCAGAAAUCGAGGUGAAGUCUUCUGGAAUACGACAUUGCUUAGCAUAGAACAGGCCAGCUCUCUAUUACAGCACGAAUAUGAAUACAAGGUCUCUGAUAUUACAAUGAAUAACACCAGCACGACAACACUAUGCCAACCACAGUUGCUCUAUGCAAGCAUCACAACAACUCGAUGCAGCGGAACCUCUACUGGUAGCAGAAGAACUAUUGGCAGCGGAACAACGAACGACAAUGAUGGACUCCAAUCCGCAAGGACUCUGGCUGGAACAUUUAUCCUAGCUCGCGAACAUAGGAACCACACCAAACAAGCAAGCAAUCCAGGCACGACCUGCAAACUGGCAUGACAUGCCAGGUCAGUACAUUGAAUGUACUUGCAAGCUCACAAUAACCGAAAGGAAUCAAGGCAAACAACAACAUGGCAUUAGCAGGUUAAAGCAAUCAUGAGCAUAAUAUUAACCGAACAACAUGGAGUGCACAACUGAACAUGAAAAAACUUUAGCAUGGCAUAAGCAUAUGAACAUGAUGAUACUACAUGCAACAGUUUAACAUAUCAUGCACCAACUUACUCUACUCGGGCUACCUCGUCACCAACACAUGCAUCAACUUACCAACAUAUGUAUCCAUGAUACCACGGUGAUCCUCUCACGAUCACAUAAAGAUCAACCAACUUCUUUCAUCAUCGAACCGGGGUUGUUAUUAAGCACAUCAUUAUUAUUACUGUUGACCCAUAGUGUGACCGACUUUGAACUGGGCCCAUAUCCACGGGCGCGGCUAUCGAUAGAUUCAACACACACUCUCUAGAGGUUAGCACAUUGUACCCACACCACAGAAACCGUGGCCUCGCACUCCCAUUCGGGUGGACCAACGACGUUCCGAUAAAACCAAUCUACUGCCAUGACACUCUCCCAACCACUCCGACAAACUCCCCUCUGGGAUAAGUCAUGGGUGGCCCCGUGCCUAACAAAGGCAUCAAUGGCCACUGUCGUGGCAAAACAAAAACGGUCCCAAAUGGGGACAACCUGGGUACACAACAACAACGGGCACGCAUGGCUUAUGUCCGCGUACCUGAUCAGUGUAGCGCACGCCCAUAACCUUCCCUCGUUGGAGGCACUGGCGAGAGACAUGAGAAUAAACUGUAUUAGGGCCCUUCCCAUAAAAGGCAAAUGUGGUUGCACUGGUCAGGUCGAUUCAGGGGCACCAUGACUCAGCCAAUAGUUGUUCAAGUUCAUUAUUAUCCGGUUAAACUUGAAUGCAAUAAGCUGAGCCAUAAUAAAAUAACAAGAUGCAACUACGAUGCAUGAGCAUGAUAUCAACUUAAGCAUGGAGGUGCAACAUAAUCAUCGAGCACAAUCACAAUGAAUCAUAUAUUCGAAUGAGCAUGGCAUACUGACAAGCAUGAAUAACACAAGCAUAACUCUACCAUAAGCACAUCAUGAACACUAGCAUCAUGAAUAAAUACCAUGCAAGAACAUAGCAAGAACACUACCAAGUAAACAUGUAACAAACUAGAUGCAAUAGAACCAACAUAGCAACAGGACUGAAUAACAGACUAAGCAUGCAUCUGAAGGACAUCCCAACUACCAGCAUGUAUUACUACUACCAAGCAUGACUUACGAACAUGAUGCUAGCAAGUAGCGCAAGAUAUCACGAUGCAUCAUAACAUAGCAUGAAGGUGGACACGAGUCCAUGAGUGAAACUGAAACAACGAAAGUAGCAAACAAGCAUGCAGAUAAUGGCAAAAUUUUAUUAAACAUUCAAGUUGAAAACCAAGUCUACUGCAUGACUAACAUGCAAGUGGCUGUUGUGGUUUGCCUGGGGGUGAUGGAGACUCCGGGGAGAAGUGUGGUGAAGCCGCGGAACGAAACGUCGGACGGUUCUCUCUCAGAGGGGGCUGGGCUGAUAAGAGGCAAGGGCAAACUGGUCAUUUUCAUUUGGGACCACCUAGUGAAAACAGAACCAACAAAAAGAGCUCGACGAUACGAAGAUGUGAGCGUUGGUUUCAGCUCAAUCGGAGCUAUGGUUGAAGAGUUGUGAAGGGAUGAAGAUCAGGGACUAAUUUGUGAAAGAUCCUCACAAACAGGUCCCUCGUGGCAGAAAAUAGAAAUCACCUUUGGGAAGAUUAUGUUUUCUGAAAAGGAAAACAUAUUUUGAGCCGAAUUGCAAAGUGAAUACGCUUUCAAAACUGAGAAAGCGCAUUUCAUAUAAAAGAGGAAAGAAAUACGAUUUCAUAUAUCGAAAAUGCAUUUCAAGAAACAUUUCCACUUACAGACGCGGGCCCGGGGCGGGGUCAAUGCCGAGACACUGCUAGGUGGGGCCGGGGAAGGCACGGGGCCCACCUGACCUUGUCUUCUUCCUCCUCUCCCUGCCCCUGACGGAAACUGAGGAGGGAGCAGGGGAGGGUGCUACCAGCGAUGGAGCGGGCCACUCCGGCAAUCUCCGGCCAAGUGGAGACCACUGGCGAGCUCGUGGGGGUGCACCGCUUCUUUCCAGGCCAAGCAUGGGCGCCAGAAGGCAGCAGGGAGACGGCGGCUCGCGGGGAUAGAGGACACGACCGAGGAUGGUUGAGCUUGGGGACAACGACCGCCAGGCUCCGGAGGCUGGAGAAGGGAGUGGGGAGGGUCUACGGGCUCCGGGGAGGCUGGUGGAGGAGGAAUGGAGAGGAAAGGAGCUCAGGAUUGGGCUAAUUAGCCGAAGGGGAGUGGCGGCCAUGGCGGCAAUGGCAACCACAGAGAGUUCCUCGAGCUCGAGGGGGUCGCUAGGCGGGGCUCUGGGAGUGAGGGAGGAUCGAUGGUGUGCUUGGAGUGCUCGGGGACGGGCUAUAUAUAGCCGAACGAGGAGAGCCGAGAUGCACGGCCACGGCGGCGCGUGUUCCGGUGCGCUGGCGUGAGCAGAGCCACGGGGAGGGAGGGGGACUUAUCAAGGAGCUUCACGGAGACGUGGGAGACCUCGGGUGAGCUCGGGAAGGCUCAGGACAGCGCAGGCAACCAGACACAGCGGCGGCAGAGAUGGGCAUGUCACGGGCAAGCUCGACGCAACGCAACCACGGCGAGUCCGGACGAGGCAGUGAUGCAGGGCAAAGCAGGGGAUCACGGGGGAGCUAGAGGACAUGAUGCGGACACGAGAGGCAGAGAGGAGCGGACGAGCACAACGCCGUGGUUGGCAGAUCGUGAAAUUUGGCAUGUCUGCCCCGUGGUCACCAUGCGCACUGGUGCAAACGGCAUGUUCUGGCCAAACCGACCAUGUCUAGUAAGAUGACCAUGGUACCCUGAGUCCAAACGAUGCAACAAGUCGGUCCAGGGGCAAAGAAGUGAUUUGGAGGAGGAGCCAAAAGAUUGUGGCAGCAAGGUGUUUGUGUUGCGGGGAGACAAACACAGAAGGAGGCAGAGGUUGGGCUUUUGCAUGGUGUGAUCACACACUAAGAUGAUCACCUCUACCAAUUUGCAGCUCAUUAGGAUGAAGAUAAAUGGCACUUGCUGUAGAAAGUGUCAUUAUGGCCAGAAAUGGAGAUUUGGAUGGUGCACUCACAUAGUUGCAUCAAAUGAGCUGAAAAUGGUUAUGGCCCAAUGAUUUGAAUAUAUUAAGAUCCCAAGGAGUUUCAUGGGAUGAAUCAAAAUAGCACUUGCUUCACAAAGCUUUUCUCUGGACAGGAACUUGGAAAAUUUCCACAGGGCAAAUGGCUAAACGGAUUGAGCCACAAUUUGGUGGAGGGAGUUUAUAUGGGUAAGAAAAUGUCCUGAUAAAUUGGCAGCUUAAAUGAAGCAAUAUAAACUAUAGUUGCUUCACAAACUGAAAAUCUGAUCAGAAACUAAGAUUUGGAGAUGUGCUCACAUAGAAAGGUUACAUGAGCUCAAUUGGGUGGAGCGUGAUGAUUUGACAAAGUUCAUCUCAUUUGGACAUGCCUAGAAUAUACUUCCUUCACAAAGUUUCUUCCUGGGCAAAAACUUUGUAUAAUCAUAGAAAAAAUAAUUACUAGGAAAAUGAGGUUGAGCUUUGGCACAGGGCAAUGAUAUGGAUAGGAAAAGGUGUCCAAGAAGUUGGGAGUCAAUUGGGCAAAGAUAAAUAGCACUUGCUUCACAAACUGCCAUUUAGGGCAUAAUAGGAAAAGAAUUAUUGGAGGAUUAUUUUAGAAUAUGGCAAUGAAAAUUUUUGCCAUAUUUGAGAAGGAUAUGACCCAAAAAAAUUAUGAGAAUUAUUUGGGAAUUUUAGGAGUGACAGACAUAUGGGUUGCUUCACAACCUAGGGCAAAUAUGAUAAUUCCUUUAUCAGAAAAGGAAUAUUCUCAAUAAAAAGUAUAUUGGGAUUUGGGCUAGGAUGGAAAUGACAUGAGCUAGGGAUGGUUUUGCGGAUGACAAGCCACUAUAAAACCUAGGAAGACAUGAUCUUCCCAAGUUUCAGAACCACACAGUCACAAAAAAGCAAAUUAAACUCAGAAAUCCAAGAAAAUCCUCAGAAAAAGAAAAGGGCAAAAUCCAGGCUGUUACGAACCUUCCCCCCUUAAAGAAAUAUCGUCCUCGAGAUUUGGUUGCCCAGGGAUAAAUAAUUUUUCUGACUUGAAGAAACCGUUUCCAACUCGGGUUUCUUUUAUUCAUUCUCAUAUAAUAUUCCCAUUGAAUUGGAUCUAACUGACUGCCUUGAUAUGGCGUGGUCUGCUUCACCGUAUCUGACAUAAUGACAGUACUUACCUCAUAUGUUCAUGCUUAUACUGGAUCCAAUUCUUUUUAUAGCUGCUGACUUAGCUGACUGUGAUAGAUUAUCAUGACUACAAUAUAUGCCUGUCUCACAAAUUCAAGAGUGAUCCCCGAUUGCUGUGUCUGUACUAACAACCUUCCAUGAAGUGGUGAUUAGAUUUUUCCUGAUGAACACCCGAGCUUUGACUCCUCGCAUUGGGUUUCUUCACUAAAUGCAGGUCCUUCGGGUUCCAAACAGUGAAUUGAGGCAUAACCGUUUCCUGACAGAUUCUGACUUAUCGUAGGAAUUUCUGAAUCGUCCUGACUGGCUCCACUGUCUGGAUUGUCAUAUCUGUACCAAAUGUUUGACUGUUGCUUGUCAUGGCCAGCAUGAAGGGGUAUGACCGUAUAUGAUAAUAUCCUGAGACUUGAUUGAUGGUGGUUCUGGAAGAAUUUUUUUGCCCAUGACAAGCUAUCCAUGAUUCACGUAAGUGAGUGCACAUGCUUUGAGACUGUCAUUCAACAUUCUGAUUGCUCAUCCUGUCGGUGUAUCCAUGUGGAUAGUAUGUUUUGCAAUGCUUCACCAUGGUCACUGAGGUUAAGCUGUUGAGUUGACCUUUGGUCGGACUUGCCAAACCCAGAAAUUCGAUACUGACCAAUCUGAGCACAUACUAUUAACUAAGCGGGUUGUCUAGAUAUGGGUCCCUUACCAAAAUUAAGUAGACCUCAUAGGUGAAUAUUGAUGGUGAUCAGUUCACUGACUCAGUCUGUCUAGGGUAUCUGCACCAUGUGGUUCAUGCAACAAUCAUCAGUCUUGCUCCUCCAUUACUGUUUUCUUGAUUCGGAUCCUUUGCUGUACGAGCGGGGUCAUAUUGUUUAUCCAUGUGACCAUAGGUUCUGUCGGGUGCAAUAUUCUGAUAGGCAUACUUUUAUCCUCAUCUUCGACAUGGUAACCCAUUAAAUGGCAGGUUCAUCACCUCUCAAGUUCUGACCGUAGGAAACUAAUCAUCCGAACCCUUGCAAGAAAUCGGCAAAUAAAUCAGUAGCCACUAGAACAAUUUUUUUCAAAUCUGGGGCAUUACUGAAAUAACUCAACGACAGCUCAAGAUGGCCGAAAAGCAGCUCAGAGCAUGAGACUGGGUCAAUAAGAAGAAAGUGGCCGCUCCCUAAGAUAGACGAAAAGUAGCUAAAAGCAUAGGGCCACUGUCACAAAAAGAAACUCAACAGUUGUACGAGACGGCCAGAAAGCAGCUCAGAACUCGUGGCAAUUGUUGAGUAGAGAAAUAAAAGUCGGCAUCCACCCCGGAUAGCUAAAAACAGCUCAGAUCACAAGCAUGGUGCCGUCACUGGAGAAAAGGAGACAAGGGCUCAUCAGGAUCAUCUUCCAGGUCAUAGGUACUUGUACUGAGCUCACUAUUGUCGUCAAUCUUCAUAAUCCUUUGUCACACUGCGGUGUAUACUGGCUUUGUCAUCUUAACAAUCCUCACGUGACUGUCAGAUCCUCAUUUGAGUGACUUGUAAUACAUUAGUGGUAUGCUGAUCGCAUAUAUAUGAGAAUCUGAUUCCCGAGGCAGACUUGCUUUUGGACUGAUUCUUGCUUCUGACUAAACUAUUGCGGAUCUGAUUCUUGAGAUGCACUACCAUAUAUAGUCAAUUCACUGUUUAUUUCCUUGUACCAGUGUCGUACUCAAGAUGACCGGGCAACUUGCUUCAGAAUCCAUCGGGGUAUCAUGCUGCAGAAGAGUGGAUAGCUUGUGCUUGAAGCUUUCUGUGGAUAUCUUGCUAAGGAGGGCUGGGUACCGUACCUUAUAAGCUUACCCCCUUAAUGACUUACUAGGGGAGACUCGGUACCUUAUGCCAGAAGUUUUUGCAGUAUCCAAUUGCAAUGACUGAAUAUCUUGCACUGGAAUCCACUCAUACCUUUCUAAUGCAGACUGGUGAAUCGUGUCUUGUACGCUUUGUUGAUAACUUGUGGAGAAGGACUGGACUGAUCUUCUGGGGGUCUCAUGCUUCAAAUCUGACUCAUGGCAGAAUCAAUCAUCGGCUACAGACCAUACUUCUGACUUGAAAUGCAUGGUUGGACUUGGAUCCAAAUUUGUUCUCUAGCUGAUUUAUUCAUUGCUGCAAUAAAGGUGUAUCCCUGACGGGUACUGAAAAUCUGAGCAGACUAUACUUGUAUUCAGACCGUGUGUGUGCAAAUGUUGUUAGCUGAAAAUCUCAUUGCUUUUAAAUGAGUUCCUUUGUGUAUAUUUUUACUUCCCACGGCUUCUUCUGACUGGUGUCGGCUGAUGAGCAGUUUCCAUAAGGGGGUAACACCGAGGAUUCAAAACAAAGGAGCACGAGAAAACGAUCGAUUACAGUAAAGCAUACAACAAACAAGCUACAAAACUAAUCCACACAGGCACACACAAGCAUAAACAAACAAUGAUACCACAGCAGAGGCACAUACACUACACAACUGACUACACCCUACGCUUGAGCAAACGCUCGGGAGCUGACUCAGAAGCUAAGGGAGUAGCGAGUGGAGCGGCUGACUCCAAAACUCCGGAUGGACGAGGCGUAGGGGUUGGAGAAGCUGGCCGAGACUGAGGUAGGGAAGUACCAAGAAAUCUCCUGGAUCGAAUGGCGUCUCGGACUAACUCAGAAAUAAGAAGACAUUCAGCCUAAUGUAGCGGGACAUGGCGAGGAUAGCCGGGUCAUCUUUAGGAUUGAUAGUCGGAGACUGGAUCCGCCUAGGAUUCUUGAUGAUAGUGGGAUAGCAUUGAUAAGCACGGUUCUCCUGCACCAUGCUCUCUUGACGACGAAGACCGGUGAUUGCUGCCAUUACGGCAAGCUAAAUGGCACGCUCGGGAGUAGUGCCGUAACCACUGUGGAAACUGUAGGUGCGCUUACCAACAGGAAUCGGGGCUGACAGAUGGACAUGAGAAACAUACUCCAGGAUUCUUCCUUCGGCAAAGAACUGGAAUACUUGAUGUUGAGGUGGAUCUCCGCGGGGAUAAAUGCUAUGCCACAUAUCUCCAAGGAGGGUGGCAAAGCUGAGAGGUGCAGGAAUGGGGCUGAACACAAUAGGAACAACACCGGGAGCUCUAGGAAGGGCACUGAACUCAUGGAAAUUGACCACCAUCUACGCAUGAAACAUGGAUUAGGGGUAACUGAAUAAGACUAUAUGCAGCAAACAAAUGCAACAACCAAAUGCAGCAAGCAAGGGCAACAACCAGACCCUAUACUACCAUUUUCUAACGUUCCAGCAGAUUAGGACGCUCUACAGCCAGAGCUGCUCUGAUACCAAGCCUGUGGCACGUCGGCUCAGAGAAACCGGAAUGCACCUGUAUUCCAGCCCAGAGAUCGAGGUGAAGUCUUCUAGAAUACGGCAUUGCAUAGCAUAGAACAAACUAACUCUCUAUUACAGCACGAAUAUGAAUACAAGCUCUCUGAUAUUACAAUGAAUAACACCGGCACGGCGACACUACGCCAACCACAGUUGCUCUAUGCAAGCAGCAUAACAACUCGAGGCAGCGGAACCUCUACUGGCAGCGGAAGAACUAUUGGCAGCGGAACAAUGAACGACAAUGAUGGAUUCCAAUCCGCAUGGACUCUGGCUGGAAUGUUUAUCCUAGCUCGCGAACAUAGGAACCACACCAAACAAGCAAGCAAUCCAGGCAUGACCUGCAAACUGGCAUGACACGCCAGGUCUGUACAUUGAAUGUACUUGCAAGCUCACAAUAACCAAAAGUAGUCAAGCCAAACAACAACAUGGCAUUAGCAGGUUAAAGCAAUCAUGAGCAUAAUAUUAACAGAACAACAUGGCGUGCACAACUGAAAUGACACAACUUUAGCAUGGCAUAAGCAUAUGAACAUGAUGAUACUACAUGCAACAGUUUAACAUACACUACAAAAAACACACAUCCGUGACAUUUUGGGCCGAACGAAUUUUUUUCCUGUCAUACUUAUGACACUUCUGUGACGAUAAUUGUGACAAAACUCGGUAUCAUCAUAGCUAUGGUGGGCUCCUACUUCUAUGACAAAAAAUCAUGACAGAAAAUGGGCUUUUCAUCCUGGGCGGGCCAGAGACGCAACUGCAUGACAUUCUUUGGGUCGUCCAUGACGGAAAAACCCGUGGUAGAAGCGAGGGCGAGGAAAAUAUCGGGGUGUUCCCGGUUACGAUGGGUGGUCGGGGCCGAGCGAUGCACGGACGUUUGCGCGUUUCUCUUGUACAAGCACGCACGUGCGUGCAAGGCGUUGGGCUAUAACUGAACCCGAGCCAGGCGUUCGCCUACUGAACCCGAGCGAUUGCACUAUAGGCUACGCGUUGCUGAACCCGAGCGAUUGAUCGAUGGCUAUUAGCUGAAACCGAUCAAGCGAUUCCUUCAUUACUGCUGCUAACUGAAGCUGAUCGAAGUUGCCUCUGGAUGAACAGUGAGCGUUGCUCGGGCGGUUCGGAUGAACAGUUCUCGGUGGGGGUGGAUGAACAGGACCCCGUGGUGUUGCCUUUGGAUGAACAGGACCCCGAUUGAUCGAGACGGUUGGGGCUGGAUGAACAGGACCCCAUGGAGGGCUGGAUGAACUGGACGACCCCGUGGAGGGCUGGAUGAACAGUAGACGAUGGAGGGUUGGAUGAACAGUAGCCCGUGGAGGGGUGGUUGAACAGGAGCCCAUGGAGAGGGCUGGUUGAACAGUAGCUGGUGGAGUAGCGCGCAGUGGAGGCUGGAUGAACAGGAGCCAGUGGAUGAACAGUUGCGGGUGGAGGCUGGAGGAGGUCGACGGAGGAUGAACAGUAGCCCAUGGAGACUGGAGGCGGUCGAUGAUGGGGAUGAACAGUAUCCCGUGGAGUCCUGUUUUGCGGUACGCCACACCCCUCCCGAUGAACAGGACCCCCGUUUCGACCGUAGCGCUCCAACACAAGUCCGUUUCCUCUGUUUUGUGGGACACCACACCCCUCCCGAUGAAUAGGACCCUGUUUCAACCGUCGGAGGUCCAACACAAGUCCGUUUCCUCCAUUUUGCAGUACGCCAGACCCCUCCCGAUGAACAGGAUCCCGUUUCGAACGUGCCCGGUUGAACACAAGGCCGUUUCCUCCAUUCUGCGGUAUGCCAGGACUCGUUUCCAUCCGCUGUCCCAUCCAAUCCGGUUAGCUCCCACACGUUCUGUUGCCUCCCGAUGAACACGACGCGUUCCAUUGCCUCCCGAUGAACACGACGCAUUCCGUUGCCUCCCGAUGAACACGACGCAUUCUGUUGCCUCCCCAUGAACACGACGACGACGCAGUUUCUCCGUUUCGACCCAGCCAUGUACACGAGCCCUAGCCGUACAUAUGAAUGAGUAGGCGUUCGAGACCCUAUGUACGUACGUGGCUGUAUUUUGUUUCUUGCACACUGGCUGCUGUACGUACGUGUACAUGCUACAUGCACGCCUCUACUACGACACGUGCACGCCUCUACAUCGACCAGUAUGUAGUACACGUUCACGACCAGAAUGACAACGCCACGUACGCUUCGACCAGGUGGAUCCCGACUGUCAAACACUUCCUUGCGUGCGAAGAUGUAGCUGGUGGGUCCCAGUAGUCAGGGGGUGAAUCGUUUUUUCUUUUUGGCUCGGACACACUUCCUUGCGUGCGAAGAUGUAGCUGAUGGGUCCCAGCAGUCAGGGGGAAACAUUUUUUUUGCUAAAUACAGUGGCCCGUCCGGUGGGUCCCUGCUGUCAGGUGGAGGAAUCAUUAUUUUCCGUGUAAUAAGGAGGCACUUCCUUGAUGCGGCCCUGGACCCAGCUGUCAGCCUCUUCACGUAUAGUCCACGUCCGAUGAAAGUCGUUCCUUGACCACGUUGACCACUCCGCGAUAAGAACACCAUGGUGGUGGACGACGGCGAGGCCUAUGAAGGGGACGACCCGGAGCCGGGGAAGACGCGACAGUGGAUGCCCACACCUAGAGGAGUAGGAGGGUUCACUGGUUCGGCUGCGGGUGUGAGGCUGCCGUCACCGUAGAAUAAUAGGGGGUGCGGGUGAGUGUAGGGAUGGCCUGGCUAGCAGUGGGAGUAGUAUGUGGCGGUGAGGCCUCCGCGACAGCACAGCCGGCCACGGGAGGCAGGAGCAGGCGGCACGACCGGCGCUGCUUUGGGCGGCGGGAGCAAGAAGACCAGAGGUUGAAGAAGCACGACGGCCGUUGGAUGGACAUCGUACGGUCACUGUAGCUAGAAUCGUUUAUAUUGACUAAGUUGACAAAGCCCUUGGUACGCAUCAACUUAGUAGGCCCACAGGUCAGCUUCCGAAAUGGUGUGCCCCAGAUGUCAGGGGGAGGAAUCAUUUUUUGGGCGGGUGAAGCUGGAAUAUCCGAGAUUGGAGAAGAAGCACGGCAUCCGUUGGAUGGACAUCCAACGGCCAGUGCUGCUAGAACCGUGUGUUGACUAUAAGUUGACAAAGUCUUGCAUAAGCGUCAACUCUCUUUUUUUUGAGGGGGCGCGUCAACUUAGUAAGGCCACAAGUGUGUGGCAAAGAACUUAUAGCCCAUUUGAGAUUUGUAAGAAUGUGCAACCCAUUUUGGAAUUCUAAUGGAAUUUACCAUAGCCCAUUUACAGUUUGUUAAAAGUACAACCCAUUUCAACCAACCGUUCAAAACAGAAUUCAAUAAAAUUUCCCACAUUUUGAUGGGAUCCGAAAUAUUGCUAUCCCCAAAUUUGUAGUCAGAUUAAAUAUAAUUUCAAUAUAAAUUUAUAUUACAUAAAAAUCCAACAAAACAUUGCGCUCGCAACAACUAAUGAAAUUAAAAAUUUCAAUAUCCAAAAGUAAUAUUUCAUAAAGUAAUUACGUGUUUGGUGCGUUUUUUUAUAGUUACUGCCCAGUUUUUAUAAUUACAUCCCAUUUAUUAUUUCUUAAAUCCCAUUUUCUUGUUAAGCCUAAUGCAUUCCUCCUAGGAAAGAUUUGCAGCCCAACGGGGCGGAGAAUAACAACUUGACCUUGCCUGGAUAUUCCUAAAAAAAGUAUAGCUGGGCUAGCCAUUUUCAGCUUGAAAAAAAUUAAUAUUUGGGCUAGAUAUCUCGCCUGGGCUAGACAGGCCACAACCCGCCCAGUUAAUACAUGCAGCGAUGUUUUCGUUGUUGUUCUGAGGAGAAAAAUUAAUAUCUGAGCUAAACAUCGCUCAAGAAAAACUCUACAAUGCUCACACCUCGAAAACACAAAUACUGCUUGAGCUGCUUGGUCCCAGCUGUCAGCCGCUUCUUGUGCAAUUCUCUCGUUUAUUGACUACAUAGGUUGACAAUGGUGUGGGACCGUGAUGUCAGGAAACCAGGAGGAAGCAAAAAAAAUUAUAGUUCUAUAUAAUAUGGAGGCACUUGCGUACGUGAGGCUAUGGCCCUGGUGGGUCCCCAUUGUCAUCCUCUCCAUGGAAAGUCAUCUCCUCGCCCACGCGCGCUUUUCUCCCGAAACAGUCAGCGCCGCCCACUCCGCUUCUCGAUGCAGGCGAUUGCUCCGCCUUCAAAUGAAACAAGUGUCAUCCGUCCAUCCGUCUGCCGCCCACAUUAAUGAUACACGAUUGCCGAGGCGGCUACUCUGGCGCCACACGUCCGUCCCUCCGCCGCCCACCAUUGCUAUAUAAACUGUUGCGCCGGGCAUAGCCGCAGUCAUCCGCAUCUAUUCCCUUUCUCCUGUCCACACCACUACUGCCCACCAUGGCUUCCUCACGCUCCAGCGCUCUUCGGGACGGGCGGACGACGGACCACAAGGAGAUGACAGCCAUUGCUACCGACUGGCUGGCCGGCAGGCAGCCGGAGGAUGACGACGUCCCAAUGGAGAACAUGGUAGUCGAUGAUCCGGUGCCAGCCCCCUCCUCCGCGCCAUCCUCGCUGGUGCAUUGCACCAUGACCAUCAGCGAGGCCCGUGCCCAAUAUAUGGACACAGUGAGGCAGAAGCGUGAGGAGCAGUUCUGGGAGGCGCAGGCCGACACCGCCUACAACCACCAUCUCCUCCAGGAGCACCUGCAAGCGGAGGAGCAGAUUGCCGCGGAGCGGGCAAAGCAGGAGGCGCUGCUUGACUUGUACCGCUCCGCCCACGAGGGCUGCCACGAGUGCUGGCGGUACCGCAUGCGGGUGGCGGAGGAUGCGACCUCCUACAAAGAGGGCGAUGAAGCGGGCGAGGCGCUAUUUGGCGAGACCGAGGACGAGGCAGAGGACAAUGCCGGCUCCGACGAGUCCCCGCUCCGCUGGCGUUGACGAGGCCCUGCUCCGCCGAGGCCCCGCAGCACCAACAACGAGGCAGAGGACACCGCCGGCUCCGCCGAGGCCCCGCCCCGCCAACGACGAGGCAGAGAACAUCGUUGGCUUAGCCGAGGCCCCACCCUGCCGACAACGAGGGGGAGGAUUUCCACCGCUCCACUAAGGCGCCGCCCGCCGGCAACGAGACAGAGGACAUCGCCGGCUCCGCCGAGGCCCCACCCUGUUGCCAACAAGGUCGCACCACACAGAAAACAAGAAAGAGUAGAACACGGUAGGUCGCCACCGCUCGGGUCCAAGUAAGGCCACCGCUGCUACCUUCCGGUUGAAGGCAAGCUAGGUGGGUUGACCAUUGACGGCCGGUUAGCUUCUUGGCGGCGACAUGGAUUCGGAGAGCUAUGUUGGUGAAGGACGCUGCUUCUACUUAACUGCUGGUGCAGUUGGCUGCUGACACAUGGGCCCAACAGGCCACAUGUCAGUUACGCAACUAGACCUGUAGUUAAGUCACUGAAGCUUCUGUUCGGCUCAGCCAUACACAGGUGGGUAGCUUCGGUUAAUUAGUUAUACCUCCAGCGCACCCCUUUUCAGUUGAAGAAUGUAUGAAAUGUAAUGAAAUCUGGCAUGUUUAUAUGAAAUCCGACUAUGUAUCAAUGAAUUUAUUUCAAUUAGUUCGAAUUCUUAUAUCAUUGGCAUUGGAUGAACAUGCAAAACAAUACGUACUAGCAUUAUUCCCAGGGUGAUCACCUCAUUUGUAGCAGUUUCACAUGUACUUCCUCCGGUCCUUUCUAGUUUGCAUACAAGUUUUGUCUACAGUCAAAGUAUCUCUACUUUGACCAAUCUUAUAGAAAAAAGUAUGCACUUUCACAAUGUGCGAAGUAAAAAGGAACAGAAGGAGUACAAAGAGUUUGAGUAGCUUUUUAGCGUUCCUGUACAUUGCAAUCAAACACACAGGCCUGGCAAUUCAUAAAGAACAUUCAAAACAAUCAAUGAUUAUGCAUCUUAGCGAUUCACAUGUCAGAUCCAAUAUUUACUUCACAACUAAAGAAUAAAGAAAAAAUUGACCGAUGCUGCUGACAGCAAAGGGCGUCCCAUUCAAAAAUAUCAAACACAUGUCUUCUGGCUAAAAUCAAUGAGCAAAAUUUGACAAGGUUGUCCAUUCCAAAAUAUCAAAUGCCUACGAUUGUGGAAUAGGCAGGAUUUUCCAUCAGUUCGAACAUUGACAUGGCACCUCGUGCUAAAUAAACCAGCUAUUCUUUUUGUGUAGUUCCACCAAAAUCAACCAAAUUCACGCGUAGCUUGUAUGAUUUCACCCUUAUAUGUUGCAAUGCCUUGAACUUAUUGACACCUCCUUUCUUGUGGUGGAAAUGAAUGAUUCGAUGUAUUCAUGAACAUUUUGUGCAAUUCCCAUUGAAAUAAAGCUAAUCACCCCUGUUUGCACAAAUACAAAAAAAGUGAUUAGUAUAAAGCAAACUGUACUAUUAAUUGACAGUUUAAACAGGCACCUACAUGGUCCAUGUAGAGCACACUUUUAGAAAAAUGGAACUCACCGAAAAGAAUCCUAGAACAACAUUGUACUCGCGCAUCAUAGCAAGAAAAUGGAGAUUUGUCAGUCCUUCUGAGCUGAAGUUAGUUUGGUCUUGUGGGGAGUAAUGUAACCAUCCUUCAACUGCUCCUUCUGAUGAGAAGAUAGACAGGGCUUCUUCAUCCUGGCAUAAUCAGAACUAGUCACUUCACAUACUCCAUAUUCUUCUUCAGAGGAGGAUGAUCCUGUUGUGCAAAGACAAGAGGACAACUAAAUGCUAGCAUCCCUGUUUGCUCAAAAAAGGAAAGGACAUAUUUAAAAUAGCACAGAUGAAGCACUUCUCAAGGACAAUACCACUUUUUCAUGACAGUAUCUAAACAGUAGCACAACACCAAUGGAGAUGACAAAGCUCAAUCAUCUGGAUGAAAUCAGUGGGCGAGUACCAACCUUUGUCAGGAGGCUUAUUGUAUAGAGCAUACAGAUGAAGCACUUCUCCGGAACCAUCUGUUGCUUUCUACUGUGGUGGCCAUGCUUACUAUAUACUCCUCGAUUAGUUUAAUGUUUCGAACAUCUUCUUGUGCAGUUCCACUAAAAUAUAUGGUGUCUUCAAAGAAGAUCCCUGUUUGCACAAGUAGAGAUAAUUACGUAUUACAUGAAGAGUGGCAUCAAAUCAGUGGCAUAACAAUUGCUCGUUCCAGCCAUAGCAAUAAAUUAAGAUGCAAAACUAUAUCAUUACUUGUGUCAUCACAGUUCUAGUGCUUCAUUACAGCACCGGGAGUUGAUUUUCUGUUUUUCUUCCGCUUGUUCUUCCCCUUCAUCACUUGGUUCAAUAAUAGACAAGCUUCGCCUUCAAUGUAAGAUUUGGCAUGUCAAUUAGGGAGCACAAGUAUAACACUAAACAAUGACAUUAAUUUUCAGAUGAAAGUGGCAAAAUACAGGCCAAAAGUUGUGACAUAUCCUUAUCUUACCUCAAUGGGAUAUUAUGGUGCACAUAUAGUUUGGAAGUCUUGUCUCCAUUUGUGCAGUUCACUAAAAUCAAGCAACAUUACCGUACAAGUAGCACAACAUAUGAAAGCACACUGCAGAAUCAUGUGAAUGAAGGCUAGUACUAACCUCUCAUGAUGCAGAAUUCAAACAACUCACAAGAAGAAGAUCUGAACCAAAUUUGCCAACACGGAUAGCAAGUAAGAUCUCCUCUUGAGCAGUUCCGCUAAGAUCAAGCAAUCAAGCAACAUUGUCGGUGUGACAUUUUGGUUGAACUGCACAAAACACUCUUAAAACAAAAGUAUUGUGUGCAAUGCAACACAAGGUCACAAUGGCAACGAGGAGAAGUAGAUAACCCUGUUUACAUAGAGGUGCAAAGGAAACAAAUAGUGGUCAAUAAUGGUGGAUGACACAAAAGCCAACAAAAAGAAUCAUCUACCUUAUCUAAAUGGGAAAGAAAGCAAGACAGUAGCAUUUCUCAAACGGUGGCAUUGAUUAAUAUUAACGUAGAGAUUAUAUUAACAAUAAAAUUCGUUAAACAUGUAAUUUGCUUUUAACUGUGGCAUUGCAUCAAUUUUCUAGCGGCAUUAUUAGAGGGUGUUUGUUUACAGGGACAUUUUAGUGUAGGGACUAAAAAAACUCCAUGUCAGUCCCAUCUAAACCAAACUGGAGGGACUUUUAGGGACUAAAAGUGGGCAUUUGGGACUAAAUAAAGAAGACCCCGAGGGAGUCUUUUUAGGACUUUUCCCAGCAGUUGCCCCUGCCACGCAUCGCACCUUCUCUCUAUUAGUUCAUUACUAGGGGUAACAUGGUCUUUUAGCAUGUCAUUUAAUAACCUCUAGUCCAUGUUUAGUCCUUGGAACCAAGCUGGUAGGGACUAGAGAGUUUUUAACCAAAUAGGGCCUUAGAUUAACAACAGCUAAAGAGUUGCACGGGACAAUGGAUGUGCCAGCAUCAUGUGCAUCUACCGAUAUACUGGGGUGAUGCAUAGUAUGUUGCAACAAGGAACAAACAACCAAGGAGCAUAUUUGUGUUGGUCCCAGUUUUGUUAUCUUUAGACACCUUUCCCUAUGUGAGCGCAGCAAAUCUAGUCCUGCUCAAACUCUACAGCCUUGUCCCCCAAAACAAAAGAUCAGUUUGUUACAGAUGUGCGUACUGCAUUUGUCAUUGUUUUCCCUUUUCGACCAACGUAGGUGCUAGAUAGCCAGUCUGUACUAGUACUUUCGCCCCUUCCUUUCCUCUUUGAACCACGUCCUAGAUUUAUGCUAUACAACUUUCCCCACUACUUUUCCCCAUUCCUUUCCUCUUUGAACCACGUCUUAGAUUCAUGCGAUACAACUUUCCCCACUACUUUCCCCCUUCCUUUCCUUUAUGAACCAUGUCCUAGAUUCAUGCUAUACAACUUUUUCCACUACUUUCCCCCACUCUUUCCUCUUUGAACCACAUCCUAGAUUCAUGCUAUACAACUUUCCCCACUACUUUCAUGUUUGAUCCAACACCUAGAUUUGGGUGCAGAAGCGGAAAAAGCCCACAUGCAGCUAGAGCAGUGCAUGUGGAAUAAGUAACUUAUACCUUAAGGUUCUUGGGGCGUGGUUCAGUGGGCGACCGGACGGCGGUGAAGAAGAAGGGGUCGGAGGCCCUCCCGCGCCGCCGCUAGGUGAAAGUGAAUAGCUGCGCUGGUAGUGGAUUCCCUCCCUCACGGACGGCGACAGAGUUAAGCAUCCUUCCCUUCCCGGUGGACGGAUCCUACUGGCUCUUUGACCAGCAGUGAGGGGAGAGAGAGGCCAACGAAGUCAUGUUUAGAUCUGGAGAGGGUGAGAGAGUGUGAAGAGAGCAACUACAAGCACUAAGAGAGAGAGGCCAAUGAAGUCUUGUUUAGAUCUAGAGAGGGUGAGAGAGUCUGAAGAGAGCAACUACAAGGGCCGAGGCUCCAGCAUGUAAAGAGUGUAAAGAGUGCAAACCCUAGAAAACAAGCGUCGAGGCUGCAGCUUAUACGUGAUGAGGUGAUUAUACGGUCACUACGAGAUCGUAUAGCUCCGUAUCCAUCCAUUUUGACCAGUCAAAGAAUCCUCCUGGCACAAAUUAUGCUCAAGUGUAGUUAUUGAACCCGAGACCUCAAGUUUGAUGAGCGAACAGGCUAACCAGCUACACAACCCUCCCGUUAUAUUCAACGAGAGGAAAAUAACCUUUUAUACAUUCCUGCAUUCGUGUGACAAGCAUGCCGUGUUUUUUGUGUGUGGGAGUCAUUGGGAUUUAAAUCAUAAUCGUGUCAUGUGGCUUUGGUGGUAAGACUAUCCAUAGUGGUGCAGAAAUAAUGCAGCCUUAGUCACCUUACCUCUCUCCACGUAGUACGUUGGGUCCCACCAGUCAGAAGGUGAAACAAACAAAUUAAUAAGAAAAAUUAAAAGCGCCAACGGUGUAUCUUACCUCACACAUCUCGCUACUUCUCAGGAACACUGUCCAAUUGAUCCCUCUGUUCGCUCACGUACUAUUUUAAGUCAAUCCUUACUAUAACAUGCACAUAAUUUUGGGCACUUAUAUUCGACCUAAGUCAGUGUGCCACCAUAUCUCAUACUACUCCCUCCGUCUCGGUGUAAUAAGUCAUGUUAGAAGGUGCAGCGGGACCAAGGUGCAAGCAGAUUGGAGGAGAAGGAGAAACUUGACCGGUCAUUCCUCCAAUCAAAGCCCUGAUUUCUGUCUCUAAAUGCAACAAUUAAUCCAAACAACUAAGAGAUGCCGUUUUAGAUACCAUGCAGGGCCAUGUAUUAACUCGCAUGCAAGCCGACUUUGAUUUCUUGACUGAUCAACACGUAGUUGCGCUCCAUGCAUUGGGUUUUCGGGGGAGAUAACAAGGCAGAGUAAGGAGCGUUUGGUUACAUUGCUUAGGCUAGUCAUAGUGGUGAGUGGCUUGGACUAGUAACAUGCAUAUGUUACUAGUCUAUCUUACUACUACGCGAAGUUUGCCGUCGGAAGCGAGCCGAUCUGGCUCUCCUGAGCAAGCAAGGUUUUUCUAGCCCACCCAAGCUAGCUGGCCCACAAAUGCUAACAUAUUUCAACAGUUCCAAAUGCCUAACCUUGCCCCGCUAUGCUAUAAGCUGUUCUUGCUAAGGAUCCAAACGCUCCCUAAGUAACAGCGCUCGCUAGCAACGAGGCCAGGAGGGGAUUGAGAUGCAAAGUUAAUGGAUGACACCUAAACAUUUUGGGAAUAUCUGAUUUCCAUAAGAUGACUUAACACCUAGAUGGAGGGAGUACUACUCCUCAGUCCAGGUUUGAUGGAAUAUUUGUCACCUAUUCUAUGAGGCUUCGCACUCGCACUUCGCACUCGCACUUCGCACUCACCUACUCCAUUUGUAUCUCACUUCAUGUGGCUUCGCACUCACACGAUUUUCCUAUUCUAUGAACCUCUGUGUGUGUGUGUGUGUGUGUGUGUGUGUGUGUGUUUAACAGCAUGUGUGUGUUAGAGAGAGCAACAGAUCGACCUACUCCUACAGAGAGAUGGUGUGUAGUGUAUGAUUUUAGCUGUGAGAGUUGGUGCAUCCUCUCAUUUCCGAGCGUCCGGUAGGGACAGGCCGACAGUUGCCACGCCCGCUCCUGACCAGCCUGGCCCACCCAAAGCCCCUCCAUCGCCCGCGUGCGCUUCCCGCCCGAAACGGUCAGCGCCGCUCCAAAGAAUCGGUGUCGCAUACAUGCCCGGGCAGAGCGAAUGCGACCUCUCACUGGCGCCUGCGUUGAAGGAGAAGCGGAUUCAAGAGUGAUGGUUGCUUCGUCCGUCCAACUUACUGCUGGGUCUAUGUGAUUUGACGGCUCAUUGGUCAUUAUUACUGAGGUGGUAGGACUGCUGGAUGUCCCACGCUUUCGGCAGAAGGGGGUACUACUAGAUUACAAUUUUCUCCAUUCUUACAGCGGAGGAGUGCAAGAGCAGUGAAAACACACAGGCUCAGUGAUUACAUGGCCCACCUCACACUAUCGCCAUACUUUCUGGACACCGUGCGACACCUAACUCUUUACAUAGUACCCCCUCCGUUCCUAAAUACUAGAUGAGACCCCGCGCGUUGCCGCAGAACAGCCGUAUAUCUCUAUGCGUAAAAUUAUCGAUUUCAUAGAACUAAAAAAACUUUAUAACCGCAUGACAAAUGUGGUAGCCAAACUAAAAAACUCCCAUCAUCAUUUAGAUCAUCCCACAUAAGGAAAAAAGAUCAGCCAACUCCUACUGCAUAAUGGGAUUAUAUUUUUCUUUUUUACAUGUUAAUGGGACUUAAAAGCUCACUUACAUGCAUGCCACUGGUGCAUGCGUGCAUGCAGACAUGUUGAUGUGAUUUAAAACCCACUCACAUUCAUGCUACGGUAUUUCUGCAUGCUUGCAUGUGGCUUAGUGCGGAGCCUCUCAACGUCUAGAUCAGAUGGCUAUUAUGGACUGAUUUAGUUCAUCUAACGGCUACAUUAAUUUUGAUGAUGUGGCUCAAGGAGAGGAUAGAUAAUUCCUAGUAGUGGGGGCUAGCUAUUUAGAUAUAGUAGAUAAGUAUUUGUAGAGAUUCCACUAUGUGGACUACAUUCGAAACAAAAUGAAUGAAUCUACACUUAAAAUGCAUCUAUAUACAUCCGCAUGUGGUUCAUGGUGAAAUCUCUACAAAGACUUAUAUUUAGGAAUGGAGGAAGUACUAGUAUAGUAUGUACUGUAAUUUAUCAGCGAGAUAAAUUUGUACAAUGCUAUGAAGCUUCCAGCUUCUGUUACAUGUAUCUUGUAUCCAAGGUUGCCCGUUGCAACAUUUCAUCAAAUACAAAGGAGACUAAGAUGCAUGCUAUUGCAUCUCAAUGAUUGACAGAUCAUAGCAAAUAUGUACUCCAUCCGUUCCAAAAUAAGUGUCUCAACUUUAUGCAAACUUUAGUACAAAGUUGUACUACUACUAAAGUUCACACUUAUUUUGGAACAGAGGUAGCUAAAGUAAAAAAAUGAUCCAUGCAGUCCCUAGACCUUGAACCGUAAACCCUAACCAGGCUUCAAUUUGUUGGCAACGUUCAAGCUUCCUAAGAAAUUAAGUUUGCAACCUUUUGACCAUCGGAUCAUUUUGUGCAGUUUCACCAAAAUCAAGAUGAGUAUCCCUAUGGCAAAGAAAUUGAAGAAGCGUGAUUAGAAUAAGAUUACUGGGACUAGUUGAUGAGACAUAAACUCAUCACAAAUACAGUACGUAGAAGCCAAUAGAGGUAUGUGCGGGGCAAUGAAGUAGAGAAAUAUCCCCAUGGAGUGAUGUGGGCAGCUGGAGCAGUGGUGCAAGCCGGCUGUAAAGGGAGUUGUACCCGAGGGAUGUCGGGACAUAGCUCAACCUUGAGGAGGGCGGCGGGAGGCGGCAACUACCCACGUCGCGGUAGUGAGCAAGGUAUGAAAGCAACCUCACCGGCUUUGUGAGAGAGAAUGGCGGGGACCCCUGAUCGGGACGUGCUGAUAGUGGGUUUUCGCUGUCGGCGCCGGCGACCGCAUCUACACUAAGCAUCCAACCCUUCCCCCAGCGGACGUGAUCCACCAGGAUGUUAGAGAUGUGGCCACAGUCGUUUUGUGCGAGAGAGUGUGAAGAUAGCAACCCCAGUAAGCAACCGUGUAGGCUGGCCCAUCCUGACUAUGUAUAUAGUGGAGCGGUUUCCUUUUCUCUCCAUAUGAACCUAUCAUAUUCCGUACGUGCCACUGAAGAAAAAACACUUUAUUUAUAAAUGACGCGGCACCUACUACUCGUUCUCCUAUAACCUUGCACUUGGCAUCUCCAAAAUAUUAACCUUGCGAUUGGCUCUUCGCCUCUUUGGGAAGUCGAGCAAUAAUGGUACUGCAGUAUAUAUCGUUCUGGCUAUAUGAGACCGAAUUAAUUGUUGCACAUCCACCAGGUGGGCGAGGGUCGAGGGGAGAGGGAGAGUGCGUACUAUUACGUCCGUUUCAGGGGGUGUUUGUUUCCAGGGACUUUUUAGUGUAGGGACUAGAAAAAGUCCCUCUUAGAGACUUUUUAACCAAACAGGAGGGACUACUAGGGACUAAAACUUGCUUUUUGGGACUUAAUGAAGAAGACUCUCAAGGAGAGUCUUUUUGGGACUUUUCCAACAAUGCCCCUCCCUGCACCCAUUGCCCCACUAUAGGACCUUGAAGUAUGUCUAGAGGGGGGUGAUUAGACUACUUGACCAAUUAAAAACUUAACCUUUUCCCAAUUUUAGACUUUGGCAGAUUUUAGCUAUCUUUGGACAAGUCAAGCAAUCUUCACACAAUUCAAGCAAGCAUGCAAAGUGUAUAUGAGCAGCGGAAAGUAAAGCAUGCAACUUGCAAGAAUGUAAAGGGACGGGUUUGGAGGAUUCAAACGCAAUUGGAGACACGGAUGUUUUUGUCGUGGUUCCGAUAGGUGGUGCUAUCGUACAUCCACAUUGAUGGAGACUUCAACCCACGAAGGGUAAUGGUUGCGCGAGUCCACGGAGGGCUCCACCCACGAAGGGUCCACAAAGAAGCAACCUUGUCUAUCCCACCAUGGCCGUCGCCCACAAAGGACUUGCCUCACUAGCGGUAGAUCUUCACAAAGUAGGCGAUCUCCUUGCCCUUACAAACUCCUUGGUUCAACUCCUCAAUCUUGUCGGAGGCUGAAAGUGCAACUAUCCCUAGGUGGUUUUGGUAAUUCAUAAUAACAUAUAGCUCAUUGAGCUAAUGCUAUUCCAAGACUAUUAUUUCAGGAAAGCUUAAUGAAUGGCAUGGCAUGGAUGAUGAAAGUGGAUCCCUCAAAAUACUAAGGACACAGGAUUGGCUCAAGCUCAAAAGCUCAAGACUCUUCAUUUUAUAUUUUAGUGAUCCAAGAUCACAUUGAGUCUAUAGGAAAAGCCAAUACUAUCAAGGAGGGAUGAGGUGUUGCUUAAUGAGCCUCUUGCUUCAUGUGCUUUGUGAUAUGCUCCAAAACCCUCAGCUACUUUCCCACAUCCACAAAUGACCUAAACCCAAAGCCAAAAUCGGUCACACCGAUUAUUCCUAUCCGGCGCCACCGAUUCCAAAAGUCAUAGCCACUGCCACAAACCCUAAGAAAAUCGGUCUUACCGAUAGGGAUCUCGGUCUCACCGAGAUGGGGUUGUAAUCUCUCUGUUUCACUUUGUAACGUUUCGGUCUAACCGAAGUGAGCGAUUGGUCCCACCGAGAUUGCAAUGUAAACUCUCUGUUUCCCUUUUGUAACAUUUCGGUCUCACCAAAAAGAGCAAAUCGGUCCCACCGAGUUUACCUGACCAACUCUCUGGAAAGCUUAUUACCAAAUCAGUCUCACCGAGUUUGUGUAAUCGGUCUUACCGAGAUUACGUUAUGCCCUAACCCUAACCGAAUCGGUCUCACUGAGAUGCAUGUCAGUCCCACAGAUAAUCACUAACGGUCACUAGGUUUACUCAAUCGGUCCGACCAAGUCUGUUGAAUCGGUCCCACCGAGUUUGGUAAAUUGUGUGUAACGGUUAGAUUUUGUGUGGAGGCUAUAUAUACCCCUCCACCUCCUCUUCAUUCGUGGAGAGAGCUAUCAGAACGAACCUACACUUCCAACUUACCAUUUCUGAGAGAGAACCACCUACUCAUGUGUUGAGGCCAAGAUAUUCCAUUCCUACCAUAUGAAUCUUGAUCUCUAGCCUUCCCCAAGUUGCUUUCCACUCAAAUCUUCUUUCCACCAGAUCCAAAACCUAUGAGAGAGAGUUGAGUGUUGGGGAGACUAUCAUUUGAAGCACAAGAGCAAGGAGUUCAUCAUCAACGCACCAUUUGUUACUUCUUGGAGAGUGGUGUCUCCUAGAUUGGCUAGGUGUCACUUGGGAGCCUCCGACAAGAUUGUGGAGUUGAACCAAGGAGUUUGUAAGGGCAAGGAGAUCGCCUACUUCGUGAAGAUCUACCACUAGUGAGGCAAGUCCUUCGUGGGCGACGGCCAUGGUGGGAUAGACAAGGUUGCUUCUUCAUGGACCCUUCGUGGGUGGAGCCCUCCGUGGACUCGCGCAACCGUUACCCUUCGUGGGUUGAAGUCUCCAUCAACGUGGAUGUACGAUAGCACCACCUAUCGGAACCACACCAAAAACAUCUGUGUCUCCAAUUGCAUUUGAAUCCUCCAAACCCUUCCCUUUACUUUCUUGCAAGUUGCAUGCUUUAAUUUCCGCUGCCUAUAUACUCUUUGCAUGCUUGCUUGAAUAGUGUGAUGAUUUCUUGCCUUGUCCUAAAGUAGCUAAAAUCUGCCAAACUCUAAAAUUGCGAAAAGGUUAAGUUUUUAUUGGUCAAGUAGUCUAGUCACCCCCCCCUAGACAUACUUCAAGGUCCUACAAGUGGUAUCAGAGCUUUGGUCUCCAUUUGCUUUGAUUUCCAUAGCUUUUGGUGGUCAUAGCCUUGGUUUUACAACCUAGGAGAGUAUGGCGUCUAGCGAGGGAAAUUAUCACCGUAGAGGUCCUUACUUUGAUGGUACUAAUUUUGCUAGUUGGAAGCAUAAGAUGAAAAUGUAUAUUCUUGGACAUAACCCCGCUGUUUGGGCAAUUAUUUGUAUUGGCUUGCAAGGUGAAUUCUUUCAUGGAAGAGAACCGAACUGUGAAGCUAAUGCGGAAGAAUUGAAGAUGCUGCAAUACAACGCUCAAGCUUGUGAUAUCAUCUUCAACGGAUUGUGCCCCGAAGAAUUCAACAAAAUCAGCCCGUCUUGAGAAUGCAAAGGAAAUUUGGGAUACUUUGAUUGAUAUGCAUGAAGGUACCGAAUCCGUCAAGGAAUCCAAGUUGGAUGUGCUCCAAAGUAAGCUUGACAAGUUCAAAAUGAAGGAUGGUGAAGGUGUCACUGAAAUGUACUCUAGGCUUGCUCUUAUCACAAAUGAGAUUGCCGGCUUAGGGAGUGAAGAGAUGACCGACAAAUUCAUCAUCAAGAAGAUCCUAAGAGCAUUGGAUGGAAAGUACGAUACCGUGUGCAUGUUGAUCCAAAUGAUGCCAAACUACAAAGAUCUCAAGCCAACGGAAGUCAUUGGAAGAAUUGUUGCUCAUGAGAUGUCACUCAAGGAUAAGGAGGAACUUCACAACAAGUCAAGUGGUGCUUACAAAGCCUCAAGUGAAGCCCCCACAUCAUCAAGUGAGAAACAAACCUUCAAUGAAGAAUUGAGCUUAAUGGUGAAGAACUUCAACAAAUUCUACAAGAGUAGAAGCAAGGAAAGAAGCUCCAAGUCAAGGUCUUACAAUGACAAAAGAUCUUCUAGUCGAGAGCGCAAUUGCUACAAUUGUGGGAGACCCGGACACUAUUCCAAUGAGUGUACGACACCCUACAAAAGAAGAGAAGAUUCUCCAAAAAGAAGAAGCAAAAGAAAAGAAUCACCACCAAGAGAGAGGAGGAGUAGAGAUGAUCGUUAUGAACGAAGAUCCUCACAGAGAAGCAAGGAUUCGGAAAGGAAGGACAAGUCAUCAAGGAGCUACACAAAAUGAAGACAUCAAGCUCAUGUUGGUGAAUGGGUAUCCGGCUCCGACUCCGACAAUCACUCCGAGAGAAGCUAUCACUCCGACUCCGAAUAUACUCAAGAUGAAUGUGUUGCCGGUCUAGCACUUGUGUCAACCAACUCCUAUGACAUAUUUGAUUCACCAAAUGAAGGAAUUGGGAGAUGCUUCAUGGCCAAAGGUCCAAAGGUAACACAUCCUGAGUAUGUUGAUUUCAAUAGUGAUGAAGAUGACUUGCUUGUGGAUGAUGAUUUACUUGUUGACAACUCUAGUGAUGAAUACUAUGAUGAAACGUCAAUUAAUCAUGCUAAUCAAGAUAAAACGAAUGACAAUGAUAUGGAUAAGAUUGAGCUUCUAACUAAAGAACUAAACACUCUUAAGUUGGCUCAUGAAACUAUCUUUGAAGAUCAUCAAGAACUUUUAAGGGCUCAUGAGAAGUUACGCUUUGAAAAGCUCAAUCUUCAGCAAGAGCAUGAGUUCUUAAAAGGAAGCAAUGAUGAUCUCCGCAAGAAAAGUUCUUCUUACAUUGCCAAGCGUUUACUCUUAUCUACUUACAUGCCUCAAGUCAAGUCUAGUAACAAGUACAAGAAAGAUACUUCCUGUAGUAGUAACAAUAAUAAUGUCAAAUCCAAUAUUGUUGCUUCUAGUAGUUCUCUUGAUUCCACUAAUGAUUCUCUUAGCCAAGUUACACUUGAGCAAGAAAAUAGCUUAUUGAAGGGAAUUAUAGAGAAAGGUGUUUACAAGAGCCUUGCCGGGAGUAAGCAAUUCGAGGAAAUUGUACGCAAGCAAGGAAGGCACCGGAAGAAUCAAGGUGUUGGUUUUGAACGCAAGUUCAAUGCCAAUGGAGUUGAGUGGGAAGAAGAUCAAUACCCCAAGACGAAGUCUGUUCCUCAACAAGAGAAGUAUGAUCCUACUUCCUUCAAGGUAACACAAGCUCAAGAUGAUCUUCCACCACAAGACCACAAGAACAAAGGCAAGGACAAGCUUCAAGAAGAGAUUGAUGCAUUUUAAGAAGCACCUAAAGCCUCGUUCAAGUGGGUUCCCAAGACUACGUCAAGUUCUACUUCAUCAAGUACAACUACAACUCCAAGGAUUCCCAUCAAGAUGAUGUGGAUCCCGAAGAAGAAGAACUAGAGAGUUCUUGAGGGUGACUCCGCCAACAUUCUUCACUCAUAUCAUUAUGGCAAGAACAAGUGCAAUCAACUUCCACAUCUUGCACUAGUUCAAGGAGUCACAAACCCUCAUGUUGGUAAGGCAAGGGACAAGGUAACCUAAUGAUUUCAUGGACAUCAUCUUGUGUGUGCAUCACUCUAUGUCUAUGGAUAUUCUUGUCUGUUCUGUCAGGACCCCGACUCGAUGUCACAUCGAUCUAGCCGGUAACACCUCAUAUCACUUUGCGGCCUCACGCACGGUAUCCCCACGGGUGUUGCCUUACCUUUGCCCGGGACCGUUUGCGCCUUUUGGCUCACGUAUAUGAUAGUGUCGCUAGCAUCCAUAUGAUAAGGAGCCCGGGCUGACAUGACUAGUCGUAAACCCAAAGUGGCACAGACUUACAGGGACAGGCAUCCAUGACCCAGCUUCGAACGUGUUGGUCAUCAGCAAGUGGGUCCGGGCUGUAGCACUGGGCUAGCAGGACUCCGGUAAACCGGGCUGUAGCGGGCUAACAGGACUUCGGUACUCACAGCGUGACAUUUCCCCGAAGGGACAGACACAGGAACGAAGAAGGACACAUGCCGGCCAGCCUAAGUGUUCCAGAGCAGUAGCAAGCUACCAUGGCUCAGCGGUAACACUAGGAGACAUUUCCCGGUAAGAGAGGCUACUAAAGAUAAACAACUAGAUAGUCAGAUCCCACACAUACCAAGCAUUUCAAUCAUACACACAAUAUGCUCGAUAUGUGCAAAUACAACGAAGCAUCACAAUAUGACUCUAUGACACAAGUACUUUAUUUAAGGCUUAGGGAGCCAUACAUAACAUACACAAAGGUACGGGUCUCACGACCCAACAUUCAAGUCAUACAGUCAUACAAACCAGCACCGGAAGUAACUUGUCUGAGUACAGACAACUAGUAAAAUAAAAGAGGCUUGGAAAGCCUAGCUAUACUACGUGGUCCUUCACAAGCUCAGGAUCACCACCCGGGCCUUUAGCCUACUUGUUGAUGUCAACGUCUACAUAGAACCCAUCAGAAAGGGUUGCAGCGUCUUCUGUAAAAAUGUAAAUUAUAGCAACAUGAGUACAAAGGUACUCAGCAAGACUUACAUCAGAUCCUACAUACAUGCAUAUUAUCAAGAAGGGUUGGUGGAGUUAUUGCAGCAAGCCAGCUUUGACUCUUGGCUAGACUAUCCUACGAUACUUCAACUUGAAAUGGUUUUGCGCACACGAGUCCACUACUCACCACUUCAAUACACUACCGAGGAUCCGCCUCCGUCUUCCUACGGAGGAGCCAUCCUCGGCACUCACACUUAUCUUGAGGCUUUUAGUAGUUUCCAAUUACUUGUCUAUGAACUGUAUAGGCAACCAAGUAGUCCUUUACCGCGGACGCGGCUAUUCGAAUAGAUCAUGAUAACCCUGCAGGGGUGUACUUCUUCAUACAUGUUUCCACCACUUAGCGUCUGCACACGACAUGUGCUCGGCAGACUUCAAGCGAAAGCCGACGUGGGUGUAGACCACGACCUACCUAAACACUUAAGCCUCUAGUCCAGGUUUAUCGCCUAUCCAGGUUCCAUCCGCAGGGAGUCCGGCCGAGGUUUCCCAUACGGCCCCGAACAAUGUGAACAGGGUUCCCGAGAUACCUAACGGGUAUUCGGUACGCCGUGCCACGUACCUACCGCAUCACAGCCCACCCCUACGGUAAGCGCUGUCCACGGCCUCCAGUAGGCUACAAACACCAGAAACUACUUGCAACUCCUGGACAGAGAGCUAGGGUGAAUAAGAAGUCGAGCGGGGUCAUAUUUCAGGGCCCAAUGCAUGGUAGUAGCUGUAUCUUAAAUCACACAUACAGAUCUCAGUGCUUAAGGUCGGCUUCAAUGAAACAACCCACCAUGUACUCCUACAUGGCCUCUCAUCGAUACCUUUACCAAAUCGUGUUCACCACACCACUCUCAUUACCGACAUAAUCAUUUCACUCUAGCCCAUCACCCAGAUGAACCAGACCUGACACGACUCUAAGCAUAGCAGGCAUAGCAAGGUAGGAACAACACAUACAUAUGGCUCAAUCAACUCCUACACAUGCUAGUGGGUUUCAUCUAGUUACUGUGGCAAUGACAGGUCAUGCAGAGGAAAUGGGUUCAACUACCGUAGCACACAGCAGUUUGAAACGCGUUGUCUUAAUGCAGUAAAAGAGAGCAGGAGCGAGAACAUGGGAUUGUAUCAAUAUGAUCAAAUGGUUGGUUGCUUGCCUGAUGGUUCGAUGCACUGAUACGGUUCUUCGUUAGGGUAAUCACGGUACUCCUCGGAGGCAGAACCUGUCGCAAAGAACACCGAUACACAACCAUCACCAAACAAUGUGCAACAAUAUGAUGCAUGCAUGAAACAUGGCAAUAUGAGUGUGUUGGGCUAAUGCAACUAAAACCAGAAGGGUUUGAACCAAUUUGAAUCAAAGAUUCAAAUUUCAAACUCAAACAUGGCCUUUUAAAGUGCUUUUUCUUGUUCUGUUAAAAACAUCAAUUUAACUUGUUUGAUCAUUCAUGAAAAUAGUACACAUGGAUAGAUUGGAUUUUUCUGAUCAUUUUUCAUAUAUAAUUUGUCUGAUUUGGAGUUACAGAAUAAAAGUUAUGAAUUUUUGAAGUUUAAAUAAUAUUCUGGAAUUUCCUGAUUUAAAUUUAAUCCAGAAAUAUAUAUAUUGCGCCAGCAUGACGUCAGCGGUCAACUGCGGCUGGCUGGGGUCAAACCUGACGUGUGGGGUCCACACGUCAGUGACAGGGGGGUUUAACAGGGUUAAUUUAAUCCUAAUUAGGAAUUAGUGGCGCUGGGGCCCACUGGUCAGUGUCAGGGGGGUUGACUAACGGUGAUUAGCACUAAGCUGACCACCUGGCCGACGGGGCCCACGCGUCAGUGACCCUGGGGGGGGUCAAACCCCAGGUCAAACAGGUCAAACCCACCAGCGACAUGACGCCGGCGAGGCCCGAGACGGCGGCGCGAUACGGAAACGCGCUACAGGGCACGGGCGAGGCCGUGCUUGGGCUCGUUGGAGAGCCCUUGCUCCCGCGCGUCGAACGGUGGUGGUGGCCAUGCCUGAGGUGGCCGGUACCGAUGACGGCGAGCUCGUGAGCGGCGGCCGGAGUUCGGGUGCGGUCGGGAUCGGCGCUGCUGCUCGCAAGCGAGGGAGCUGAGGCGCUGGAGGGGCUCUACGGGUCGCGGCAAGCACAACGGGUGCAUGCCCGUGACCAAAUGGUCACCGGAGCUGCUUCGACGGCGAGCUCGGCGACGGCGGAGGUUCGGCCGUGGUGGGAACGGGGUUACGGCGCGGGAACGAGGGGGAAAAGAGGGGGAAACGGUGGCGGAGCUCACCGCGGUUGCAGUGGGCGUCGAAGCGGGCUCGGGGACGCGCUGGAGACGGCGAAUCAACGGCGAUGUGGUCGGAGCCCGAGGAGGAAGACGAUGGCGACGGCGGCUCCACAGGGCGUCCGGCGUCUUGUGGCUUGACGAGGAGGUAGAGGGGGUCGCGGCGGAGCUGGGGAGCGUGUCGGGGAGGCGAGGGGAGGCCGGUGGCGGCUGCUAUGGCGAACGGCGGCGAUGGGUGCUUCGGACACGGAAGAGAGAGAGCGAGGGGGAGGAGAGGAAGAACCGGGGGAGAGUGAGAGAGAGCAGGGGGGGCGUGGCGUCGUUCCAGGCCAUCCAGACGAGGAGGGGAGGGGCAGGCAGGCAGGCGAGCUGGUGGCGUGGCGCGGUGGUGCGCGCGCGCGCCGGCCACACUCCCCUCCCUCUGUCGAGGACUAAGACGACAGAGGAGGGAGACGGGCUGGGCCGCCUGCUGGCUGGGCCGGCCAGCUGGCUGGGCUGCACAGGGAGGAGCCCCAGGUAAGCUUCUCCCUUUUAUUUAUUUCUAUUUUCUAAUUUCUGACAUUUGUUUUGAUUUAAAUAAAAUAUUAAAUCAUUUUAUUAACUUAUGCCAAUUUUUGCAGGAGCUAGAUAUAUUAUUCCAGAGCUCCCCAACAGGUGGCAUAAUUUUUGGACAUAUAUUAGUAUAUAUAAUUAAUAUAUCUCCAAUGCAAAUAUUUAUGCAUUAAAUCCAAAUGCCCAAAAUAAAUACCUAUGAGCUCUUAAAAAUAUUGGUUUGAUUUUUAUCUCUGUCCAAUAUUUUCAGAGAGCAACAUGAGCAUUUUCUUGGACCCUUUUGGAGAAAUUUUUAUUUGGGUCUUUUUCAAAAUGAUUCUGAGGGUUUCACCAAUCCCCAUUUCAAGUUUCUGAUGAAAGAGUAAACAUGAUGCAACACUCUAAUGCAUGACUAGCUAGGGUGUGACAUGUUCCUUGUGGGACUAACACAUGUAGGUAAGUUGAAAGUGCAACUCACUCCAAAGGAUUGCUCCAAAUGAUCUACAUCAACAUUGAGCAUCCACAUCUUCAACACCUACAUGAAGUCAUCAUCGACAAAACCCAAGGUUAGUUCAUCCCUCUAAAGGGGGAUCUCACAUCUAGGGGGAGCUUAACUCUAAGAAUUGAGUCAAAGCAACUCUAAUGGUGUGAACAUAUCAAUGCAUUAUGUAAAAGUGGUAACCCCACUUGAGCUUAAACGAUGAGUAUGACCUAUGAUCAAAUGUUCUCAUUUGACUCCUAAGUCAAUAUACUCAUAUAUAGAUGACCUAGUCAUCGCCAAUUGUUUGAUAGAUGCUAGAAUUGGUUGUGCAUGCUUUGCCACAUAUUUCAUUUGCCAUUUUAUUGUGUGAGCAUGGUGGUGCAUAUUUUACUCAUUCAAGGACAUCCACUUGUUGUUUUGAUUGUUUGGGUUCUUUUCUUUUUGCCAAGUGGAUGGACAAGAAUGCCUAAGAACCUUCUUUAGCUAUCUAUGCUUUUAUCGUCUCAAACUCUAUUCAUGCUACAUCACAAAAUUUGAUCAAGUCAGAUUCGAACCACUCUAUGUGAGGAGCACUCGGAGUCCCUGAUUCAUCAUAGACUUAAACUUCCAAAACCUCUUUGUGACUCUCGGUCUGACCGAUUCCUCCAUUUCGGUCCUAUCGAGAUCAUUAACUUGAUCUGAGUUUUCAAUCUCGGUGCAACCGAUUUGAACUUUUCGGUCACACCGAUUUGCUGUAACUGUACACAGUUAUGCAUCUCAGUGCCACCGAGUUGUUCCACUCGGUCACACCGACAGGGUCGGGCUAUAUAUAGUCACGGGCAAAAUUUUGGAAAUUUCUCCGAAACCCUUCGCCCGCGCAAUAGCUUGCUCUGCCAUCGAAGGUCUCCGGAUCGUCUCCUCGUCGCCAGCAGCCUCCAGUAGCUGGUCUCCACCGCCGUCAACGGAUUUCGCCCCCACCGUUGCCGCCGUAGCGAGUCCACCGCCAAGCUAGGGUAUGGACUCAAUGUUUGUGCUAUCCUCAUCUGAUUCCUAGCACAUUGUAUUCUUAUUGAAUCUUGCCACGAUUGAAACAAUUCUAUCCAGCCAAAGUAAUCCAUAGAUUAGAUGAGAUUCAAAUUUUUAGGGUUAGGUUUCCGCCGAAACCAUCUCGGACCCACCGAGUUGAAAAACUCGGUCUCACCGAUUUGGCUUAUGCCAUUGCACUAGUGACUCUCAGUCUGACCGAGAAUUACUAAUCGGUGCGACCGAUUUUAGGAUUCUGUGAAACCCUAGUAGUCUCGGUGCCACCAAACUGUGACUCGGUCCAACCGAGAUCAUCAGUUUAGGUUCCAAAACUGCUUCGGUAUCACCGAGUUUGAAAAUCGGUUGAUCCGAAAUGCUUUCUGUGGAAAACUAAAACUGAAUUUUUGAAUCAUUCUUUUGAAAAAAUCUCUGCAUUUUGUGAUGCUCAUCCAUUCUAUCUCAUCUAUAACUCUUCACAGGGUCAGCAGUCAGUAUUUUGCAGCAUGUCAGACCAGAGUGACAGCCAGAACAGGUCAGAAGAGCAGAUUGACAUGAGCAAGGGCACUAGUCCCUCAAGCUGUACAGAUGAUGGGAGCAGAAGCACUCCAAGCAACCUGCCCAAGGCUGCUACCAGGCAAAGGAGGAAGAGAACAUCAGACUCAGAGGAUGAGGACUACAAAGCAGAAGAAGAUGAGGCUACUUCCAAGAAAGUAGUGCUCAAGAAGGAAUAUGGCUCUGCACAUAGCACAAAGCCUGGUCUAAAAAAGAAAGUUCCUGCCAAGAGGACACCAAUGCCCAAGGCCAAAAAGUCCACUCAAGUGCCAUCUCAGACAGAACCCAAAGAGGCACCUGCAAAGAAAGUCACAUCAUCCAAACCUCAGAAAGUUCCCACUGGAGAGACAAUGAAGUUUACCCUUGAAUCAGAGAAUGAAGGUGCUCAGGACAAGAAGAAGAAGAGAGCAAGAACCACAACUGCCUAGGUUCUUGGAAAGCCCUCAAUGAGAAGAGAUUCUGAAGAAGAGGAAGAGGUUGCUGCUCCAGCACCUAAGGCACCCAAGCUUAUGGGUGAUGCUAUAAGGUCAGGGGCUGCAACAUCCAAGCCCAAGGAAGCACCCAAAGCUGCCUCCCAGGCCAAGCAAGUACCAAAGAGGAAUACUAGGAGUAUUCCAGCUGGUGAGAAAACAAGGCCCCAGUGCCAAAUGUUGCUAAAGAAGAAGAUGAAGAAGGUCAAGUCCUAAGGAAGCUCAAGCCCAAGAUACCAGACCAUAAUGAUGCCCAUCCUGUGGUUGAGGACAUGAGAAUCAGGAAGGAUUCAGGGUUGAGGCUCUGGAGGAUGGAAGAUCCAUAUGCAUCAAGGAGAAGAACUGUUGUAGACUACAGGUUCCAUACAAAGGAACAGCAGGACUUCUAUGAGACAAUUCUGUUGGAUAAGAAGCGUAUAGUUUGUGACAUGAGGUGGGUCGACUGGACCUACAUCAAGGACAAUGAAGAGCACUAUCCUGGAGUGCAAGAUAGCUCUGUUGCUUGUGGAGUUGCUGAUUUUGUUGGUCAAAAGUUCACUCACUGGAAUGAUGAACUUAUCAUGCAAUUCUACUCCACAGCACACUUUUAUCCAGAUGGAAGAAUUGUUUGGAUGUCUGAAGGUACAAGGUACCAAUCCACUGUUGAAGAAUGGGCAAGACUGAUAAAUGCCCCAAAGGAAAAUGAGGAUGACCUGGAUAUCUAUGCAAAGAAGAAUAUGGAUCACAAUUCCAUGGCUCACAUGUACAAGGAAAUCCCAGACAAGGCAGUAGAGACACACAAGUUUGGAUCAGUCCAUUUUCUGCUGUCAGGGCUGCCUACAAUCAAUUGGAUUCUGAGGCAUACUUUGUUGCCUAAGUCUAGUGACCAUAACAUGAUCAGAGGGCAUGCCAUCAACAUGUUGCAUGUGUUUGAUGUGCCACAAAAGUUCAAAGUCAUGAGCCUUAUGAUUGAAACCAUUAAGAGGACUGCAACAGAUCAGAAGAGGAGCUACGGAUAUGCCCCUCAGAUUCAGGAAUUGAUCAACUCAAAGAUGGGCACAGGGAAAUGUCAAUUGGAUAAGGAACACUUUCCACUUUAUCCAAACUUUGAGGACAAUGAGGUUGUCAUGAAUGAAAAUGAUCCAACAUCAGUUCAAGCUCAAGAGAAGAAGGAGAAGGCAAAGAAGGAGAAGGCUGCCAGGAUGCCAACUCAAGAGGAGGCAUCUGAAUAUUUCUUGAAGAAUAAGCAGGAGCAGCUUGGUUACUUGAUAGCAUCUACACUAAGGAUUGAGAAGGGACUGGCCACCCUCACUCAGAAUCAGGAGAGCUUGGAGAGAAUCAUGGAACUCAAAUUCCAUGACCUUGAUGUCAAAGUAACUGAGAUACAGUCAGUUGUGGAGCAGCUGCAGGAUGAUAUGCAGGAGAGGUAGGGCAAGACUACCACUAAUGUGUUUGCCAGAGUGCCCAAAGCCCAGAGGUCAGUUGUAGUGCCAGUGACAGACACUAGAGCAACAACUUCAGCACCAGCUACAGCCCCUUCAGCUCCAGUGCAACCAGCUCCAGCAUCCACUCCAGCACCCUCUACUUCAACUGAAGCCUUCGUUCUUGGAGUUAUCCGGACACCACCACCUGAAGAUCAAGCCUGAGAGUCGAUCUAGCACUAUGCAUUUUCUAUGAACUUUUUGGUAACUUGUUGCCAAAGGGGGAGAAAAAUGUAUAGAUCAUAGGCUUCGAGAGAGAGUGUGUUUCUAUUGUUCUCUCUUGCUUUAUUUGGUGGUUAAACUUGUUUGUUUUUGAUUGCUUGUGAUACUAUGCUUGUGAGACAUUGAUGAUCAUGUGUUUGAUUAUAAGCUACACUUAUGCAUGUUUGAUGAUAUUAUCCUAUCUAUCCUAUGUGAUCAUUCACUUUGCUUGGUGAUGAGUGCAUGUAUUCAAUGUUUAUUAUUUUGAGCGCACCACCAAGAUGUAUGUGACAUGGAAGAGUAACCCAUGAGCCUAAUUCAUUGUGCAUUUGCAGUCCAAAGCAAAUCUUAAACUAUGCACAAAUUUAGGGGGAGCUCUUGCUUAUCACAUACUUCUCAAAGCGACGAUGUUAUUCAAUCUUAUUAUCAUUUGUCAAAGCUUUGAUCUAUAUGUUGUCAUAUAUUACCAAAAAGGGGGAGAUUGAAAGUGCAACUAUCCCUAGGUGGUUUUGGUAAUUCAUAAGAACAUAUAGCUCACUGAGCUAAUGCUAUUCCAAGACUAUUAUUUCAGGAAAGCUCAAUGAAUGGCAUGGCAUGGAUGAUGAAAGUGGAUCCCUCAAAAUACUAAGGACAAAGGAUUGGCUCAAGCUCAAAAGCUCAAGACUCUUCAUUUUAUAUUUUAGUGAUCCAAGAUCACAUUGAGUCUAUAGGAAAAGCCAAUACUAUCAAGGAGGGAUGAGGUGUUGCUUAAUGAGCCUCUUGCUUCAUGUGCUUUGUGAUAUGCUCCAAAACCCUCAGCUACUUUCCCACAUCCACAAAUGACCUAAACCCAAAGCCAAAAUCGGUCACACCGAUUCUUCCUAUCCGGCGCCACCAAUUCCAAAAGUCAUAGCCACUGCCACAAACCCUAAGCAAAUCGGUCUUACCGAUAGGGAUCUCGGUCUCACCGAGAUGGGGUUGUAAUCUCUCUGUUUCCCUUCGUAACGUUUCGGUCUAACCAAAGUGACCGAUCGGUCCCACCGAGACUGCAAUGUAAACUCUCUGUUUCCCUUUUGUAACAUUUUGGUCUCACCGAAAAGAGCAAAUCGGUCCCACCGAGUUUACCUGACCAACUCUCUGGAAAGCUUAUUACCAAAUCGGUCUCACCGAGUUUGUGUAAUCGGUCUUACUGAGAUUACGUUAUGCCCUAACCCUAACCGAAUCGGUCUCACCUAGAUGCAUGUCAGUCCCACCGAAAAUCACUAACGGUCACUAGGUUUACUAAAUCGGUCCGACCGAGUCGGUUGAAUCGGUCCCACCGAGUUUGGUAAAUUGUGUGUAACGGUUAGAUUUUGUGUGGAGGCUAUAUAUACCCCUCCACCUCCUCCUCAUUCGUGGAGAGCCAUCAGAACAAACCUACACUUCCAACUUACCAUUUCUGAGAGAGAACCACCUACUCAUGUGUUGAGGCCAAGAUAUUCCAUUCCUACCAUAUGAAUCUUGAUCUCUAGCCUUCCCCAAGUUGCUUUCCACUCAAAUCUUCUUUCCACCAGAUCCAAAACCUAUGAGAGAGAGUUGAGUGUUGGGGAGACUAUCAUUUGAAGCACAAGAGCAAGGAGUUCAUCAUCAACGCACCAUUUGUUACUUAUUGGAGAGUGGUGUCUCCUAGAUUGGCUAGGUGUCACUUGGGAGCCUCCGACAAGAUUGUGGAGUUGAACCAAGGAGUUUGUAAGGGCAAGGAGAUCAGCCUACUUCGUGAAGAUCUACCGCUAGUGAGGCAAGUCCUUCGUGGGCGAUGGCCAUGGUGGGAUAGACAAGGUUGCUUCUUCGUGGACCCUUCGUGGGUGGAGCCCUCCGUGGACUCGCGCAACCGUUACCCUUCGUGGGUUGAAGUCUCCAUCAACGUGGAUGUACGAUAGCACCACCUAUCGGAACCACGCCAAAAACAUCUGUGUCUCCAAUUGCGUUUGAAUCCUCCAAACCCUUCCCUUUACUUUCUUGCAAGUUGCAUGCUUUAAUUUCCGCUGCCUAUAUACUCUUUGCAAGCUUGCUUGAAUAGUGUGAUGAUUGCUUGACUUGUCCUAAAGUAGCUAAAAUCUGCCAAACUCUAAAAUUGGGAAAAGGUUAAGUUUUUAUUGGUCAAGUAGUCUAAUCACCCCCCCCCCUCUAGACAUACUUCAAGGUCCUACAGAGGCUCCCAAGUGACACCUAGCCAAUCUAGGAGACACCACUCUCCAAGAAGUAACAAAUGGUGCGAUGAUGAUGAACUCCUUGCUCUUGUGCUUCAAAUGAUAGUCUCCCCAACACUCAACUCUCUCUCAUAGGAUUUGGAUCUGGUGGAAACAAGAUUUGAGUGGAAAGCAACUUGGGGAAGGCUAGAGAUCAAGAUUCAUAUGGUAGGAAUGAAAUAUCUUGGCCUCAACACAUGAGUAGGUAGUUCUCUCUCAGAAAUGGUAAGUUGGAAGUGUAGGUUUGUUCUGAUGGCUCUCUCCACGAAUGAAGAGGAGGUGGAGGGGUAUAUAUAUAUAGCCUCCACACAAAAUCUAACCGUUACACACAAUUUACCAAACUCGGUGGGACCGAAUCAACAAACUCGGUCGGACCGAUUUAGUAAAUCUAGUGACCGUUAGGGUUUUCGGUGCGACAUGCAACUCGGUAGGACCGAUAUGGUUAGGGUUUAGGGCAUAACGUAAUCUCGAUGAGACCGAUUACACAAACUCGGUGAGACCGAUUUCGGUAAUUAGCUAACCAGAGAGUUGGUCAGGUAAACUCAGUGGGACCGAUUUGCUCUGUUCGGUGAGACCGAAAUGUUACAAAAAGGAAACAGAGAGUUUACAUUGCAAUCUCGGUGGGACCGAUCGCUCACUUCGGCUAGACCGAAACAUUAAGAAGGGAAACAGAGAGAUUACAAUCCCAUCUCGGUGAGACCGAGAUCCCUAUCGGUGAGACCGAUUUGCCUAGUGUUUGUGGCAGUGGCUAUGACAUUUGAACUCGGUGGCGCCGGAUAGAAAGAAUAGGUGGGACCGAUUUUGACUUUGAGUUUAGCUCAUAUGUGGAUGUGAGAAAGUAGUUGAGGGUUUUUGGAGCAUAUCACUAAGCACUUGAAGCAAGAGGCUCAUUAAGCAACACCUCGUCCCUCCUUGAUAGUAUUGGCUUUUCCUAUAGACUCAAUGUGAUCUUGGAUCACUAAAAUGUAAAAUGUAGAGUCUUGAACUUUUGAGCUUGAGCCAAUCCUUUGUUCUUAAUAUUUCGAGGGAUCCACUUUCAUCAGCCAUGUCAUGCCAUUCAUUGAGAUUUCCUGAAAUAUUUGUCUUGGAAUAGCAUUAGCUCAAUGAGCUAUAUGUUGUUAUGAAUUACCAAAACCACCUAGGGAUAGUUGCACUUUCACCCGCUGCCCCAUGGUGUUGUUUGGUUGUUAUUUUUCUGUAUACUAGGGGUAACAUGGUCAUUCAAUAACCUCUAGGGAGGGACUAGGAACUUUUUAGUCCCUGAAAACAAACAGGGAGGGACUUUUUAAGGAGUAGGACUUUUUAGUUGGGACUAGAAAAAGUCCUAGGACUUAUGAACCAAACACCUCAAUAUGGACUACAUAUGGAGCAAAAUGAGUGAAUCUACACUCUAAAAUACGUCUAUAUACAUCAGUGUUUGGAGUAUGUACUAGUAGUUCAUAUUGAAAUCUACUAAAGGACAUAUAUAUUCCAAACAAUAAGAUAAUCUCUCUAACCAAGGUAGUAGGGACGAGGAGUAAAUGAAGGGAGUAGUAAAAUUUUCUCCUCGUCCUGCGAGCCACCGUGCACGUGGGCGAGGGAGCGUGCGUAAGGCAUACAGUACUAAGCAAGCUUCACCUCAUCCUGCGAGCCACCGCUCUCAUGGGCGGGGGAGACGGCGUACUAAGCAAGCUUCUCCUCGUUUUGCGAGUUCACAAGACACAUCAAAAGUACUCCAGUGUAUAGAGCCUUGCCUCUAAGGUAGGCCCCACAUGGUUUGCCUCUUUUUUAACAUAACGCAUCAAGUCGCAAUUUGUUUGUUCACCCGUGGUAGACGAUCCUCCCUCCACCAAGUGGACAACCAUUACACGUGCCAAAUUACCAUAUGGGCUGCCUUUUCGUACAGAAAUGACCUCCAUCGUGUACCCACGUGGGUGUGGUUGGGAAAGAGACGGGAGUACGUGCAUCGUGCAUGCACCUCUUCUCUUCAUGCACAUCCCCCACCUACGUGGGUGUGUGUGAGAGAUACAAACCACAUUCAUGAGUGUUUUUUGUUUGGGGGGUGGGGUUGAUUUUGUGAAUGUAUUUGUGGGAAUAUGUGUCGAUGACAUUUCAAACAAAAUUUUGCAUGCAAUGUGUGUGAAAUGGAGGCCUAUCCAUAUCAUAUAUAGAGGGUCGGGCGAUCCACGAGAAGAGAGGGAGGGGUCAUAGAUAUCAAUAGAGUCAAAGAGAGGAUCAAGUGGGUGGGUGCGAGAUCGAUGAAGAGAGCCAUAGAAAUUGUGUGUGUGUGUGCAAGUCGAAGAUAUAGGGCGAAUGACCUACCGGAACAUCAGAGGGCACAGGUCAAGUUUGUGUGUGGCAGGGAGACAUGACUAGAGCGCUCGAUGUAUCGGUGUGUGUGGGGGGGAGGGGGUGGGGGAGGGGGAGGCAGAGGCCUAACUAUAGAGGUAGAACGACUCGUAUAUGUGUUGAGAAGGAGAGACCCAGCUAUGUCUUGAGAGAGAUCGGUCGACAUCCAUACAUAACUGAAGGACAGGAAAUAGGAUGGGACAGAGAGAGAAAGAGAGAGAGAGAUAGAGAGAGAGAGAGGGAGGGAGAGGGGUAGAGUGCUGGAUGGGUGAUGGAGUUCCUUCUUGAAGAUGGUGGGAGAGGCCUACUAGAAAAACUGAGGGUGGAACUGCAAUAUUAUCAAUAAGCAUGGGGAUGUGUUUCUAUGUGUGCCUAUGUGUGAUAGAUCUGUCGGGACACGUCCAUGGAUGAUGAAGGGGAACCAUGUGUUUGGUAAGCCAACCUAACUAGAUCGGUAGAUCAAUUGUUGUUUGUCGGAGGAAGGGAGAGACAUAAAUAAUGAGGUAGAUCGAUCGACGUGUGGGGAAAACGAGUUAUAAGGACCUAGCUAGCUAUAUGUAUAGCGGGAGAUCGGUUGGCGUACGUCCAUUUGUUAGAGGCAAAUAAGGCCCAGCAAGACGGAUAGACAGAGAGAAUGGAGCUAGGAGGUGGUGCGAGAGGCCCAACUACUAGCUAGAUAGGUGGAGGAGUGUGCGGUUGUGAGAUCGAUGAAAAGAGGGGCGAGAGUUUACACGUGUGUGGGACCGUAUGAGAGACACGAGGCAAGGACACAUAAAGGAGGAGAUUGAAGGUGCAUGUGUCUGUUGUAGGCAGACAUCACUGGAGAGGUUUAUCGAUCGGUGUGUAUCGGAAAGGAGUUGUGGAGACUCUGAGAGAACGACCUAAAGAAAAAAAUGAAUGUGCGCGAUGGAUAGAAUGCUGAGGGAGGGGGAGGGCGAGGAGGGCGUGUGCAUGCACGAGAGAAAGUUAGUGGUAGCUACAAAGGUUAGAGGAUUGUGUGGGUGUAAGAGACUAACAAAGAUCAUAAUUUGAUAUGAAAGUGGAUUCAUAUAUUUGAAUAGGAGAUCAUAGUGUUUUAAACAUAUGCAUGCAUGAAUAUAGCGGUGAUACGCGUGCUGUGGUUUUGCACAUGUUAUACCAUAAUGUGAUAAUGCAUGGCAUUUGCAACUCACAGCUAAAUGUCGAACAAUCUAAACCAUACUAUACAUCGAACAACCUCACAUUUUAUUUGAAUUUGUGAUAAUGUGUGGUGUUUGCAGCUUACAACUAAAUAUCGAACAAUCUAAACAAUACUAUAUAUCGAACAUUCUCACAUUUUAUUUGAAUUUGUGGUAAUGUGUGGUGUUUGUAACUCACAUCUAAAUACUUGUAGGCGUAGGGGGUGGGGCACCAUACAUAAUGUGAUAAGCACAUUAUACAUAUGAGACAUGGUUUAGAUUAUGAAGAUCUAGCUAGAGCUAGAAAUGUAAUGUGAUUUGAAAUCAACAUAAAGUGGAUUCAAAAAAUCAAGUUCGAGUUCAUAUCGUACACAUAGUUCAUAUGUAACUCGAGACUAAUCAUGUGGUGUGCUGUGAAGAUAAUACACAAACGAUUGUUUAACUUGAUAAUAAUGAUGACUGUAGAUCUUAUUAAAACAAAGAAUCGAAUUCAAAUGCUUUGACUUCACAAAAAUCAUUACUGUAGAUCUUAUUCAAAUUGAGAAACAAAUUCAAAUUUAGUUCAUAUUGAAGCGGUAGUAUAUAUGUUUGGAAUGACUAAAACGUUGAUUUGAGUAGUAGGUUGCAUGCAUUAUACACGUAGCGAAAUAUUUUAAUUGAACAUAACAUGAAUUCAAAGUUUUGAAUGACAUUUGUAGUGCGAAUUGAUUUGGUACAGUACACGUUAGGCUUGUCCGGAAAUUUCAACGCAUGCCUUGUUAGCCUGAAAUAUUUAAGAUAUAUCUUUGUCUCGUUGUGCUCCGACAACACCCUCAAUCUCAACCUGUGCCUUGCUAUUCCAAAACUACAACGCGCGCGAAAACUCCCACCUCCUGUGAAAUCCCGACACGUGAAAUGCCCGUGAUACCCCUGAACCGAAACAACCGCCUCAAAUCGAUGGGGGUACUUUCAUAACUUACCCCACAUUUCGGACAAGCGCGUCCCUAAGCCAUGGUUCCCCACUCCCAUCCCAUCCGCCCACCCAUUCGUACACCGAGACAGGGAAAAGCCGCGAAGCCCCACACCCUCCUCCGCCCGCCACCCAGCCGGAGCCUCUUCCCCGAUGACAUCGUCCACAGCAACACCUCGACGUCCCUCAUCCACCAUACUAGAUGAGGAUCCGUCGUCGAUCUAGUCGUCCCGCCGGUUCAGCCACCCCGUCCUCCACCUCCAAGGAGCUGUCCCGACGUUCCCCUCGUCUUUCGCGCCACCUCCAUUCCCACACCGCCGUCUUCACCUGCACUAUCGAAAGAGCAUCAUAAUCAUCAUUUCCUCGGAUGAAGUUGUGGCCUAAUCGGCGCCACCAAAGAGGUUGUACACUAAUCGCCGCAUUUUCUUCUUGAUUCGGUCUGACAGUGUUGUCGGCGCUCGGUCCCGAGCCGACAUGGUGCAGCUCCAUCCACGGCGGUGUCGCCGGCCACUUCCUCACGGCGGUGCUGCCUCGGCGGCGACGUCCACGUCAGUAGGAGGUGCUGUUGCUUUAGCUCUCGCUCACGCUACUGCUCUGCUCUUGUUCUCAGUCCCCUACCUGGUCUGCUCUUGCUACUGCUCUUGCUCGUGUUGCUGCUCUCGCUCUUGCUCUUGCUUGCGAUGCUGCUCUGAUUUAGCUACACUUUAGUUGACUGAAUCAACUUUUGGGUCAGUUGAUUUUCAGGGGUGGGGGGGGCUCACCGGAGUUAAGGAAGAACCAGCCGCAGCGGGGAGGGGGGCUCGCUGGAGAGGUACCCCACUAUCUAUCUUAGGGUUCAAGGUGGGGGCGAUGGUCGCUGGCGGUGGUGGGGCGGUGGCGUGGGGAUUGUCGGAGAAAAAGCUCGGCACGGGGAGCCCUAGAGGGAUGGCCGGGGCAGUGGCGGACCGGCGGUGGGGAGUAUUUUCGGGGCUGGUGGAGCGGCACACCGCCGGCCGCAGGCGGUGGGGUGCGGCUGUUUGGUCGAUGGGGGCUGGCGGCUCAGGGGGGUGGAGGUUGAAGAUGAACUGCAGGCCCUUGAUUUCGUAUCCAAUGGCUGCAAAAUCGACUGACCAGAGAUGAAAAAGUCAGUCGACUGACGGGUAUCCUCACCUUGCUAGUGCGUUCAGUUUCGACAGCAAAAUUCAGUUUCGACGGUUAAGUUUAGUUUUGACAGUUAAAUUCAGUUUCGACAGUUAAGUUCAGAGAUGAGCGGCAGAUGUAUUUUAUAUCUAGCACUUUGUGGUUAUGUAUUUUACGUCAUCUAUUGGAGAUGCAAUUAGAAUUCCACUCAGGUUAACGUUGUCUCUCUUGUCCUGGUUCAGCCUCGGCGUCGUACCACUCACCAGAGCUGCUCCAAUGACGAAACCCUCCGUCACAGCAGAGCAGUACCUCGGGCUCCAUCUCCAGACGCCUAAGAUUUUCCCCUCCUCUGACAGCCAAGUCAGCCGGAGCAUCGUCAUCGGCCAACCCAAUCAUGCUGAGAUCGACAUGGCUUCGCCAAAGAGGUUGUACACGUGUUGCAUCUCUUUUUUACUCUACAUGUUAUAUAAAUUGUCCACUGAGCACACAUAGUAAUGGGAAAUACGAUUAUUUUAUCCUACUAUAUGACAAGCAGUGAGGUACCAGGCAACUUGGCUAUCCGUGAUGGACACUCUUGAACACCAUCAUUAUUUAUCUCUACGCGUUCUGUGCAUUUGUCGAUGGCCCUGGGAGUUGAGCAAGUAGGGCAGUGGCCUGGGUCCAAAGUAAUAGAAGUAGCACAAAAACAUUUUUUUAGUGUAGGCUUUUCCUUGCUCAAGCCUGCCUACUAGAAUCUCCAGUGCUUGAAAGGAAAAGUGAAUGAAAAACAUAGGAAUUGGAAAGUUUCCUAUGGUACUACUAUUCAUGAAUUUGGUUCAAAGCAAUGGAGCAAAGGAAAACUGUGGGAUUUGUUCCUUUAGUGUCUCCUUGAAAUAAAAAAUGUAGGAAUUUUAAUUUUCACUUGUCCUCCUUUUCAAAUUCCUAUUCAUGAAGCACAAGACUAAGAGAUAGUAGCAUAAUAGCAUUAUAACCGUACAUUUUCUUGUGGUUUGACUUAAUCUACCAUGCUUCUUUGCAUCAUGUGAUCUUCCAAUUCUUGUGAAUCAAACACCCAGAUUGGAAGAAAUCCCAUGUUUUUAAAUUCUCUGUUUUGCACGUGCAUUCCUAUGCUAGUCCUGUCUAUUUCCUAUCCCUGCAUUGUUGGAAUCCUCCAUCCAAACGAGCCCUUACAGAAUUACUUCUCUUAUAGAUAGUUGUCAAAGAAAACCUUGCGUGGUUUGUCCCGCUCCUGAUGCGCCGUUGUCCACCCCAGCUCAGCUGCUCCAACGACAGAAGGGUCCAGCACAGCAGGGAUCCGGCCUCCAGACUGUCUUUCGCCGCCUCAGAUCUUCUUCCCCGCUGCCGACAGCCAUGAAAACUGCAUUACCAUCAUCAACCGAGUAGAUGACCUCAAGGACUACACGGGGUCCGCAAGAGAGGUCGCACUCUUUCGUGUCUGCUUAUGUUAUGCAUCACUUAAUAUUACAUGCUACUUUAUCGUCCUGUUCAUAAACUCUGAGUCAGCUCCAAACUAAUGGUCAAACUUGAGUUUUUAAAUGGUUGUGGGGUACAUAUCGGGGCCGCAAUCAAUAGUAUCUAUCUACUAUCUGGUUAAUCUCCGGUGUCUACUAUGAGUUUCAUGUUGGGUGGGAAACAAACAGUAAAGAAGCCAUUAUCUGUAUUUUUUAACUGAAGCCAUUAUCUGCCUGCUAUUAUUGGUUUUGGGUCUAUCCACAGGUUGCUACCAUCACUCUGGAUUUCUGCAUGCACUCCUUACAUAAUCUCACUAUGUUUUAUUCCUAUGCAUGAUAGUUAUUGUAAACAAUGGAACUGAACAUGUAGAGCAAAAGAGACGAGCCUUGUUUGGCAAUAAAAUGUCAUGCAGACGUCACUCCAUGGUAGGCGCAAAGGUAGCCCUCCCUCCACCCAUUUCGGAUUGUAAUCGAGAGGAAGAUAUUUGUUCUGAGGAGGAUUCAGAAGGAGAAGACCACUCCUAUUUACCCCCUGAGGUCUUUGCUCUAACUUGGCAUGUUGAUGUUGGUUAUAUCAUGCAUAUGGUGCCUUCCAUUGCUUACUUUAUACAUCAAAUAUGUCAUCUGCUUAGUUUAUACAUCCUUUGUGCGAAUGCCAUCUGUUUAGUUUAUUCCUCGUUUAUGUGAAUUAUGCAACGCCAUCUUGUUUAGCCAGGCAUCAUAUAUGUGAAUUUUGCAAUGACAUCCUGCUUAGCCAGUCAUCUUAUAUGUAAAUUAUAUCAGGCCAUCUUUUUUUCAUUACAUAUUACAUUUGUCAACAAUGUUAGUACAUUCAACUGUUCUUCGUGUGCAUCAGCCAUUUGACAAGGUGAAGGAAAAUUCUGGAGUGAAAACAAGGUCAUCAGAGCAGACUAUGCUAUCUGAUGAAGCGCAUAUCUCGUUGGUUACGGAUAGCUCCUCAGAGGAGGAUUUAGAGACAGAUGACCAGUCCUAUCCCCCCCCCCCCGAGGUGUAUGCUCUAACUUGGCAGGGUUAUGUUGCUCAUAUCGUGCGUAUGGUGUCUUGCAUUGCUAUCUCAUUUGAUUAGUUUAGACAUGCUUUUGUGUGAAUGCCACAUGUUCAGUGUCUAAUUACCAUAUAUGUGAAUUAUGCAUUGCCAUCUUGUUGCAAGUCAUUGUAUAUGUGAAUUAUGCAAUGCUAUCUUGUUACAAAGGCAUUAUAUAUGUGAAUUAUGCAAUGCCAUGUUGUUUAGCCAAUCAUCAUGUGUGUGAAUUAUAUCAUGCUAUCAUUUUUUUGUAUUACGUGUUCCAUUUGUCGACAACGUUUGUAUAUUCAACUACUCUUCCUGUGCAUCAGCCAUUUGAAGUGGUGAUGGAAGUAUCUGGAGUGAAAACAAGGUAUUCAGAGCAGACAAUGCUACCUGCUGAAGCAAACAUCUUGCUGGUUACAAAGAGCUCCUCAGAGGAGAAUUCAGAGACUAAUGACCAGUCCUAUUUCCCCCCUGAGGUCUAUGCUCAAACUUGGCAGGGUUAUAUUACCCAUGUCAUGCAUGUUGUCCUGCAUUGCUUAGUUUUUACAUCAUAUAUGGAUUGGCAUCUGUUACUUGCUUACUAUAUAAAUCAUAUAUGUGAAUUAUAUCAUGCCAUCAUGUUUACAUAGUACAUACACAUCAUCUAUCCGAAUUAUGGCAUGGCAACCCAUUUAAUAAAGACAUCAUAUAGUUAUAUCAUCUCAUCCUGUUUAGUGUUUACAAUCAUCAUAUUUUGAAUUAUGGCAUUCUAUCCGUGAAUGUAUGUGAAUUAUGGCAUGCCAACCUAUUUAAUAAACACAUUAUAUAGUUAUAUCAUGUCAUCCUAUUUACAUAGUCAUCAUAUUUUGAACUAUGUCUUUCCAUCUUUUUUAGUUAGCCAUCAUAAUGUGAAAUUGUGUCAUGCUAUCCUAUUUAGUUAGCCAUCAUAUAUGUGAAAUUGUGUCAUGCUAUCCUGUUUGGUUAGACAACAUAAAUGUGAAUUAUUUCAUGCCCUCUUUUAUUCCCCACUAUCCAUUGCACCUGUCUACCAUACAAUGUCUGUACUUUCAAUUACUUUUCUUGUUUAUCAGCCAUUUGAAUUGGAGAGGGUGAUGGCAGUAUCUAAGGGAGUAACAACACGGUCUUCAAAAAAGAUAGUGCUACCAGUUGAUGCAGAUAGAACCACAGUUGUACUUGCCCAAGGACCAGAUCCACCACACAUAACCCAGACUCUCGCAGAUUGUACCCCUACCCAGUUGGACAGAGAACCAACUACACCCCUUCUAACACCAACCCCGGCAGAUAGUAACCCAGUUCCAGUUGACACAACACCGUCUCCAGCACAGAGCACCCAAACACGAGCAGUUAGUAAGGGAACUGCAGUGCCCAAAGCACGCGGACCACCACUCCAAAUCCCAACUCAACGCUUAAAGGAUAAGAAGAUUUGUUCUCAGGUCAGGUUCUGUAGCUAUGAUUCAUACUCCUUUGCUCUUGCAUUACUGUAUUUACUCAUACCAACUAUUUCCAAAUUUGAAGGAUGGAAUUGAAACUCCAAUGGCGCAACAGGUAUGUUUUAAACCUGUUUCUUUAACUGGUUUGCUGUUGUAACCUGCUCUAUGUUGAUUUCAGUUUCAAUUGAAUAAACAGUUAUGUUCUCGUGUCAUGCACAUACAAGUGUUGUUAUUGCUCUAUAGUUUCCCACACUUAUAUUCUGCCUAUUCUGCUUUGUCUUGAACAAAUAUUAUUUGAACUAUGUCUCUAUCUUGAUUUGGCAACAAAAACUAGAAUGGUAUAGACCAUAGAGUGACCAUGGUACAUAGAUAUAUGUUUGUUUCAUGUUGUUAUCCUGUCCACUUUACUACUGAACUAAUUUACCAAAAUGCGUUUCAUAUACAACAUGGUAAACCUGUGAUGUGUCUGCUUGUUUCUCUUUCAGGAUGCGGACAAAAUAUUGGAGAACAGUACCCUGUUAUGCAAUGGUAAAGGAAGUAAUGCAGAUAAGGUUCAAGAUAGUGAGACAUCCUGUUGGUCUCCAAGAAAGCUGAUAAAAACUAUCUUGAUGACAGUGAGAGAACCCAAAAGUCAUGUCUUGAUGUAGUGUUCGAGUUACUGGCCACUACUAUUGGCACAAGCUCUUCGAACUUGCUGCCUGAUUCAGUUUGUCUUCUUGAGUCUCAACUUGAAGUUGAAAGACAUCGAUCAGAUGUGCUGCGACAGGAAGCUAAAGGACUGGGGAAGUCCCUGCAGAAUUCAGAUGCAUACUUCCUGGUGCAACGGCAAGCGCUGGAGGAUUUAAGCGCCAAACAAGAGAAAGUUAAUAAGCUUGCUAAGCAUCUUGCCAACAGUAUGGGUACCCAGGAUAUUGUUUCUUGAGAUCUUCUGAAGUGGCUUCAGUUUUGGAUUUGUUUUGCUGCAGCGUUUAUUUGCGCUGGUCGCCAACUUUGACAACCAGUAUAUAUGAUGUGCUGCUUUGUUCCCUAUAUUUGCACUUGUGGCGAACUUUGAUGCCCAGUGGAUGUAAUAUGUGUAAUAGCCAUGAUAGCCUAGCGUAAGUUGCUUGCUUAUUUAUUUCCUUGUUGUCUUGUUUAUUUGUUUGCUUGUAGUCGGUGCAAUUCUUUUCCUGCGGUUUGCUAGUGGCCGCAAUAACCUAUUUUUUAAAACUAGGCCACAAUAACCAUGGGCUAUAUAUUUACUGUAGUGACACUGGGCCUCCUACCGGCCGUAGAAACAAUGGGCCUUCUAUGGGCCGUAGACAAUGGGCCUUCUACGGGUCGUAUCAUCAAUGGGCCUUAUAUGGGUCGUAUGAUCGAUUGGCCAAACAUGUGACAAUAAUAGACCACAUUAUGGCCACAAAUAGGCUAGAGUUGGAAUCGUCCAUACAUGGGCCGACCAUAAUGGGCUGUCGUUAAUAGGCUGUAUUUGAUGACGCUAUGAAAACGGCCCAACGUAUUAACUGGCCACAAAUGGGCCAACUGUAACAACAGGCUGAAUUUGGCCCACAAGCAGAAAAUGACAGUAACGGGCCGUAAGUAACCGAAUGCUAGAAAUGAGCCCAAGAAUAAAUGGGCCCUGAGAAGGCCAAAAGAUAACAUGGGCUGGAAAUGGCCCAAUGGAAUAAUGGGAUGUUAAUGGGUAUAAAGUCAUACACUGUUCAUUACGGGCCAGUUUCACCACGGGCCGUUAAUGGGCCAAGAGUUAUAAAGGGCCUCAUAUGGGCCGAAAGACGUCAUGGGCCAUACAUGGGCCAGAAGUUAAAAUGGGCUGGAAUAAUAUUGGACGGCCCAUAUGAUGCUACUUGGCCUAAUUCGGAUAGGUCGUAACGGGCCCUGGGUUAGCGGGCUGUAAAAGGGCUAUAUGCGAACAGGCCGUUAACAUGCUUUCAGUGGGCCAGCCUGCCACCUUCUAACCAAGUCAAACGGGCCAGCCUUUUCACAGGAAUGGGCCUCUGUUGGGCCGUGCCACCUAUCGACGUAUCAUAGGCCCCUUCUGUCCAAUGAGUGGAUGACAUAUGUCCCGAUGGUGAGCCGACACGUGUUUCCUCCAGCCAAUGAUGAUUUUACACGUGGAAAAUCCCCAUUGGUCGGGGUUAACGGGUUAUCGGAUCCAAAACCCGACCCGAUAGCUUAAUGGCGUUCCGUUACGGUGGAUGCCACGUAUCGGUCACCCUUGAUGAAAGCACUUCUAUGACGCGUGAUUUAUCAUCAUGGAAGUGGACACUUCCGUGAUGAUAAUUUUGGUAAUGUCAUGGGACACUUCUACGACAGCACAGGUAUGACUAUCUUGAUUCUGUCAUAAAAUCGUCAUGGAUGUACAUGCAUGACAGAAAACGUGACCUACUGUGACAAACACGUAUCAUCACGGAAGUGUAUUUUUUUGUAGUGAUAUCAUGCACCAACUUACUCUGCUCGGGCUACCUCGUCACCACAUCAACUUACCAACAUCGGUAUCCACGAUACCAUGGUGAUCCUCUCACGAUCACAUAAAGAUCAACCAACUUCUUUCAUCAUCGAACCGGGGUUGUUAUUAAGCACAUCAUUAUUAUUAGUGUUGACCCAUAGUGUGACCGACUUUGAACUGGGCCCAUAUCUACGGGCGCGACUAUCGAUAGAUUCAACACACACUCUGCAGAGGUUAGCACACUGUACCCACACCACAGAACCCAUGGCCUCGCACUCCCAUUCGGGUGGACCAACGGUGUUCUGACAAAACCAAUCUACUGCCAUGACACUCUCCCGGCCACUCCGACCAACUCCCCUCUGGGAUAAGUCAUGGGUGGCCCCGUGCCUACCAAAGGCAUCAACAGCCACUGUCGUGGCAAAACAAAAACGGUCCCAAACGGGGACAACCCGGGUACACAACAACAACGGGCACACAAGGCUUAUGUCCGCCUACCUGAUCAGGGUAGCGCGCACCCAUAACCUUCCCUUGUUGGAUGCACCUGCGAGAGACAUGACAAUAAACCGUAUUAGGGCCCUUCCGAUAAAAGGCAAAUGUGGUUGCACUGGUCGGCUCGAUUCAAUGGCACCAUGACUCAGCCAACAGUUGUUCAAGUUCAUUAUUAUCCGGUUAAACUUAAAUGCAAUAAGCUGAGCCAAAAUAAAAUAACAAGAUGCAACUAUGAUGCAUGAGCAUGAUAUCAACUUAAGCAUAGAGGUGCAACAUAAUCAUCGAGCAUAAUCACAAUGAAUCAUAUAUCCGAAUGAGCAUGGCAUACUGACAAGCAUGAAUAACACAAGAAUAACUCUACCAUAAGCACAUCAUGACCACUAGCAUCAAGAAUAAAUACCAUGCAAGAACAUAUCAAAAACGCUACCAAGUGAACAUGUAACAAACUAGAUGCAACGGAACCAACAUAGCAAUAAGACUGAAUAGUAGACUAAGCAUGGAUCCGAAGAACAUUCCAACUACCAGCAUGUAUUACUACUACCAAGCAUGACUUACGAUCAUGUUGCUAGCAAGUAGCUCAAGAUAUCACGAUGCAUCAUAAAAUAGCAUGAAGGUGGACUCGAGUCCACGAGUAAAACCGAAACAACGACAGUAGUAGCAAACAAGCAUGCAGAUAACAGCAAACUUUUAUUAAAUAUUCAAGUUGGAAACCAAGGCUACUACAUGACUAUCAUGCAAGUGGUUGUUGUGGCUUGCCUGGGGGUGACGGAGACUCCGGGAAGAAGUGCGGUGAAGCCGCGGAACAAAACGUCGGAUGGUUCUCUCUCAGAGGGGGCUGAUAAGAGGCAAGGGCAAACUAGUCAUUUUCACUAUGGGACCACCUAGUGAAAAUGGAACCAACAGAAAUAGCUCGACAAUACAAAGAUGUGAGCGUUGGUUUCACCUAAUCGGUGCUAUGGUUGAAGAGUUGUGAAGUGAUGAAGAUCAGGGUCUAAUCUACGAAAAGAUCCUCACAAACAGGUCCCUGGCGGCAGAAAAUAGAAAGCGCCUUUGAGCAGAUUAUGUUUUCUGAAAAGGAAAACAUAUUUUCAGCCGAAAUGCAAAGUGAAUACGCUUUCAAAACUGAGAAAGCGCAUUUCAGAUAAAAGAGGAAAGAAAUACGCUUUCAUAUAUCAAAAACGCAUUUCAAGAAAACGUUUCUACUUACAGACGCGGGCCCGGGGCGGGGUCAACGCCGAGACACUGCUAGGUAGGGUCGGGGAAGGCGCGGGGCCCACCUAACCUCGUCUUCUUCCUCCUCUCCCUGCCCCCAAUGUACACAUAGGAGGGAGCAGGGGAGGGUGCUGCCGGCGAUGGAGCGGGCCACUCCGGCGAUCUCCGGCCAAGUGGAGACCACCGGCGAGCUCGUGGGGGUCCGUCGCUUCCGUCCAGGCUUAGCACAGGCGCCGGAAGGCAGCGGGGCGACGAUGGAUCACGGGGACAGAGGAUGCGGCCGAGGCUGGUUGAGCUCGGGGACAACGGCCACCAGGGCUCCGGCGGCAGGAGAAGGGAGUGGGGAGGGUCUACGGGCUCCGGGGAGGCUACUGGUGGAGGAAUGGAGAGGAGAGGAGCUUGGGAUCCGGCUAAUUUAGCAGGCCAUGGCGGCAAUGGCGACCACAGAGAGCUCCUCGAGCUCGAGGGGUGGCUAGGCGGGGCUCUAGGAGUGAGGGAGGACCGAUGGUGUGCUUGGAGUGCUCGGGGGCGGGUUGUAUAUAACCGAACGAGGAGAUCCAAGAUGCACGACCACGGUGACGCGUGUUUCGGUGUGCUGGCACGAACAGAGCCACGAGGAGGGAGGGGACUUGUGUAGGAGCUUCACGGAGACGCGAGAGACCUCGGGUGAGCUCGAGAAGGCUCGGGACGACGCAGGCAACCGGACACGGUGGCGGCAGAGACGGGCAUGUCAUGGGCGAGCUCGAUGUGACGCAACCACAGCGAGUCCGGAUGGGGCAGUGAUGCAGGGUGAAGAAGGGGAUCACGGGGGAGCUAGAGGACAUGACGCGGACGCGAGAGGCAGAGAGGAGUGGACGAGCACAACGCCGCGAUUGGCAGAGCGCGAAAUUUGGCCUGUCUACCCCAUGGUCACCGCGUGCACUAGUGCAAAAGGCGUAUUCUGGUCGAACCUACCUUGUCUAGUAAGAUGACCACGGUACCCUGAGUCCAAACGAAGCAACAAGUCAAUCCAGGGGCAAAGAAGUGAUUUGGAGGAGGAGCCAAAAGAUUGUGGCAGCAAGGUGUUUGUGCUGCAGGGAGACAAACACAGAAGGAGGAACAAGCUGGGCUUUGGCAUGGUGUGAUCACACACUAAGAUGAUCACCUCCGCCAAUUUUGCAGCUCAUUAGGAUGAAGAUAAAUUGUACUUGAUGUAGAAAGUGCCACUAUGGACAGAACUGGAGAUUUGGAUGAUGCACUCACAUAGUUGCAUUAAAUGAGCUGAAAAUGGUUAUGGUCCAAUGAUUUGAAGAUAUUAAGAUGCCCUAGGAGUUUCAUGACAUUUGGAUGAAUCAAAAUAGCACUUGCUUCACAAAGCUUUUCUCUGGACAGGAACUUGGAAAAAUUCCAUAGGGCAAAUGGCUAAAUGGAUUGAGCCACAAAUUGGUGGAGGAAGUUUAUACGGGUAAGAGAAUGUCCUGGUAAAUUGGCAGCUUAAAUGAAGCAAUAGAAGCUUCACAAACUGAAAAUCUGACCAGAAACUAAGAUUUGGAGUUGUUCUCAAAUAGAAAGGUUACAUGAGCUCAGUUUGGGUGGAGGGUGAUGAUUUGACCAAAUGAAGGAUGUGGCAAAAGUUCAUCUCAUUUGGACAUGCCUACAAUAUACUUCCUUCACAAAGUUUCUUCCUGGGCAGAAACUUUGUAAAAUCAUAGAAAAUUAAUUACUACGCAAAUGAGGUUGAACUUUGGCAUAGGGCAAUGAUAUGGAUAGGACAAGGUGUCCACGAAGUUGGGAGUCAAUUGGGCAAUGAUAAAUAGCACUUGCUUCACAAAGUGCCAUUUAGGGCAGAAUAGGAAAAGAAUUACUGGAGGAUUAUUUUUUAAUAUGGCAAUGAAAAGUUUUGCCAUAUUUGAUCAAGAUAUGACCCAAACAAUUUAUGAGAAUUACUUGGGAAUUUUAGGAGUGACAGAAAUAUGGGUUGCUUCACAACAUAGGGCAAAUAUGAUAAUUCCUUUAUCAAAAAAGGAAUAUUCCCAAUAAAAAGAAUAUUGGGAUUUGGGCUAGGAUGGAAAUGACAUGAUCUAGGGAUGGUUUAAACCUAGGAAGACAUGAUCUUCCCAAGUUUCAAAACCACACAGCCACAGAAAAGCAAAUUAAACUCAGAAAUCAAAGAAAAUCCUCAGAAAAAGAAAAGGGCAAAAUCCAGGUUGUUACAUCUAUUAUGAUCAUUGCAAAUUCUAUACCAAGCAUAUUUUAGAUUCUCCCCUCCCCUUUGUUUAAAAUUAAUAACCUCAUUCUCGGGGGUACACGCAGCAGACGAAGAACUAGCCAUAACAACAAGGCAAGCAAGAUUGCAAAUAAAAAAAGAUGUGACGAGAAAACGACGAACGAAAAAGAGGGUGAAUAAAACAGCAAUUUUUUGUGAAGUGGGGGAGAUGAAAAUGAGAGGCAAAUGGAAAUUAAUGUAAAUUGCAAGGAGAUGAGAUUGCUUAUUAGGAACCUGAUAGAUGUUGAUGAUGUCUCCCCGACAGCGGCACAAGAAAUUCCUUUUGAUGUCGCUUGAACUACGUCGAUAUUUCCCAAAAGAGGAAGGGGUGAUGCAACACAUCUAUGAUAGUAUGUCGCUCAGGUAUGAAACCAAGGUAUCAAUCUAGUGGGACAACCAAUAAACACUAUGUAAAUGGUACCUGCACACAAAGAACAAAUACUUGCAACCCGACACUUAUGAGGGGUUGUCAAUCCCUCUAUGUGUAACGGCGCCAGAAAUUGUCAAGUUAACGGGAUAAGAUUUGUGAUAGAUUGGAAAAUAGAUCUCAAUAAAACACGAAAUAAUAUAAGCAAUAAAAAAUGUAGUAGGGUACUUUUUGGUUUUUGGAAUAACAAAUCUGAAAACAAAAGCAAAUAAAAAUAGAUCUCAAAGCAAAUAUGAUAAAGAAUAGUCCCGGGGGCCGUAGAUUUCACUAGUGGCUUCUCUCAAGAAAUAGCACACGGUGGGUAAACAAAUUACUGUUGGGAAAUUGAUAGAAGAUCGAAUAAUUAUGACGAUAUCCAAGGCAAUACUCAAUAUAUAGGCAUCACGUCCAAGAUUAGUAGACCGACUCCUGCCUACAUCUACUACUAUUACUCCGCACAUCGACCGCUAUCCAACAUGCACCUAGUGUAUUAAGUUCAUGGAGAAAUGGAGUAAUGCAAUAAGAACGAUGACAUGAUGUAGACGAGAUCUAUUUAUGUAGGAAAUGCAUUACUCCCUUUCCACCUAAACCAACUAAGAAAAAAGAUGAUGAAGCAUUUGAACACUUUGUUGAAAUGCUUAAGCCAGUCUUUUUGCGUACCCGCUUGACGGAUAUUUUAGAGAUGGCUCCUUAUGCAAAAUAUAUGGAAGACAUAAUCACUAAUAUAAGAAAGAUACCUGAAGCUGAAAUCUCCACCAUUCUUGCUAAUUACUCUUUUAAGGAUGGAGUACCGAAAAAACUUGGAGAUCCAGGAAUACCAACUAUACCGUGCUCCAUCAAAAGAAAUUAUUUCAAAACUGCUUUGUGUGAUUUAGGAGCUGGUGUUAGUGUUAUGCCUUUCUCUUUAUAUAAGAAACUUGAUUUGAAUAAACUUACACCUACUAAAAUAUCUUUGCAAAUGGCUAAUAAAUCAACUGCCAUACCUAUCGGCAUUUGUGAGGAUGUGCCCGUUGUUGUUGCAAAUGUUACUAUCUUAACAGACUUUGUUAUACUUGAGAUGCCCGAGGACGACAACAUGUCGAUUAUCCUUGGUAGACCCUUUUUGAAUAAUGCAGGGGAUGUUAUUGAUUGCAAUAAAAGCAAGGUCAAUUUUCAUAUCAAUGGUAAUGAACAUAUGGUGCACUUCCCGAAGAAACAAUUCCAAGUGAACGGUAUUAAUGUUAUUGAAAAAUAUCCAACACUCACUAUUGGAAGUAUUCAACUACAUCUACCUACUGCCAAAAAGAAAUAUGAAAUACUUAUUGUUGGGGACAUGCCAAUAUUAUUCAACUUUCAUAUACUUUUGGCAACUUUUUAUACUAUAAUUUUUGGGACUAACAUAUUGAUCCAGUGCCCAAUGCCAGUUUCUGUUUGUUGCAUGUUUUAUGUUUUGCAGAAACCCAAUAUCAAACGAAGUCCAAGCGGGAUAAAAACGGACGAAGCUUAUUUUUAGAAUAUUUAUGAUUUUUUUGGAAGUAAAAUCAAUGCGAGACGGUGCCCGAGGUGGCCACGAUGGUGGCACGCACGCCCACUUUCACUGGGCGUGCCCCUGACCCUCGUGGGCCCCUCGUAAGGAGGUUGAUGACCUUCUUUGGCCGCAAGAAACCUAAUUUUUGGAAAAAUAUCUGGGCGAAGGUUUCAAUCCAAUCAGAGUUACGGAUCUCUGGAUAUAAAAGAAACGGUGCCAGGGCAGAAUCCGAGAACGCAAAAACAGAGAGAGAGAGAGAGAGAGAUCCAAUCUCGGAGGGGCUCUCACCCCUCCCACACCAUGGGAGCCAAGGACCAGAGAGGAAACCCUUCUUCCAUCUAGGGAGGAGGUCAAGGAAGAAGAAGAAGAAGGGGGGCUCUCACCCCCUUGCUUCCGGUGGUGCCAGAACGCUGCCGGGGCCAUCAUCAUCACCGCGAUCUUUUACCAACACCUCUGCCAUCUUCACCAACAUAUCCAUCACCUUCCCCCCAUCUAUAUCCAGCGGUCCACUCUCCCGCAACCCGUUGUACCCUCUACUUGAACAUGGUGCUUUAUGCUUCAUAUUAUUAUCCAAUGAUGUGUUUCCAUCCUAUGAUGUCUGAGUAGAUUUUCGUUGUCCUAUUGGUGAUUGAUGAAAUGCUAUGAUUGGUUUAAUUUGCUUGUGGUUAUGUUGUUGUCCUAUUGUCCCCUCUGUGUCGCGCAAGCGUGAGGGAUUCCUGUUGUAGGGUGUUGCAAUAGUUCAUGAUUCGCUUAUAGUGGGUUGCUUGAGUGACAGAAGCAUAAACCCGAGUAAGAGGGUUGUGGCGUAUGGGAUAAAGGGGACUUGAUGCUUUAAUGCUAUGGUUGGGUUUUACCUUAAUGAUAUUUAGUAGUUGCGUAUGCUUGCUAGAGUUCCAAUCAUAAGUGCAUAUGAUCCACGAAGAGAAAGUAUGUUAGCUUAUGCCUCUCCCACAUAAAACUUGCUAUCGGUCUACUAAGUAGUCAAUUGCUUAGGGACAAUUUCACAACUCCUACCACCACUUUUCCACACUCGCUAUAUUUACUUUAUUGCUUCUUUAUCUAAUCAUCCCCUAGUUUCUAUUUACGCGCUCUUUAUUAUCUUGCAAACCUAUCCAACAACACCUACAAAGUACUUCUAGUUUCAUACUUGCUCUAGGUAAAGCGAACACUAAGCGUGCGUAGAGUCGUAUCAGUGGCAGAUAGGACUUGAGAGAAUAUUUGUUCUACCUUUAGCUCCUCGUUGGGUUCGACACUCUUACUUAUUGAAAGAGGCUACAAUUAUCCCCUACACUUGUGGGUUAUCAAGACCUUUUUCUGGCGCCGUUGCCGGGGAGUCAUAGCGUGGGGUGAAUAUUCUCGUGUGUGCUUAUUUGCAUUAUCAUUAAGUAACUUUUAUUUGCUAUUCUAAGCUGUUCUCUAUCUUUAGCUAUGGAUAUGGAACACGAAAUGCCAAAAAAAUUAGGUGUACUUGCUACUCAUGGAGAUGGGGAACCUCCUAAAACCCUCGAUGCUCAUUAUGUGAAAGAAAUUAUGUACUACUUUGAUAAUCCCGAGAAAACCCCAUUCAAUUAUGUUAUGGGAGACACGUUGGAUCAACGUGAAUACUUUAGGGAUUAUCGCUUGACACAAAAAGGGAAACUACUAUGGGAUCAAAUUUAUAUGUUGAGUUGGUAUGCUAGGCAACUAUGCUUGAGAUAUGAUUAUACUUGUUGCUCUAGAAUGAAGGCUCCACACCUUCCCUUUUCAUGCAAAUUUAAUGAUGAUAAAACCUUGGCUUCUUAUGCUAAUGGUAUAUAUGAUUACUAUGAUGUGGAACAAAUAGAAGAAUUUGUUGCUUUUAUCGGUGCUUAUGAGAUUGAAUCUAUGUUUAAAGAGUUUGACGAUUUUGAUGAUUCAGUUUAUAGACCUGAAAAUUUUGCUAUACUUAAAUAUUGUUAUGAGAAUUAUGAAUACAAUUCCAAUAUUGAUGCAUUUAUUGAGAAAGUCUCCGCUGUCCAAGAAGACACUAAUAUUUUGCAGGAAGCUAUGGAAGAAGAAAUUGAUGAAACUAUGAGCUCAUUGGAUGAAAAAGAUGAUGAGGAGAGCGAAGAACAAAAGGGGGAAGAGCGGAUUAGCUACCCGUGCCCACCUUCUAAUGAGAGUAACUCUUCAACUCAUACAUUGUUUAAUUCCCCUUCAUGCUUAUCGAAGGAUAAUUGCUAUGAUGAUUGUUAUGAUCCCAUUGAUUCUCUUGAAAUAUCCCUUUUUGAUGAUGCUUGCUAUGCUUGUGGCCAAGAUGCCAAUAUGAAUUAUGCUUAUGGAGAUGAACUUGCUAUAGUUCCUUAUGUUAAACAUGAAAUUGUUGCUAUUGCACCCACGCAUGAUAGUCCUACUAUCUUUUUGAAUUCUCCAAACUACACUAUAUCGGAGAAGUUUGUGCUUAUUAAGGAUUAUAUUGAUGGGUUGCCUUUUGACAUUACACAUGAUGAUUUUGAUAGAUAUAAUAUGCAUGUGCUUGCUGCUCCUACUUGCAAUUAUUAUGAGAGAGGAACUAUAUCUCCACCUCUUUAUGUUUCCAAUAUGAUAAAAUUGCAAGAAAUUGUUUAUACUAUGCAUUGGCCUUUACUAUGUGUGCAUGAAUUGUUCUUUUAUGACAUGCCGAUGCAUAGGAAGAGAGUUAGACUUUGUUGUUUCUUGAUAUAUGUUACUUUGUGCUCACUACUAAAUUACAAAUCAUUGCUAAUUAAAAUUGGCUUUGAUAUACCUUGGGAUCCGGGUGGAUCCAUUACUUGAGCACUAUAUGCCUAGCUUAAUGGCUUUAAAGAAAGCGCUGCCAGGGAGACAACCCGGAAGUUUUAGAGAGUCAUUUAUUUCUGUUGAGUGCUUUUAUAUAGUCUAAAAACACAAAAAUAAAGAGGGGAACCCAAAACUUUUCAAAAAGGAAAGUGAAAGUGAGAAAGACAAGCAUUGUUGAAGUGGGAGAGCUCCUUGAACUUUUCAUGCUCACGGAAAUUUUUGAAUCUUAAUUACAUAAACUUUUCAUCAAUAAUAAUUAUUCCCUUGUACAAUUCCAUUGUAUUAUAAAAAUAAUGUGCCAAGGUUUGCCUUUAGGAUGUUUACAAUGCUUGUUGGUUUGUACGGUGCAGGACAGAAACUUUGGCUGUAGUGCGCGAUUUUACAAUUUUUGCCAGAAAGUCAAACGGUUCUGAUUCUUUUUGCAAUGUCUUGAUGUAGAAAUUGUUUAUUUUUACUAAUUUUGGUAGAAUUGCUGGGGUUCCAAAAGUAUGGUUAAUGUUCAGAUUGCUACAGACUGUUCUGUUUUUGACAGAUUCUGUUUUCGAUGCAUAGUUUACUUGUUUUGAUGAAACUAUCAAUUUCUAUAAGUGGAUUAAGACAUGGAAAAGGUAUAUUACAGUAGAAACAAUGCAAAAACAAAAUAUGAAUUGGUUUGCAACAGUACUUAGAGUAGUGAUUUGCUUUAUUAUACUAACGGAUCUUACCGAGUUUUCUGUUAAAGUUUUGUGUGGAUGAAGUGUUUGAUCGAGGAGGUCUCCAUAUGAGGAAAAGGAAGAGAGGAAAGAGCUCAAGCUUGGGGAUGCCCAAGGCACCCCAAGUAAAUAUUCAAGGAGACUCAAGUGUCUAAGCUUUGGGAUGCCCCGGAAGGCAUCCCCUCUUUCUUCAACAAGUAUCUCUAUGUUUUCGGAUUCGUUUCAUUCAUGCGAUAUGUGCAAGUCUUGGAGCGUCUUUUGCAUUUAGUUUUAACUUUUUCUUUUAUGCAUCAUGCUGGUAUGAGAUAGUCCUUGGUUGAUUUAUAGAAUGCUCAUUGCACCUCGCUUAAAUCUUUUGAGUAUGGCUUUAUAGAAUGCUUCAUGUGCUUCACUUAUAUCAUUUGAAGUUUGGAUUGCCUGUUUCUCUUCACAUAGAAAACCGCCAUUUGUAGAAUUCUCUUUUGCUUCACUUAUAUUUGUUAACGCAUGGGCAUAUCUAUUGUAGAAAGAAUUAAACUCUCUUGCUUCACUCAUAUCUAUUUACAAAGAUGACAAGAAUUGGUCAUUCACAUGGUUAGUCAUAAAAUCCUACAUAAAACUUGUAGGUCACUGAAUAUGAUAUGUUUGAUUCCUUGCAAUAGUUUUGCAAUAUAGAGAUGAUAAUAUGUGGGAGGUUCUAGUAGAUGGUUGUGUUUAGUAAGGAUAUUGGUGUUAAGGUUUGUGAUUCCCGUAGCAUGCACGUAUGGUGAAAGUUGUAUGACAAAUUUGUUGCAUGGGGUGCUCUUUUAAUUGUCUUCCUUAUGUGUGGAGGUCAGGAUCGCGUGAUGGUUAACUCCUACCAACCCUUCCCCUAGGAGCAUGUGUAGUAGUACUUUGCUUCAAGGGCUAGUAGACUUUUGCAAUAAGUAUAUGAGUUCUUUAUGACUAAUGUGAGUCCAUGGAUUAUACGCACUGUCACCCUUCCACAUUGCUAUCCUUUAUUAUGCCGUGCAACUUUCGCCGGUAUCUUGCACCCAUUAUGUACCUUCCUCAAAACAGCCACCAUACCUACCUAUUAUGGCAUUUCCAUAGCCAUUCCGAGAUAUAUUACCAUGCAACUUUCCACCGCUCCGUUUAUUAUGACAUGCCCCGUCAUUGUCAUAUUUCUCUUUGCAUGAUCAUGUAGUUGACAUCGUAUUUGUGGCAAGGCCACCUCCAUAAUUUUGUAUACAUGCCACUCUUGUUUCAUUGCAUAUCCCGGUACACCGCCGGAGGCAUUCAUAUAGAGUCAUAUCUUUGUUCUAGAUAUCAAGUUGUAAUAUUGAGUUAUAAGUAAAUAAAAGUGUGAUGAUCAUCAUUAUUAGAGCAUUGACCCAGUGAAGAAAGGAUGAUGGAGACUAUGAUUCCCCCACAAGUCGGGAUGAGACUCCGGAUUUAUGAAAAAUAAAAGAGGCCAAAGAAGCCCAAAUAAAAAAAGGCCAAAGAAGCCCACCAAAAAAAUAAAAAAAUAAAAAAUAAAAAAAUAAAAAAUAAAAAAUAAAAAAUAAAAAAUGAGAGAAAAAAGAGAGAAGGGGCAAUGUUACUAUCCUUUUACCACACUUGUGCUUCAAAGUAGCACCAUGUUCUGCAUAGAGAGAGUCUCCUAUGCUUUCACUUUCAUAUACUAGUGGGAAUUAUUCAUUAUAGAACUUGGCUUGUAUAUUCUAAUGAUGGGCUUCCUCAAAAUGCCCUAGGUCUUCAUGAGAAAGCAAGUUGGAUGCACACCCACUUAGUUUGUUUUGUUGAGCUUUCAUAUAUUUAUAGCUCUAGUGCAUCCGUUGCAUGGCAAUCCCUACUCACUCACAUUGAUAUCUAUUAAUGGGCAUCUCCAUAGCCCAUUGAUAUGCCUAGUUGAUGAGGGACUAUCUUCUCCCUUUUUGUCUUCACAACCACCCUAUUCCACAUAUAGUGCUAUGUCCAUGGCUUGCGCUCAUGUAUUGCAUAAGAGUUGAAAAA
Molecule: long non-coding RNA, 96460 nt
Filed under: Triticum aestivum (bread wheat)
Lineage: Eukaryota; Viridiplantae; Streptophyta; Magnoliopsida; Poales; Poaceae
Description: long non-coding RNA (TAES_LNC011736)
Source: RNAcentral